UAUGAGCUCGGUCAAGAAUUCUUCUGCAACCUCUUCUAGUGUUACACCUCUCUUGGCUUUUACAAAACCCUCAGCAAUCCAUAGGCGAGUAAGUGGUCUACACUUAAUUGUGCAGUCUUCCGGGAAAAUGGCAAAGUACAAGAAACAGGACUUGAGUUGGUAAGGCAGAUCAUGAUAACUGAGGGAGAGAAUGGUAUUGAUACUUUCAAGAUGCGAAUUACUUUGUAACUCAGAGCCUAGGGUAUCACUAAAUUUUUUCCAUUCGGAGACAAGCUUCUCUUUUCUUGACAAAAGACCACCGAUUGCUACAAUUGCUAGUGGCAAUCCACCACAUCUUCUGACAAUAUCAUGAGACAAUUUCUCUAAUUCCGGGGGACAUCCACCCUGAAACGCUUUCUUGCAAAAGAGUUUCCAGGAGCUCUUUGGAGGCAGAGGUUGCAGCUUGUGGAUGUAAUCAAAUGAAGAUUCUUUACAACAAGAAGCUACCUCAUCAUUACGUGUUGUGAUUAUUAUCCUGCUCCCUUUUUUAUUUUCUGGUAAAACAUAUUUAAUGAAUCCCCAGAAAUCUAGUUUCCAUACAUCAUCAAAAACAACCACAUACCUUUUAUCUUGUAAAUAUUGCCUGGUUAAGGUCAUUAGUGAGGACUCGUCCAUGGUAUUGAUACCCUCAGGAACUGGCUCCUUCCUUGCUUGAUAGAAUUUCAUUGACAUGUUCCGCAGUAGCUCUUCCAUCUUGAAUGACUGAGACACAGUGAUCCAAGCAGAGCAAUCAAAGUGUCCCACCAAUUCCUUGUUGUCAUAUACUUUGUUGGCAAGAGUGGUCUUGCCAAGUCCGCCCAUGCCAACCACUGAAAUUACAGUUCGUUCUGGAGUUCCCUCCACCAGCCGGCUUGUGAGUUCAAUUUUUUGAGAUUCAAUACCAACAAUUUCAGCUUCAUCUAUGAAAAGGGAAGUCACCCGAGGGUCAUGCCAUGGAGCACUUAUACUACUGCCUCCAGAUCCCGGCUGAACUGAACUAAUGAAGCCGUAAGUUGAACUUGUUUCUUUGAGUUUAACAACUUUUUUCUGGAUAUCACGGAUCUUGGAGGCUAUCUCAUGGCGUCGUUUCAAUUUUUUUAUCAAGCGACCAACUUUGCAGCGGAAACCAAUGAAUCUAUGCCGUCGACUUGGAUUUCCCAAGUGAAGCAAGUAUUCAUCAAUCAGAUCUUCUAUGGAAUAAGCAGUCUCCCUUAAGUCUUGAAUCCAAGUUUUAAGGCCUUGGCUGACAUCAGCUUUCUCCCCCUUUGCAUCUGCAUCCAUUAGGAAAGCUUGAAUAUAUAGUAGCUCUGUUUUAAUGUCUUCAACUUGUGUUUGGACGCCUCCCAAUAGUCUGGCUUCUUGAUUUAGUAAUGGGAGCAACUUGUCGAUGGCGAUGUUGACUGCAAUCUCCGCCAUUUCUCCUUCUUUUCCCCCUCGAGAAGGCCAGUGAGAAACUAUUGCGUUAGCUCAUUUCAGAUCUAAUCUUCCAUCUAGUUUCCUGAAAUCACCCAAUGAACCCAACACCACUACUGCCAAAAAUUACACAGAUUUUUUUAAGGGAGAAUCGGGCUUUAGACCCAUUUGGUUUUGAGAAUUAAUAAAGAGUCCAUCAAACACCCAUAAUUGAUUACAAGGAUAUGAGAUGAGAAUAGACAAAAAUACCCCUUUAACUCAUUUUUGUCUUUAUUCUACCACCCUUCACAUGUCACUAUUCUUUCUUAUUUAACCAUUUUUAGUUUUUUUAUUAUUUUUUUAAACUCUUUUAUAAAUAAUUGAAAAAUCAACAUUAUUUUUUUAUUUUUAAAUUAUAAAUAAAUAAAAAUUAUAUUAAUGAUUCAAAGACUAUUUUGGAAAAUGCUUUCUAAAAAAAUAUUAAUUUAAAUAAAUAAAAAUUACAUUUUACAUUUAUUUUUAUCUUUUAUAUUUUAGAAGUAAAUAAUUUAAUGAUUAAAAUACUAUUUAAAAUAAAUAUAUUCACUGUUUUAUUUUUUUUAUAUUAAAAAGUAUUUUAAAGUUUUUUUUACUAUUAUAAAAUAAAAAGUUUAAUUUUUUUUAAUCUUCUUUCUUCCUUAUUUUAAUAACUUUAUUAACAUGACUUUUAGUAAUAAGUUAUAUGAAAUGUUACAAAUUUGUUUAUUAAGGAUUUAUUUUAAUGAUUUGAAUUAAUUGAAAAUUUAUUAAAAUAAGAAAAAGAAAAAGAAAGAAAGAGGAUGGAUGGAAAGUUUUUAUUUUAAGUACUCAAUUAAAAUGUUUUUACCUAAUUUUAGAAGUGGAUUAUAUCAAUACAUAAUAGAGAUUGAAUUUUUCUUAUAUAAAAUGGUUGAAAGGUAUAUUUACUUAUUUUAGAUGAAAACAAGUAGUUAAAAAUUAUAUAAAUUAUAUUUGAGUUUGGUUUUAAAAUAUUUUUCUAAUUUUUAUUUUUUAUCUUUAAAAAUAAAUUUUAUUUUCUAUAUUGUCUUUUUUUUAAAAAUAUUUUUAAUUAAAAAAUGAAAAGUAUUUUUUUAAAUGAAAAUUGAAAACCUUGUUUAGUACUUUUUUUUAUAUGAAAAUAAAAAAUAAUAAAUUUUAUUUAUUCAUUUAUUGCACCACUGUACAAUUGUAUUACACUAACUGUACAAGGGAAAUGUACUAAGUGUAUAAAGGUGUACAAGGCUACCAUUUGUGAAAUAUUAUAAUCGAUUAUGAGUCAUUCCUUUAUUUUUUUUAUCACUCACGAAUUAUACACAUAUGUCAUGCACUUUAUUUAAUUCCUGCAUAAAAAUUCCAAUAUUUUUCCUAAUAAUAAUAUUUGGAGAAAAAAAUUUUUGACCUUAAAUCAUCUACCAUUUUUCAACUAAAUCAUUGGAAAUAUGGUUAAACACUCCUACGUGGAUACAUAACUUAGGAGGGAUAUAAAAUUUGUGUCAUUGUACAAGGGUAUUACACUAACGGAAAAUGUACUAAUUGUACAAAGGUGUACAAGAUUACCGUUUGUGAAUUAUUUUAAUCAAUUCUAAAUCACUUUUUUAUUUUCCUUGUCACCCAAGGAUUGUACGCCUAUGUCAUGCAUUUUAUUUAACUCUCACAUGAAAAUUCUAAUAUUUUCCCUAAUAAUGAUAUUUGGGGAAAAAAAAGUUGAUCCUAAGUUAUCCAUCAUUUUUUUAACCAAACCAUUGAAAAUAUUAUUAAUACACCUACAUGAACAUAUAACUUAUGAGAAAUAUAAAAUUUGUGUCAUUAUACAAGGGUAUUACACUAACUGUACAAGGGAAAUGUGUUAAGUGUACAAGGGUGUACAAGGCUCUUAAUAGGUUUUGUACAAUUUUUAAAUAACUUGAAUUUGACAUUAAGACAAUUAUUGAUAGUUUUUUUUUUUACCAAACUAUGUCAUUAAGACAUUCCCUACAAAAAUUAACACAUAGGAAAUAAAAUUAAAAUCAAUCAUGUUAGAAUUGUUCAUUAUAAGUAAACUAAAUGAAAUAUAUAUUUUUACUAUUUUGCAUUUAUAAACAUAAUUUCAUUGUUAUCAAUAGAGAUUAAAAAAAUCAUAUUUAAAUGGAAUUAUAAAUAAAUAAAAAUUAUUUUUAUAACAUUUUUAUUUUUUUAAGUCAUUAAUUUAAAUUAUGAAAUUAGUUUUAAAAUUAAAAAUAUUUGUUGUAAUUAUAGUUUUGAAGAUUUCAUGAUUUUUAUCAUAUUACUUUGAAAAAAUUGCUUUAAUAAGAAAGUAUUUAUUUAAUGGUUUUAAAUAUUUAAAUCUUUAUUAAAAAAUAUUUAGGAUUAGUGUGGAGAGCAAUUAGGUUAUUUUGGAAUGGAGAAAUUUUGAAUAUUUUUGAAAACUUUAAUUCGGCCAAUUACCCUAUUUACACUUUCAAAAUUAUUGGAAGGUUGGUAAAUUAGUCUUAAAAAUAUUGUCUUCUUGAUUAAUAUUAUAUAUAUGCAUGUGAGUGUUUACAUAAUUUUUGAAAAAAUAAUAAACACCAUGUGUCUAAUUUGCAAGUUAGAAAAAAAAAUUAAUAAUAUUUUAUGAGGUAUUUAAAAAGUAUUUAUUAUAUGUUCUAUAAAUUUAAAAAAAAUAUAAUAUUUGAUGAUAUUUAAUUUACAAGUUGGAGUAAACAAAUAAUACAAAUAUUUUAUGAGGUGUUUAAAAAUUAUUUAAUAUAUAUGAGAAAUAAUAUAAGUUUAAAAUAAAGAAUGAUAUUUACUAUAUAUUAUGUAAGUUUUCAAUAUAUUUAAAAAAUAUUUAUUAUAUAUUAUGUAAGUUUGAAAAAAAUAAUAAUAUUUGAUGAGGUAUUUAAAAGUUAUUCACUUCAAAAAUAUAUUUGAUAAUAAUAAUUUUUUACCAUCUUUCAUAUUUGAGGAAGAAAAAUAAUUCAAGUUGGUUCCACUAUUAAAGGUAAGAGAAGGGCAAAAGAGUCAAAUAGAGAAUGAGAAAUGUGAGGUGAGUGGUUACUUUUUUCAUUUAAUAGUUAAGGGCGUUUUAGGGAUUUUUUAAAGACAAUAUCCUUAUUCUCAAUUUCCACUCUUUCAUUGGGUGUUGGGCUUAAAUAUGAAACUUAUAUGGACCAUACAUUAAUUUUUGGGCCCAGCUGGGCCCAAAACAUAAUUUUCCCUUUUUUUAAUACCAGAAAUUUGGGUACACGUCAUCUUACACUCACAAAAUUUAGUCAAAAAGGCCGGCGUUGAAAGCUAAAUGUACAUUAGAAAAGUUGAAAUUAGGCUGAAGUGUAACAUUUGAAUUUUUACAUGUCAGCUUUUGACAGAAUUGAAAUAAAAUUUUUAUAAAUUAAUAUAAUGACAUUAAUUUAUGGUUUUUUUAUAUAAAUACAUUUUUUUAAAAAGCUUUUAGAGUGGACUAAAUAUUUGGAAACAGUUUUGCUUGCAAAUAUUGCCAAUUAAUGUUUAAUACUGAAGCAGAUGAAGGGUAUAAUUAAAUAGUUGAGAUCUCUUCCGUUACAACUCAAGUGUGAUAACUUUUUCAGCAGAAUAUCAUUUCAAAUAAAUUCUCUACUAACCUUUGUAAUUGAAAUGUUUGUUAGUUACACUAAUAACAAUGUCUAGAUCUCCUUUAAUAGAUAAUUUUAUUUUAUAAUAAUAAUUAUAAAAAUCUUAUCAAUAAAUUUUAGUUACACAUGUAAUUUAUAGUAUAUUUUGUGGUUAAAAAUAAAUGCUCUCGGGCUUAUAGCUAAAAAUAAAUCUUUUACCACAAAAUGUUUUUUUUAAUCACAAAUUAACCUAUGGCAAAACCCUAUCUUUUUUAUUGUGUUUUAAAUCACUUUUUUUUUUAUUCAAAAUAAAAGUGAUAUUUGAUGAAAUUUUAAACUGAUAAUAACUAAAUAUAUGUAGCCAUAAGGUGAGCGAAAUUUAACUUGAAAAGGUAAAAUAGCUACAUAAUAUUCAAGAUAAUUGAUCAAGUGAAUAAAUCAUAAAAUAUAUAUACAACUAUUGAUUUAGACAUAUCUAAGGUUAUAGCUUGGCAAAUAAUCAUAGUUUGUAAGAAAUUGGAAUCCUAAUAUCGAAAGCAUCACGUCAAGACACCUAGACGCUACCUUGAUAUCAAGUCCAUCCCAGACUCAGAAUCAGAAAACAUCAUUCAAAAAAGAAUAAUCAUGUCACAAUGCAUUUAUGUAUGUGUAGUAAAAUUUCCAAAUAAUGCUCUCAUUUCAAAACAAUGUGUCUUACAUGUAGUGGGUUCCAUUGCUUUUAGCUGCUAUAUUUAUAUUUCGAUGUCAUAGGGAAUAGUAUUAAUUGCACAGCAAAUUAAUGUUACAUUGCUUGAAACAUUGAAAUGUUGAUAUUAUAGUCAAUAUCAAACUCUUAUCAUAUCUCAAUUAAACUACGGGAUCCAAAUUUUGACAUUGCAAUGCCAAUAGCAAUUGCAAUAUUGAAAUUCCUGAUAUUGUAAAGGCCUAUAUUGGUUUUAUAUAUCAAAAUUAGUUUUCAUGAUUUUGUUGAAACUUCAUUUUUGAACUAAAGUUUCAAUUGUCAACUGACGCUUGAGUUAAUUUUUUUUUUUUACUUUAAAAUUUAAUUAAAAACUAUUAAAUUACAAUUUAUUAUUGAAAUUAAAAAAUAUAAAUAAGAUAUAAAAUUAUAAUUUAUUAAUUUAAGAUAUUUAAUUUGUUGUUUUUUAAGAUAUUAAUCUACUUAAAUUAUAUCAAAUUUAUCUUUAUUAAAAUAAUAGUAUACUCUUAAGUCAUAGUUGUCAACUGAGGUUUCAGUUAAUAUUUUUUUUUUUUUUACUUUCAAAUUUAAUUUAAAACUAUUAAAUCACAACUUAUUAUUGAAAUUAAAAAUAUAUACUUUAAUAAUAAAUUAUUUAUAUUUAAACUUAAAAAUCUAGUAUUACUUCAAUAAAGAUAAAUUGAUAAAUAUAAUACAAUAAAUUAAUAAUCUUAAAAUAAUAAAAUUAUAUGACAUACAAAUAAGCUAUAAAAUUUUAUAAUUUAUUAAUUUGUUGUUUUUUAAUAUAUUAAUUUAUUUGUAUUAUGAUGAAUUUAUGACACAAUACAAAUAAAUUAAUAUUUUAAAAAAACAACAAAUUAAAUAUUUUAAAUUAAUAAAUUAUAAAAUUUUAUACCUUAUUUAUGUGUUAUAUAAAUGUAUUAUUUUUAGACUGUUAAUUUAUUAAUAAAUAAAAUACUAAUUUAUAAUAUCUUUUAUCUAUCAAUUUACGUUUGUUGAAGUAAUACUAUAUUCUUAAGCUUAAAUAUAAAUAAUUUAUUAUUAAAGUAUACAUUUUUUAUUUUAAUAAUAAAUUAUAAUUUAAUAGUUUUUAAUUAAAUUUUAAAGUGAAAAAUAAAAUUAACUGAAGUCUCAAUUGAUAAUUGAGAAUUUAGUUAAAAAAUGAAACUUCAGUUGACAACUUCAACUUCAGUUAAAAAAUAAAGCCUCAAUUACCAAUUGAGACUUUAAUUAAAAUUUUGAAAAAAUAAAAUAUUUCUAUGACAUGGCUUCUAAGUGACACCAGACUAAUUUGAACAUAAGUUUUAUAAAAUGGUUAGAUAUAUAUAUAUAUAUAAAUGAGCUAUUUUGACCCAAAACUCCCGUUGUGUUCACUAAAUGUCCGAAUGACAACAAUAUUGUCCAUGAAAAUAAAGGAUGGGCCAUGGAGGCUUUGGAUCAAAGCUGAAAUGUUUCAACUUGAACCCAAUAAUUCAACUACCAUUUAAUAUCUAAAACUUGAUCUGUCGGUCUUCAGAACUUCGGACCUCAAAAGCAAGUACCAUUCAAUUUAAACCCAAUAAUUCAACCACCUUUUAAUAUCGGACAUAUCCUCUGUCCAUUUUCUAAAUUUGGACACAAAAAGCAGGUAGAGAAUUGCUACCUGCUUUUUGUAAUCUUUCACCAAAUAGAAAAUUGCAAUUUCUAUCACAAUUAAAAAUUAUAUAUAUUAUUAGAUGAUGAUUCUUAUGUCAAAUUAGUGGUCAAAUCAUAGUUGAGUUAUUACAUUAAUACAAUAAAAUAAAUAUAAUUUAUAUAUUAUUAAAAUUUAAAAUAUAAAUAGUUAAAAACUUAAAAUAUAUAUUUUAUCUUUUUAUCUUAAAUAUUAACUUAUUAAUUCAAGAUAAGAAUAAAAUAUAAAUAUUGUAAUAUUUAUAAUUUUAUUAAAUAGAAAAAUUAUAAUAUUUAAUUGUUAAAAGACAAAUCAUAUAUCAAAGAGAGAAAUAAAAUUUUAUUAUCUAGCUUCAUAUUUUAUUAUUAUGUUAUCUUAAUAUGAUUUUGUUACAAUUGAAUGUGAAUAAAUAGUUAGUUACCUUUAUUCUAAACGGUCCAUAUAUGUAUGCUAUCAUUAUAAAAGAAAAGUCUACUUACUGAUAUGCUUACCAUCAUUUUUAGAGCAGGCCUUUGAGCUCACUGUCCCUACCUCUCAAAUCUUUAUUUAAAAAGUAGUUCAAGGAAAGCAUAGUUUAGUUGAUGUUGGUUUGUUUGUUUGUUUUAUUUUAUUUAAUUUUAAAUAUAAUUUAAUUUAAUUCAAGAUUAAAUAAUAUUUAAUAAUAUUAAGUAUUAAGUUGUUUUUUAACUCACUGUCUCAUACUAAUUUUAUACACUUUUCUGUCAGUCUCUAACUCUUACAACCUGAGCUCAUGUCCUAUUUAUUUAGUAAAAUAUUAAAUAGAUUUUACAAAAAAAUUAUGAAAGAGUUAAAGGAUUUUGUCCAAGUAAUUAAAAAAUGAAAACUGUGAAACCAAGGUUUGGUUAAUCUUGAUUUUGAUAAUAACAAAAUAAGGUUUAAAACUAAUGAUUAUAUUUCAAGUGUGAUUAGGUAAGACGAUUUCCAAAGUGGCAAUCACAAAGACAAAUCAAGUCAAUGAGAAAUCAUGAAGAAGAUGACCACCUCAAAGAGAAGUGUUUUUCAAGACCCAAACUUCAUAAGAUCUCUUUGUAAGGUUGUUGGUGCACUAGGAUUUUUAUGCAUUACAUUCUUUAUUUAUGCACCAAAAUCAUCCAAUAGUUAUUUUGUUUUAAAUAUUUUAAGAAUUUGAUGAUUUCAUGUUUUCAACUAAAACCUUGUGUUAAAUGUUUUUCAAACUUGUUUUAAAAGGUUUUAAGUUGAAAAAGUUGGGUGUUGAGUCAAAAAUGGCUCAAUCGGCUCAACAGGUUGAGAAACCGGUUGACCGAUUGUGCUUGUCCGGUCGAGGACUGGUUGAGGGAGGCUAAAAAGUUUCUCUCUCUCCUAGUGGCCUUCUCUUCCCGGUCGAGGUCAGGUUAAGGUCCGGUUGAGGCCCAAUGGUUAUCUGCCAAGUAUUAAAUGUUAACGGCUAGUCAACCGAUCGACCCCUAACUCAACCGGUCGAACCCCCAAACGACUAGUUUGGUUUUUCUCUUCUAUAAAAAGGCUCCAAUCUUCAUUGUUUAAAGAGCUUAACCUUCCCAAACCAUUCUUGAAUAUAUUUGAGUCUUGGAAGAGUGUUUUUGAGUACACCAUUAUUCUAAAACUUUCAUAUCUUUAGUGCACUAUUCAAUCCUAGUUUUCUUAUAUUAUUUGAGCUUAAUGUUUUUAUACUAGGAUUUUGAGAGAUCAUUUAUUUGUAAGCCUUUGAGAGGAAAUUUCUCAAAAGUGUGGUAUCUCUUGAGAAGUGUAAAGGGUGCUUGGAGCCAAAAGUCCAAGAGGGUGAAUUGGAACCAUAAUCCAAUUGUAUUGCUUGAAGGCUUGGUUUGGAAGCCUUGAAUUAGUGAAACCUCAAGCUCGGGAUUGAAGCUAGAGGAGAGUGGAUGUAGGUUGGGUUGCGCCGAACCACUAUAAACUCUUGUGUUUGCAUUCUUUCUUCUCUACUUUUUUAAUUUAUAUGCAAUUGUUUUUAUAUUACUUAUCAUAUACUUACAUAUAAAUUGUUUCUUACUUUCACAUAGUUUAAAUUUACAAAAAGAGACCAUUAUCUUAUUCACCCCCCUUCUAGGGUGAUUACCAUAGGUUGGAUUAUCCUAAUAUUCCUAACAAAAACAAAUCUCACCAAAAACUUUUAUAGAAUUUUAAUAAUAUUUUUACAACAAAAAGUCUUAAAUAUUAAUAAUUUCCAUAGUGUGAAUUAUUAGACAAGAUUAAAUUUGUAAAACAUUAAAUAACAUGAAAUAUAAUAUAAUUAUAUAGUGCUUGUACAUUAGCCAUUGUAUGGCUAAAUGUAAAUACGUUUUAAAAAUCUCAAAAUUAAAUAAAAAAAUAAAAAUUUAAACAAAAAACCCAUCCAUUAAUAAAACACCAACUAUAUAGUAAAAAAUAAAUAAAUAAAUAAAUAAUCAAUUUUCUAGAAAUUUUCUACGAAACUUAUUUAAGAUUUUAAAAAAAUAAUCUUAAAAAAUCUGAAAUAUAUUAAAAACAAAUAUAUAUAUAUAUAUUUGUAAAAUAUAUUUAAUAUCACAGGGGCAUAAAUUGGUCUUUUUUUACAGUGAGUAUUUGUCCUCUGUUCCUAUAUUAGUAUUUUGAAGUAAAGAUCAAUCUUAUUGCAACGUGCCUAAAUCUUAAUUUUAUGCUUCGAUCCUUUCCACUGUCCACAUAACCUUUGCUAGAAAGGUCUAGGACAUCCCCAAAAUUUCUUGUUGGGUCCCAUGAGCAAGUCCUCCAAAAUAGCACAAGUUCAAAAGUCUUUUUAGUUCGGGCCCAAUAAUUUGGUGGAGCUAUCAUUGCAAGUUAGGUGUGACUCAGCUGUAAUUGAAUAAAUUUAUAUUUAUAUUAUAUUAAAAUAAAUGAAUCAAUAUAUGCCAUGGUGACAAAGAAAAAGUCAUAAACUUUUGAAUAAAAUCAAUAGUAUAAAAACUCUUAUUAAACUUAAAUAAGCUAUGUAUGCAAACUUAUCAAAUGUUAAUUGAUAUAUAAAUGAACUUAUUUAAAAUUUUAUAGCUAUCAUUAGGUUUUGGUGGCACUAGACACAAGGACUAUGCUUCCAUACUACCUUCACUCGUUCCAAAAUCAACCUUGUGAGACUACUAAUAUGUAAGUUUUUCCCUCAUUACUAAAGCAUGAGGCUUAGUUGGUAACAAAUAUUAUUUUCUUCAUGUAGGGCCCUCAAAAUUCAUCCACCGGAAAAACAUAAAUCAUCAAAAAGGGAGACUACUCAGGUUGUAGUAGGGGUGUUUAACUCAUAUAAAUUAAGUAAUGCAUUUUUAGUACCAUUUCUUAAUUUUUAAUGAAGUACAAAAUGCCCUACAACUCAUAUUCACUUACAAAAAGAGACCCAAACAUACAUAACUUCCACCUUUCAACAUGUCUUUGUAUGUUAUAUAAUUAGUAAUGAAAUCUCACUACUUGUAGUACUAAUUUACCAUUUUUUAUAUUAAGUGUUCUAUGUUUAUUGAAUAAUAUAUUUUAUGCCAAAUAUUUAACUUGUUUUGUGAAAGUCUUUCUUUAUCUUUACCAACUAUGUGAUAAAAAGAAAUGAAGUCAUUCAAUAUUUAAUAUGUAAUAAAUGUAGUGAAGCAUAUAGAAUGAAACCAUGUAUUAUAUUGAUUUGUAUCCACCAAAUGAGAACAAAAAUGUGAAUGCAAAAGGCGAAUCUAAGUCUAGAAUGUGCAGCAUGGUUUUAGUCUUGCAAUUUGUGAUAUACAAUAAAUAAUGUGAGACACAUAGAAAGAAAUAAUUAAUAUCUUUGACUUAUUGGUAUCUACUAAAUGAUAAUGAGAAUGCAAAUCUUAGUCAAUAACGCAAAUUAUGGCUUUACAUUAAAUUUAAUUUUUGGUUAAUUUAAUUUGGGACGAAGUUGAAUCAUGUAUUUAUCUUUAAUUUUAUCAUAAAAACUAAAUAAUCGAUAUUACAAUGUUAUGACAAUUAUGCUUCAGAGUAAAAUAAAAUAAAUUGAAAAAAAAAAAAGAGUCGAUGUAUGAUUUAUAGAUCAUUGGAAAUUGAUGAGUGUUUAAUGACAUGUAAUUGUGUCAUAGUGGAUUAAAACACCAAUUUAAAAAUAGUUUUAAGGGUUUUGAGGAAAUCAAUACUAUUUAGUAUGAUGCAAUCCCAUUCAUGUUCUCAACCCUUUAAAAUGUAGGAUCAGAGACUCUUUUCAUUGGAAUUAACCUCAUUUACAAAAUACAAUUAGUUUUCCAAAUAAGAUUCUACAUUUAUUGUGUUUUUUAAUUUUUAAUUUUUGUGCAUUUAUUGUUGUCAAGUAAAAUAAUAAUUAUUUUUAGACGAAGACUUGAUAAACCUAACUUCUACCAUCAAUAUGUCUUUAUAUAAACAAAAUCCAACCACUUGAAUUUGACUCUACCAUGUUCUCCGCUAAAUGCUUUACCAUUCAUGCAUUAACAUUAUUUUUAUUUUUAUUUCAAAUACAUACUUAUUAUGUGAAAGACUUUUCUAAUCUUAUUCAAUUAAGCAUGUGAUACAGAAAGAAAAGACCUUUUGCAAUUGAAUAAAUGUUGUGAUAAAUAUAUAGAGGAAGAAAUACUAUCUUAUAUUAUUGGCAUCCACAAAAUUAGAAUAAAAAUGUCAAUCUAAGUCUACAAUGCGAAAGAUGGUUUUUCAUUUAAAUUUAGUUUCUAGUCCGUUCAAAAUCUUGAAUAAACAAGAACAUGCGCUUUCUCUUCAUAUUUGUCAAAAAAAUCUAGAUAAUCAAUAUUAUCAUAUUAUGAAUAUUAUGCUGAACAGAGAAAUUAAAAACAAUGGAGAGCAAAAAGAUAUAGGAGUCCAUGUAUGAAUUAUAGAUUAUCGACAAAGUUUAAUGAUGGGUGAUUGUGUCGUAGUUGAUUGACAAACAAAUUUAAAAAUGUUUUAUGACUAGUCAAAUUUGUUUUCAACAAUUUAAAAUGACGGUAAUUGACAAAUUAGAUUGGAAUAUUUAUUUUUCUUAAAUGGAUCCAAUAAAAUUUAAAAUUUUGAAAAAUCAAUUUGAUUUGACAUUGUCUAAAUCAAUUUAUUUUUCCUGACCCCACUAAAAAUUGUAAGAAAGACCCUUCCUAUGUAAUAUAACCUUAUUUAUGACCCUAGAUUAUUAUUUUAUUUGAGGUUUUAUGUCUACUUAUUUUUUUAUUGAGUAUUAGUAAAUGUCAUAUAACAUAAUAAUUAUUCAUAGAAGGUGGCCUAACAAACCCAACUUUUACAAUCAACAUAUCUUUCUAGAUUAUAUAAUUAUUAAUGAAAUCUUAUAGUGGUAGUGGAUUGAAACACCAAUUAAAUAAUUAUAUAUAUAUAUAUAUGUAGCCGAUUUUGAUCAAUUUUAAAAUGUUGAGAUGUCAUCAUAUAUUAGACUAAAAUAUUUAAUGAUCUAAUAAAAUUUAAAAAUUUUUAAAAAUCAAUUUCAUUUUGUUUUAUCCACUCCCUUUCAUGUUUCCAAUCCUUUGAAACUUAAGAUUAGAGGCUCAUCUCAUAGAAAUUAAUCUCAUUUAUUACAUAGAAUUAGUUUUCCACAUGAGAUUUCACAUCUUUUUUUUUAUUUUUUUAUUUUUAUUGAUGUUAAGUAACAUAAUAAUUAUUUAUAAAGGGAGACCUAACAAACCUAACUUUUACCAUUAACAUGUCUUUACAUGUAAUUUAAUAAUGAAUGAAAUGUGAUCACUUAAAGUUCACUCUACCAUUUUCUUUGCUAAAUGCUUUACCUUAAUGCAUUCAAGUUACUUGUAUUUUUAUUUUAAAUAUAUGACCAAUUAUGUGAAAGUCUUUCCUAACCUUAUUCAAUUAAGCAUGUGAUAUAGAAAGAAAUGAGGUCUUCUAAUUUAAUAAAUGAUGUUAUAGAUAUUGUUAGGACAUUGAGUCUUGUUUGUUUGAUGACAAUUUUUUUCCAUUUAAUGUUUGACCAUAAAAGUCUUCUUAGAUAAUAACUUGCUCUCCAUUGAAGAUCAAAGGUUGUUGUUUGUCCAACCAUGAAGUCAUAGGUACAUCUAAACAAGUUUGGCUUAUGUCAUGUUAGGCUCCUAUGAGGUAUAAAGAGAAUUGAUUUUGUUUUUGAACUUAAAAUGAUUUAAAAUUAAUGUUUUCUAGAAGACAAGACCACUUAAGCGACCUGAAGUGCUUAAGCACUAAGGACCGCUCAAGUGCUCCCUAUCACUCAAGUGCUCGAGGCACUCAAGCGGUGGGUUAGUUGGCUCGAGUGGUCAUCCUAUUUCUAUUGAGAAUUUUUCAUGCAAAUUCAAUUGAGAAAUCUUCCAAAACCAAAACUCUUCGAUUUAGUUGCCUAGAUAUACCUCAUUAUAACCCUUUAAGGGUAAGAGAUUAGACCUUUUUAGAGAGUUUCUUUGAGGGAAAAACCUAAUGAGCCACACCAUUCCCGAUCUCUCAUUUGAAGGAUUCAAGUGUUGAAUCUAAGGUUGAAGACCUGCAUCCUUUAGCAAGGCUAAGGUGUAUUCACUAGAGCAAUCAAAGGUUAUUAUGUUGUGGACGUGGAUCAAGUUGUAGGUACUGGAGAGAAAGUCUUUAGGGUAAAAUGACUAAGUAAAUCUAUGUAACUCGAUCUUAUAUAGUGGAUUUAGAUUAAUAGUUUUAAACCUCAUGGUUUUUUUUUCUUCAAAGUUAGUGUGAGGGUUUUCCAUGUAGAAAUCUCUUGUGUCUUAUUGCUUAUUAUUUGAUAUCUUGUUUGAAUUUAUUACAAUAAGAAUAAUUGUUAUACCUUGAUAACUCGCGGGAUAAAAAUUGGGUAUAACAUAUAAAUCUUUAUUUAAAUUUUUUAAUUCACCUAUUCACCCCCCCUCCCUCCCCCUUCUCUAGGUGUUACCCCACUGGACUUAGAGGUUUUUUCAAUUAGUAUCAUAGCAGAAUAAAAAUUAAUUUUUUUUCUUAUCCUAUUGAUUAAAAAUCAAUUUUUUAUUGAUCCUAUUAUAUAAAAAUCAUUUUUUUUAUAUUAUUCAUAUAGGAUAAAAAUAGAAUUUUUAUUGAUCAUAUAAGUCCGACAUGGAACAUUAAAAAAUAAGAGCACCUUUGAAUAGUUCACCUUACAUCGAUGGGAGUAAUUAUCCCCAUUGGAAAGCUUGGAUGCAAUUCUUUCUUAAAAUGUAAGGUGAACGGGUAUGAAAUUCAGUGGAAUAUGGAUGAGGACCCCCAUUGAUUCUUGAUGUCCAUGGGAGAUCAACUAGAGAACUUAAACCUAAACAAGAUUGGGACAAAGCUAAUAAUGAAGUGAAUGAAGCCAAUACUAGGGCUUUAUUUAAUAUCUUUAAUGGUGCUUGUCCAGAUGAGUUUCAUAGGAUUGCAAAUUGUAUGCAUGCUAAGGAAGCAUGAUAUAUUCCUCAAGUCACUCAUGAAGGUAUGUCUACAAUUAAAAUUUCUAAAUUGCAAAUGCUUACUACUAAGUUUGAGAAUAUUAGGAUGCAUGAAAAUCAAAACUUUCCUUUCUUUUAUUUUGAACUAAGUGACAUAGUUAACUCUUCUGUUAACUUAGAACCUAUUCUAGAUUCAAAGAUAGUAAGAAAAAUAUUGAGAUCUCUACCAAAGAGACUUAGACCUAAGGUCACUACCAUAGAGGAUAGCAAUGAUAUUGAUUCCAUGAGAGUUGAUGAACUUGUUAGCUCUAUAUAGACAUUUGAGAUGACCCUACCUAGUUCUCAAAUGCCUAAAGAUUAUGCUUUUAAGGCUUAUGAGAAUGAGAAAAAAUAUAUUGAAAUGCCAUAUAAUAUAACUAGGGAUGAAUUGGGUCAUAUGGCUAAAAGAAUUAAAAAGGUAGUGAAAUUUAAUAAAAGGUUUUACAAAAAUCAAGAGUCUAGAAUAGGAAAAAGACCUAAUGAACAAUCAUCCAAAGAAAAUGAUAAAGGUUCUUCCAAUGCUAAGAAAGUUGAAUGCUUUAAUUGUGGAGGUCGAGGACACUUCACUAUUGAAUACCCUAACCCUAAAGAUAUCAAAAAGUCUAUGCAAGCUACAUGGAGUGACAUAGAAUCUAAAGAAAGUAAUUCCACAACUUUUGAAAAUGCAAGGUACAAUCCCAAUGACUUUUUAGAUUUUAUUGCAUCUAUGAAAACUGUGCAUGAUAGUGAUUGUGAUGAUGAUAGUGAUGAUGAAUUCAUUGAUGAACAAAAAGCUGCUUUCUUGAAUAAUCUUUUUGUUGAGCAUGAAAAACUAAUUAAAAAUUAUUUGAAUCUUAUAAAAUCAAGAUAGACAUGGUUAAUUUAGAGAGGACUAAUCUACUUGAAAAGAUUAGAUUUUUUGAGUUUGAACAUCAUUCUCUUCUUGAGAAAAAUAAUGUUUUAACUCAAAAUAUAAAAAAACUAAUAAGCCUUCUUCAUCUAUGAAUGAGAUCUUUCACCUUGGAACUAAAGUGCUUAAUAAAAAAAAUACUUGAUAAAUGCAAAACCCAUGGUGAAAAAAAAGAGGCUUGGGGUACAUUAAUAAAGAUGAAGUUCCCUCUAGUGGAGAAACUGUGUUUGUCAAAGGUAAAGAUGAAACCCCUAACAAAGUAGAUUCUCAUAAAAAUCCAUCACUAUGCAUUCAUUGCAAGAAAACAAAACACGAUUAGUUUAAAUGCUACACCAAGUUCCUAGAGAGGUUUGAAUCUCAAAUGAGUAGGCUAAUGAAUGAAUUUAAUUCCCUUAAAAAUAACAUCUUGAAUAAUGGGAAAAGAAAUAAAACUAAUUAAAAGCCUAGAAGUCAACAAAGCUCCUCUAAGUCACCACCUAGGAUUGAACAAGUUUAGAUGAGAAAAGACAGGGCUAAAUGUCAAGUAGUCUCCACAACACUUCAAACUAGAUCUUCCAAUUAGUACUUUGAUAGUGGUUGCUCUAAACACAUGAUAGGAGACAAGCCCUUUUUCAUUUCUCUUAAGGAUUAUAAUGGUUGGAUAGUUAGUUUUGGAGAUAGGAUCUUAGGUCAUGUAAAAAGAAAGAAGUAUAUCUAUCACUGGUUGUCCUAAAUUAGAUGGAGUUUUUUAUGUAGAUGGACUCAAGGCAAAUCUAUGACAAAGAUCGUAAGGUGAAUUUUUUCCAAGACUUAUAUGAGAUAGUUAACAAAGAAGGAAAAGUCAUUAUCAUAGGACAUAAGAUAGUUGAUAAUUGUUGUGCAAUAAAUCCUAUAUUUAAAACACCUUUUGUGUGUAGUAGGGAAAAGCUAGAUCUUACCCAACUCUGGCAUAGAAGGCUAGGUCACAUAAAUAUAGAGACCUUGUGCACUUAGUGAAUAGUGAAAGAGUUUGAGGUAUCCCUAAACUAAUUGGUGAACCUAAACCCAUUUGUGGUGAGUCCCUGAAAGGUAAACAAACUAAAAAUUCACAUAAAAAGGUUAAGGAAAUUAGGAUCACUAGACCUUUAGACUUUCUACAUAUGGACCUUAUGGGUCUCAUGUGAAUUGAAAGUAGAGGUGGCAAGAGAUAUUUGUUAUGAAUGAUUUUUUGAGAUACUCCUUUGUGAGUUUUGUUAGAGAGAAGUUUGAAACCAUAGAACACUUGAAGUCACUAUUCAACAUAAUACAAGUGGAAAUAAGUCAUUUGAUUGUAAGGAUUAUGACUGACAGAGGGAAAGAGUUUGACAAUGUUGAUGUGGACCUUUUUUUCAAGUCAAAAGGUAUUAAACAUGAAUUUUUAUCCCUUAGAACUCCUUAAUAGAAUGUAGUAGCUGAAAAAAAAAAAAAAAAAUAGAUGUUACAAGAAAUGGCUAAGGUGAUGAUUCAUAUGCAUAAUAUCCCUAUGUAAUUUUGGGCAAAAGCUAUUCAUAUAACAUGCUUCAUUGCCAAUAGGAUUUUUCUUAGACCCAAAACAAAAGACAUUUUAUGAAUUAUGGACUAAGAGAAAACCUAACCUUAAGUAUUUUAGGACUUUCGGUAACGAAUUCUAUAUACUCAGGAAUGGGGAGAACCUAAGGAAGUUUGAUGCAAAAUCUAAUCAAGGUAUUUUUCUAGGCUAUUAUACUUCUAGUAAAGCCUAUAUGAUGUAUAAUCAAAAUUCAUAGAUUAUUCAAGAAUCCUCUAAUGUGGUUAUAUAUGACAAUGAGUAUGAUCAGGAUAUAAUUGAGAGUCAAAUUUUAACUUAGAAAUCAAUUGGCGAUAAUCCUAAAUAUGUGGAGAUCACAAAAGAUAACCUUGAAGAUAUCCUUGAAAGAAACAUUAAUCCUAAUAAGGAUGAAUCUAUUCUUCAAGAAGACACAUCUGAAGAAAUGAGAAAUAUGUUGGGAACCCUAGAUUACUUCGUUUCUAUGGCCUAGAUCUUGUAGGGUGCAUGCAUCUAUCCUUAGGGAUUUUUAGAUCUAGCAUAGUGGAAAAUAAUGCCUUCAAAACUAAUUUAGAAUAAAGAUAUAGAGAUUUGUAAUUCAUAUUUGUGAUCUAGAUGUUCCCAAAUCAAAAUCCAUCCAAUGAAGAACAUGCUUGGAAAAUCUAGAGGUCUCAUACAUCUAAGAUUUUUUGUCUGAAAUUAAUAGUGAGUAUGAUUUCUAUGAAUUUGAAUUUAAAUAUUUCAUUAUUUAUGAUUGAGAUAAUUAAAAUUUAUGCUCAACUUUAAUUUCAAUUAUUUCUUGGAUAAUGUGAGGUUUUAUCUAUUUAAAAACCAAAAUAACAUGAAAGAUAUAUUUGGAACAUUCUUUUUCUCUUUUCCUUUUUGCAUUCUUUUUAGAAACUAAAAAGAAGUAUAUUUUUAUAGUUAUUUAGGUCCAUAAUAUAAAAAGCACAAUAAUUAAACUUAGAAUUCAUUCUUAAAAAUAUUUAAUUGUAGUUAGAUAUCUAAUUUCUCAAUUUGAGUUUUCUUUUUGUUAACAUGGUUUGUUUUUUCUAUCAUAGGUUUGAGAUAGAGGUAUUGGCAAAUUUGGGGUCUUUUUAGAGGGCAGUGCUUGAAGAUUAAUGUUAGAGAUAUGAUAUCCACAAAUUGCAUAUAUGUUUGAUGUAUUAUUGUAAUUGAAAGUACCUUAUAAUUUGAAAAUGGCUAUUUUGAUACUUGUUACUUACUUUUCUAUUAAUGUUGUGUCUAUCCUAUUAGGUAUCCAAGAAAUAUAGCAAAAAAAAGAAGAAGAUGAUGUAGAAUUAGAGACCCUCUUACGAAGAUAGUAUUGUACUUUUUAAUUUAAGUUUGUAAAUUAUCUUAAUUGAAUGUUUGUAAUUAAUUUUUUUUUUUUGUAUAUAGAAACUAGAGAGUAGCUAGAAAACUAUUUAUUCCAUUGUGUUUUUAAUAUUCAAAUGUAUAUAUAAUAAUUUUUUCCCUUGAGUAAUAGUUUAUUUGUAUGUUUUAGGACUUACUUAUUAUUAUAAUAAUUAAAUAGUACUAAAUAUGGUAAUAGGUUCAUUUUCCAUUAAAAACUAAAAAUUAUAAUAAAAUAAUAUUAAAUUUUUCAUAGGCAACCUUGAAAAAUGGCUAAUGCCCAACAUUGACAUCUGCAAUAGCUACAAACCUUGACAUAUUAUACUUAUCCUUAACAUUUGUUGCAACAAACUUGAUAGAAAAGCAAGUUAACAUUAACAUAAGAUAAAAGAUAAAAGAAUCUUGACAUAUGUUGAAUCCAACCGUGGCAAAAGUGAAAGAAACAUUGACAUAUGUCAUACUAACAAAGAUUCCAUCAUUAGUAGAAAUAGAAACAAUCUUAAUAUAUGUAAAUGUCAAGGUAGAUUUAAACUUUUCUUGACAGCAUAGAUGACAUAUAUGAAUAGUAACAUACCUUGAUAGAUAUACCCUAUCUUGAUGGUGAAAAACUGUCAAUGAAAGCCUUUUUUCUUGUAGUGUUACCAAGCUGCUUCAUUGUGUUGUCUCUCAACCUUAAGACAAUAUCGAGUUUAUGCUAAAUUUAUCAAUGACUUUGAGUUACGGGUGAGACUAUAAGCUGAUCAUAUAUUCCCUAUGGAUUAGGUCAUUGUUGAUGGAAGCGAUAGCAAUAGGUAUUCUCAAUAGAUGUACCAUGAUAUCUCUUGGGAUUGAGACAACGUGUUCCCUUGGGUGAUCCUAAAGAGGUGUGUUCAUGGAAACCAUGGCCACAGUAGUUCAUUAAGUGGAACUUGACACAAGCUCUUUGAGAGCUAAGAUAUGUCAAUUGACUUCACAAUAGGAGGAUAGGAUGGUAGAGGUAGUCUUGAAAGGCUAAUAGUUUUCACCUUGUUAGACUACGGACACCAAUUCAUGGAGAGACUGAACACAAUGGAUAGCAGGUCGCAGACCCGAGCAUUUUGGUGUCUUAUUGUUAUUUAUAUAGGAUAUUGGAGUUCAGUUGAUUCUCAGUAGUGGGAUGUUGAAUCAACUUUAAAAAUGGAUUUUGAGAGAGCCAAUAUUCCUAUGGGUCCCAAUGGUCCCUGCGCUAAGCUUAUAUACCUUGUUGGCAUGAAUUAUGAGGGUCAGAUUAGCUCUAGGUUCACUUUUGUGCAUAAGGGUGUUUUGGUAAUUAUGUAAGGUUGCACAAGGGUAAAUGAACAAGGUCUCUGAAUAGGGCUAAUUGAUUAAUUAGUAGCCCUAUUGGGUUAAUUAAUCAAUUAAGACCAAUUUUGGGCUAGAUUAAGUGACCCAAGUCCAUGUGGGCUCAAGUCACUUAAGCCCACUUAGGAACCCUAUAAAUACCCCCUAGGGGUUAAGGUUUUCACAGCUUUUGUCUUCCAUAAUCCAAAGAGAUGAGAUUCAUGGCCUUCACCCUAUUUUCCUCCUUACCGAAAGUGUGCCAAGAUCAAGGUUCAAGUUAUUAGGUAAAAAAUAGUGGGUUUACGAAACUUCUACCAUUUUGUUCUUCAUCUUCACCAUAUGGAUUUGAUUUGGGAGCAACAGAAUCUACGGUAUUGUUUUCAUUAGCACUUUAUGAAUCCUUUUAAAAUAUAAAAAUUGUAUUUUUCCAUUGUGCAUAAGAUUUAGAAAAAUCCUAGGAUAGUUAUGCACAUUCCUAACUUGAUCCAAACUUGGGAAACAAAAAGAUCCUGGUUUUUCCCUUCAACUGGUAUCAGAGCCAUAGGUUAGUAAUUGUGUUAGAACCAUUCUAGGGUGUGCUAACUUGUUUUUACAGGUUUUUAAUUUAUCUCAUGGCCCUAGGGAUAAUUAAUGUGUGUUCUUUAUUAUGAUCUUGUUAUAGUAUAAUGGUUAUAAUUGUGAUUGCUUUUAAUUGGGGAUGUAAUAAUUACUUGGAUUGGUUUUUACCUUUCCUAAAUGGGUUGUAAGCCUCAUAAGAGUCAUAGAAUUUUUUUUUUUUUUGUAAAAAUCCCUAUUUUAUCUUAAAAUGGUAUGUAAACUCUAAAUAUUUGGAGUAUAGUUUUUAUUUGUAAAAAUCCAUAUAUAUAUAUAUCAUUCUUUGUAACCUAUGGAGAGUAUGGAAUCAAUCUGAAGCAUCACAAAGUAUUUGCGCAUAUUUCCUUGUCGGAAAAGAGAAAAGAAGGCUUCUUAAAGUUUCUUUCAUGAGUUCUUAUGGUGAUUUAAGGGAAAAGAAAGAAUUUUGGAAGUUCUUGAUUUGAGAUCCUUGGCAGCACAAUUUCAUCAUUUUUAACUUAAAACUAAGAUGAAUUCCUAUGAGUUUCUUAGAGCAAGUCACCUAUGAUUUUGAAGGUUAAGAAAUCCAAGGCUUCAAACAGAUCACAAUUCAGAGUUGAAACUAGAGAGUUAUAUCUGAUUGAAUCAAGGCUGCGCAAAGAGCAUGGUAGCACAGUGACGCUAAUUUCAACUCAAAAUUGGGGCUACCUCCUAUGAGCUUUUUGGAGAAAACCACAUAUGGUUUUGAAGCUUAGGAAGUUAGGAAUCCAGUGCUUUAAAUGAAUUUCAAUUUGGAGUUGAAACAAGGGAUAUAUGGUUGAUUGAAGCAAGACUUUGCAAAGGGUAUGCAAUUAUGGGAUUGAGUUCAGGCCAAAUUGUGUUUGGUUGUUUGGGCUUAAUUUUUGGGCCUCUUAUCUUUUUGUGGCAUUUUGGGCCCGUUGGGUUUUUCUUUUUUUUUUUUCACCAACCCCAUUUUUUAUUGCAGGGCUUUUUUGGUAAUUUGGAUUUUAUCUAAGUUUUAGUUAUCAAAUUUGCAAUAGAAUCCCUAAGGCCAUGAGAAUUAUUUAUUUAAUUUUCUUUUAUGUCUUUUAUGUUUUUUUAUUUUUGGCAUAGAAUAUAUUUUGGUAUUCUUAAGUUAAUAAAUUUUCAUAUUUUUUUUCCUUAUUUAAGAUAAUUUAUUAAAUUGGAAUGUGCUAGGAAUAAGGAAAUUUUUUAUUUUAGGUAAAGAUAAUCUGGAAAGAAAUAAGGAACUUACUUCCUUUCCAAAAUUAAACUUUUAGAGAUUUGUUUUUAAAUAAAUCUUUUUAGAUUUUAGAUCUCUAAGAAUCUUUUUAUUUUAAGGAAGAAGUUUUAUGUUUCCAAGUCUUUAUGAAAUAAAUUUUUUCCUAUUUAGAACAAGAUUCUAAUUUAAAGAAAUAAAUUAUUUUUGGAAAAAUAUAUGAUAGAUAAUUAAUCAUUAAGAUAGUUUACCAGUAUAUUGUUUCAAAUAAAUUAAAUUAAAAUGGUAAUUUUGAAUUUUCUUAAAAGAAUAAAUUUUCAUGAGUUUUAUUUCCAUUAUUAUUUAUUUAAGGAAUUGGUUGUUGUCAUUUGGAAUUUCAAAUUCCUUUUGGGACUUUCCUUUAUUUGAGUUAAGUGGUUCUCCAUGCUCUCUCCCCUCUCAAAGAGAAGGAGAAUGACACCUAAAUUGGUCCUCCAGGCUCUUCCCCCUUAAGAGAAUGAGGAAAUCGUUUAGUUUGAAAAGAAAAAUUCAAGGACAAGGAAUAUGAAAGAUAUCCCUAUUUGGCACAAGGGUCCCAAUUCAAGUAAUAAAUAAAAGUUUUGGAAAUUCUUAUGAUAGAUAAUUUAUAUUAAGAUAGUUAUCAAAAUUAUCUUAAAGUCUCACUUCCAAAAUAUUAAGUGGGAGUGGGCCAUAGGCAAGCCCAUAGCCUCCAAUAUCGAGUCCAACUUGAUUUUGGGUCCAUCACCAUCUUAAAGAUGGGGUGGGCCAAGGAAUCAAGGGAUAUGAACUAUCCUUUAUGGAUAAGACUAUAUAUGUUUGUAGUGGGAGUGACCAAUCCUAAAGAUGGAACUCUUCACUUGGUAACAUUGAUGUCAAGGAUCUUAGUUACACACUUAACUUAGACAUGAAGUGGUAGAAUCACCUAAAGUGGUCCCAGUUGCAUGGGCUAAAGAAUAAGCAUAAAGGUAUGUUGAUCAAUGCCUUAGGAUAACCUUAGGAGGUUUAAGGCAAGUUAAUUAAUUAGAGGGGGUCUCUACCUAGUAAUCAGAGUCAUGGCUUGCCUGAAGUAGCCUUGUUUCUUAUGAUACUGGGACACCUUGCAUGGAUAUAUGUAGUUUGAGAGCACUAUAUUUUUACUAAAUUAAUUACCAACUUGCCUUGAAUUCUUAAUUUUUUUUUAUUAACGCUUGGAAUUAUUAUAUUUGUUACAGAUAUCAUGUCUUUAACCUGUCACUUAUUAUCUUUUGUUUAAAUUGGACUUAAUUAUGUAUUGAAAAUUAUCUGGAUAUAGUAUUAAUUGCAUAGAAGCUGAUUUUGGUAAAGUUUGUUAUUUCCUUCGAACAAUCCUAUCAUAAAGUAAGAUAAGCAUAUCAAAGGUAGCAUAAUAUGGAUCAAAAUACUAAGUCUCUCAAACUUAGAUCUUUAGAUAAUGUGUUGCAAAAGUAACACAUGUCUAUUGUCAUAGUCUGUGAUAUUCUCUUUAAAGUUGCAAGGGUUAUUUGGUGAUAAAGGCAAGUUAACUAGACAAGUUGCACUUAAGAUUAUUAUGAACACUAGGAUUCAAGUUAUCUUAAGAAGAUUCUCAAAGAGUAAAAGUGUGUACAUAUGGAAGUCAAGGUUCUUCAGGUUUUUCUAACAAAAAAAAGAACAACACCACCAAAUAAGGGAAGUUUAAGAAAAUGAAUGAAAGAACAAACUCAUGGACAAUGAUUCCUUUGUGACCUUUUAGGACACAAGAAAAGGAAUGCUCAAGAGUUUCAAAUGAUAGGCAAGUACACAUCAUAUUCUCAUUGUUAAAUAAAUAGUGGUGGAUUUCACCAAUUGUGGUGGAUAGAUUCUAGGCCCACUAUCUAUAGUUCUUUACAGGGUUUUCAACAAGUGAGAAGGUCAUAUGAUGGGAUAGUACUUACCUUAGCUUCAAUUGCAAAAUUAGUUAUGCAAGUUAGAGGGAGGUAUUACCUUUUUUUUUGUGAGACUCCAUCAACACUUUGCCAAGUAAUGAGAAUAGUCAAAUCUCACUAAGAGAAAGAAUCUAGCACUAAUCAAACAUUUGGCUUCUAGUGUCUAAGUUAUAUUAAUCUAAAUAGGAUUCAAAGACAAAUUAAGUUUGGAAUUUCUUAAUCCAUAAGAUCUUUCAGUCUAUGAAUCUUAUAUAAAUGGUAAAAUGACCAAGAGACCCCUUUAUUUUUAAAGGGCAUUGAACCAAGGAAUGUUUGGAGUUAGUGCAUACUCACAUGUAUGAACCUUUUCGUGUUUAUAUAUGGAAAGUAUGGGUAUUUGAUCAUUUUAAUGAUACAUACUCUAGGUUUGGAUAUGUAAAUAGGAAAUUCUGAUGCCUUUGAUAAAUUCAUGGAAUUUAAGGUGGAAUCAAAUAACCUAUUGGGUAAACAUAUCAAGACACUUCGAUUAGAUCAAGGUAAUGUGUCUAGUAGGUUCGAUCCUUUCUAUAUGGAGUAUGAGAUGAUAUUAUAGUUGUGUGCACUAAAGACUCCAUUGCAAAAUAGAGUAAUGGAAAGAAGAUAUUGAACUUUGAAAGACAUUGUGAGAUCGAUGAUUGGUUUCUCAUUAUUUCCCAUAUUCUUUGGGAAUAUAUCUUAAAGGAUGUAUAAUACCCCUUUUUCUAAAGAGGUGUAUCACUUUAUAAGACAUCCAAGAGGAUUUAGGGAUUAGUACUUUAUAGUUAGGAUUAUCAGAAGGUGUUUAUUGUUACAAAUACUAGAUUUCUGAUGAAGACUAUAUGAUAUGUAAUAAGGCAAAUAAUGAUAUAGAUUGAAGAAUACUAAAAGAUAGUCCCACUAUACACAAGAUACUAUGGAUCUAGUACCAAGCAUUCCAAUUUCUAAUACACUGAUGUCUUAUCGUAGUAGGAGUGUUGUUAAACAACCAAACCAAUUCAUGUAUUUGUUAAAGUCUUUCAAGGCCAUUCUAAAGGAACAUGAGAUGAAUCACAUAGAUUACAAUAAAGAAAUGAGAAAUGUGGAUGCACAUCUUUAGCAAAAAUCUAUGGAGGCAGAGUUAGAAUCCUUGUGAUUAUAAUGUAGUCUAGGUUCCCAUAGAAGCACCUAAAGGAAUAAAACCCAUAGGUGUGAGUUGGUUUACAAGAGGAACAAAGGAGCAGAUGGAAAAAGUUGAGAUUUAUGUGGCUAAGUUGUAGCUAAAGGUUAUAGUUUGAAACAUUAUUUCAAACAUAGGAAAUCUUUUCACUAGUAGCCAUAUUCAGAUCCAUUAGACUACUAAUACCUAUUGCGGUGUAUCUUAUUUAUGAGAUAUUACAAUAGGAUGUCAAGAUAGUGUUCUUAAAUGAUUAUCUUGAUAUUAAUAGCAUAUGAUGUAACUAGAUAUUUUCAUAGCAAAGGGCUACAAGAAGGUGUAGGAAAGCAUGGUGGUCUUUAUGAUCUUGUAUGUUGAUGACAUUCUACUCAUUGGUAAUGAUGUAGGGCUAUUGUCAUUAAUUAAAAUCGGGUUGUCUACUCAGUUCCAAUUGUAGGAUCUGGGGUAAGCGUAGUAUAUUCUUGGGAUUAAGGUCUUUAGGGACCACAAAAAUAAGAAACUAGUGAUAUCUCAAGCUACCUACAUAGAUAAGCUUUUGGUUAAGUAUGUGAUGCAGGAUUCCAAGAAAGGUUUAUUACCUUUUAGGCAUGGAAUCCCACUUUCAUAGGAUCAGUGUCCUAAAACACUUGAAGAGAAAGAGCACAUGCAAUCAAUACCAUAUGCCUCUACAGUGGGUAGUCUUAUGUAUGCGAUAUUAUGUACUAAGCCAUAUAUUUUCUUUGAAGUGGGUAUGGUGAGUAGAUAUCAGUCUAAUCUAGGUCUAAAACAUUGGACAACUAUCAAGCAUAUACUAAAGUAUCUUAGGAGAAUGAGGGAUUAUGUGCUUGUGCUCCAAAGUGUUGAGAUAGUUUAGAGGGUGACAGAUGGUUGACAAGAUACCUUCUAUGGAGAACCUAGUGGAUCUCUUCACCAAGACAUUGACAGAGAGAGUAUUUUUUUGUCAUAGGGAUAACAUAGGUUUCAAAUGAGUAUCUGGCAUGCUUUAUAGGAAUGAUGCUUUAGUGGGAGAUUGUUAGGAUAGAGCCCUUAAAAGAAUGACAUGAUGUAAUAAAUUUGCAAUUCAUUAUUUAUUUAAUGAUGUUCCAAUUUCACUUUUAUCUAUCCUUAUUCCAUGUAUUAUACUUUAUAAGCAUUCUUGCCUGCAUUUUUUGCAUUGUAUGUGACUUAGGUGCAUUAGGAGCUGCACAAAAGAUCUAAGUCAUGAGUUCCUUGAAAAUAGAUGACUUGUUCACAACCGGUUCAUGGGUCUAGGCAACACAUUAGAGGUUGUAGUGCAUCAUCUCCUAAUUGGAAGGAUGACUAGUAUUAGCUAUCGGGAUGGGUUUCCCAUGGUGAGUGCACUAGUGUGUGUAUGGUUUCACAUUGGGCAGGACCUACAGUGAGUCAUGACUUAAGGCUAUCAAGUAGUCAUGACCUCACCAAGCUACUUCAUUGUGUUGUGUCUCAACAUUGAGAUAAUAUUAAGUUUGUGCUAAAAUUAGCAAUGACUUUGAUCUAUGGGUGAGAUUAUAAGAUGAUCGUAUAUUCCCUAUGGAUUGGGUCAUUAUUGAUGAAAGCUAGUAGCAAUAGGUAUUCUCAAUAGAGGCACCAUGAUAUCUCUUGGGAUUUAGACAAUGUGUUCCCUUGGGUGAUCCUAAAGAGGUGUGUUCAUGGAAACCAUGCCCAUAGUAGUUCCUUAAGUGGAACUUGACAUAAGCUCUUUGAAAGCUAAGAUAUGUCGAUUGAAUAUAUAAGAAGAGGAUUUGUAAAUUAAGGAUGGUAAAGGUAGUCUUGAAAGGCUAAUAGAUUUCACCUUGUUAGACUACAGACACCAGUUCAUAGGGAGACGAAACACAAUGGAUAGCAGGUCACAGACCUGAUCACUUGGUGUCUCGUUGUUAUUUACAUAGGAUAUUGGAGUUCAGUUGAUUCUCUGUAGUGGGAUGUUGAAUCAACUUUAAAAAUGGAUUUUGAGGGAGCCAGUAUUCCUAUGGGUCCCAAUGGUCCCCGCUCUAAGCUCAUAUACCUUGUUGGCAUGGAUUAUGAGGGUCGGAUUGGCUUUAGGUUCACUUUUGUGCAUAAGGGUAUUUUGGUAAUUAUGUAAGGUUGCAUAGGGGUAAGUGAACAAUGUGUCUAGAUUAGGCUAAUUGAUUAAUUAGUAGCCCUAUUAGAUUAAUUAAUCAAUUAAGAUCCGUUUUGGGCUAGAUUAAGUGACCUAAGCCCAUGUGGGCUCAAGUCACUUAAGCCCACUUAAGAACCCUAUAAUUACCCCUUAGGAGUUAAGGUUUCCAUAGCUUUUGUCUUCCUCCAUCCAAAGAGAUUGAGAGCCAUAGCCUUCACCCUCUUUUCCUCCUCAUCGGAAGUGUGCCAAUAUCAAGGUUCGAGUCAUUGGGUGGAAGAUUGUGGGUUUAUGAAACUUCUACGAUUUUGUUCUUCAUCUUCACCAUGUGGAUUUGAUUCAGGAACAACCAGAUCUGAGGUAUGAUUUUCGUUAGCAGUUUUUGAAUCCUUUUAAAAUAUAAAAAUGUAAUUUUUUUAAUUGUGCAUAGGAUUUAGAAAAAGCCUAGGAUAGUUAUGCCUGUUCCUAACCUAAUCCGAGCUUGGGAAAAGUAGAGAUCUUGGUUUCUCCCUUCAGAGCGGUAGAUGAAUCCAACUAACCUAUUUUUGAGAUUAAUUUUCAGCCCUUGGAUUAAGGGUUUCAUUUUCAUUUAAAAUGAACUUUCUCCCAUUUUUGGAGAAGAGAGAUUACAAUAGCCAUUCUGGUGCUCCUUAUUCCCACUUCUCUUUGAGGUUGCUUGCUCCAAGAAAAUCCCAUCCAAGUUUUCCAAUAUAUGUAUAUUUUUUUUAUGGAUUUUUUGAAAAUGAACAUGGUUGAUUUCUGAAACAUUCAUAUCUCAUUCUCUUGGUUUUGUGUAAAAACCCAUUUUCUUCUUGUGUGAAUUAAAGAAAAGAUUAAGGUCGAGCUUGGUACGAAUUCCAAGUGUGCUUCGAAAGAAAAAGGUGAGAAACUGAAAGUGAAGGUACUAGUCAAGCGGUCCGGGAAGGAUUGGUUGGCUUGAGGUAUAACCUUGUUUUCAGUUUUAUUUUUCACAUUGGAUGUUUUAGAUCGGUAGUAAGCUCAUGGUUUUUGAUCUCUUAAAAGGUUUUCCAUGUUAAAAUCCAGUGUCUAUUGUCUCUUUCUCUCACUCAACUCUUUGAUUUAUUUUCAGUUUUUGAUAUAUUGGAUACUUGGGCAUAUAUGUUGAAUGAAAGACAUAUGAACUAAAAUAAGUGUGAUUAUCCAUGAAAUAUAUUCAAUUAUUUUUCUAUUCAUUUUGGUUAAUGAUGUGGGAUCCUAUUGAUAGGAAUAUGAUAUUACUAACAGAGUAGGGAGUAGGGCAGGAACAUAAAGACAUGGAAGCAUAGGGGAUAGGGAAGCAGUGCAAACCUUUCCAUUCUAGGUAUGAACAACAGUAAUUCAAAGUUGGAAAGUUGUUGUGAAACUACUUGUCUAAAUGUCAUGGCAAGAAUGUCUUUAGACGUAGCCCUUGACAAAAUAUCAUCAGUGAGAGAUCUUCUCAACCUAUUGGCUUUCUCUUUAACUUUUCUGGUAGGUAAAAACUUUUUAAACAAAAGACUCUUCAAUUUACUUAUUGUAUUGCAUAGUUAUUGGUUUCUAAUGAAACUCUGAGCACAUGACCAAAACAAAAAUUAAUCAUCACACCACUUUAUCUGUAAACCAAAAGUCAAGGAAAUGCCCAUGAGGUUCUAUCACUCAUUCAAUUACUGGCAAAUUUAGACGAACCACAAAUGCUAAAAGAUGGUUGAAAAAACAAUGAGGAUAUGCAACUCCAAACAGAAAACAAAGAUGAAUGCGGGAUUAUGAAUUACUCCAACAAACCACACAGGUUGUGUUUAUGUAUCAUUUCUCUUCACAAAUCUAUUGCACAAGUACAAUUUUUGUAGGAAAUGACCAAAUCUCAAACUCAACCAAUGUAGCAAUAAUAUGCAAACAAUUAAAGUCACAAAGAAUGACAAGGUUAUCCUUUCAUUUCAAAGUAAUAAUAAGCACAUUUGUUUUCUCACCAAUAAUUUCCACUAUCAGUCGUUUGAAAUGCCACAGUAUUUAACUAAAAUAAAGUCAAUCUCAACCUGGUCUAUCAGAUGAAACAUUCAUGCUCAUUCGAGAUCUUUGCAUGUAUCACUAAUAUGCUGCAUCCCAAGACACCGUUCAAUUAAAAUGCCACCAAUAUACAAUGACAUGUAGGUUUAAAUAAAAUUCUAGCCAACUUACCCUAUAUGAAGCAGUUUUUGUUGAAGCCACAUCUCCUUCCGUCCAAAUGCAUUUACAUAAACAUAGCCAAGCAUCCACAAGAGAUGGAUUCCACUUCACUUGAAGCUACAUCUUCUGCUUCUUGAACAUUGAACUCUUGAUAUUUUUUUUUUUCAAUCUUGUACUCAUGCUACCAUCAAUAGUUACCAAUGCUAAUAAAUAAAAUUGACUAACCAAUUACCAUUAAAGCUGUAACUCUCAUUCCACUCUUGCAAAUGAUAUUAUAGCAAUUUAAAAUUAAUCUAUCACGUAAUUGAGUGGUUAUACUUAACAAAAAGGAAAAAAAAAAAAAAGAGAUAUCAACAAAGACUCUGAGCCAUGAAUGGGGGAGAACUUGCACUUGCACUUGCAUACAACAAAGAUUGAAAUGUUGUGAAAUAUUGGAGAUAUUUCACCCAUUUUUUAGUAUCGACCGGUCUCAUCACAAUACCUGGCAUAGUUUGAUCUAAUGGGCCAAAGUUUGAUCUGCCCCACUAACCUAUACAUGAUGAUUUUUCAGUUUUGUACAAAGGGCCAAGAGUGGAUCAAGCCCAACCAUAUCAUAUUUGUCAAUUGACCAAAGUUAAUUUUUUUUUUUUAACUUUUCGUUGAUAAAUUGGUGAAAUAACAAUUUUAACCCAAUUUUUCAAUUUUGUCAGUGAAAUGUCAGUGAUAUAUAAGCCCAAUUUUUUUAGUUUUGUCUAAUGGGCCAAAGUUAUGUAAGCCCAAUUUUUUUAGUUUUGUUUAAUGGGCCAAAGUUUGAUCAGCCCAACCAACCUAUACGUGAUGAUUUUUCAGUUUUGUACAAUGACCCAAGAGUGGAUCAAGCCCAACCAUAUCAUAUUUGUUACUUUUAAAAUUUUGUUUGGAUCAAGCUCAACCAGCCCAUUUAUGGUAGCUAUGAUUGUACAAGACACUAUCUUAAAUAGAGAUUAUAGUGCUUUGUUUUCUUUUAAGUUUUCGAUGUGGCAUUGUGUUUUUAUUUACACAUAAAAAAAUAAAAAUAAAAAUAAAAAUAAAAAUAAAAAGUAUGCUAAACUUGGAUAUGUAAUUAAUAGAUAUAGCUUAUGCCAUUGAACAAAACUUUAUUUUGUGUUAAAUAUGAACUUUAGAAUUAUAUAUAUAAUAUCUUUUAUAAAUUAAUUAAAAUAAAAUGAUUAUAAAUAAACUAAUUGUAAUUAUAUUAUUAUCUAUUUUGUAUACUAAUUAAAUAUAAGACAAAUAUAAAUUCAUAAAUAAAAUUAUUAAUAUUUUUAAAUAAAAAUAUUUUAUAUCAAAAUAUCCACCCAUAUAACUCAAUAUAUCCAUAAAAUUAGGUUAUUGGUAUAUUCACAAAAACUUAUAUUUUCAUAAUUGGAUAUCAAGACUCAACCUUAGCCAAUUCCAUGAUUAAGAUGAAGUAGAAGUAGUGGUCACAACUAUCGAUCCAUCCUCUAAUGAUUGGCCUUGUCGUCUUUCAACAAAUAGAAUUCACAACAGUUAUAGUUGAAAGCCAUGGCAUCUUUGGUUUUCAAGGAUGGGUUGGUUGAAAUAUCGAAGCUUAGGGUUUCUGAGUUGCUCAACAUUUAUGAUUUGAUACUCAAUUAUCAAGUCGCUUCCCAAUCUUGGGAGGAUUCCAUGUGUCUUCUCCAAAAUAACAUUUUAAAAUAUUUUAUUUAAAUUCAAUUUUAAUUUUCAAAUUAAAAAUUUUCAAUAAAGUGAUAAAUUUGAUCAUGAAAAUUAAUUUUUUUUUUCAAUAAAGUAGUAAAUUAGAUGAUUUAAAAUUACUUACAAAUAAAUUUUUAUUAAGAGAAAAUUUGUAAUAUUAUUUCACUUAAUAUAUUAUUUAUAGCGCUACUUGUAUUAGGAAUUUUAUUGAAUUUCUUUAAAUGCAUUAUAAGUUUUCACACAUGUCUAUUAUAUUUUAUUGGCUAAAUAUAUAUUUUUUAUAAUAAAAUAAAAAAAAAACUCAUUUCAAAUAUACUAAAAAUGAUUGAUUUUCGAUAAAUAAAAGCCAAAUGGAACAUUUGUCCAUAAACAAAAAUUUACAAUAAAAUUCACCAUAAAUAAAUAUUAUGAUUAAAUAUGACUUUUAACCAAUGUUUUCAAAACUGGAUUGAUCAUUGAAUUGGAAAAAUUACUGGUUCACAGUUCACUGGUCGAACCGCAGUUGAACCAAUGAUGCAAUAAAUAUAUAUUUUAUAUAUUAUAUAAAAUUAAAAAUAAUUAUAAAAAAUUAAAAAUAUAUAAAAUUACAAAUUUUAAUAAUGUUUGAUUUGUAUUUUAUUUUUUUAAAAUUAUUAUAUUAAUUAAUUUAAAUUAUUUUUUAUAAUUAUUAUUAUAUUAUUAUUAUAAAAAUAAACAGGAAUUUAAAUAUUUACAUUUUUUUAAAGAUUUUAUGUGAUAAAAAAUUGAAAUAAAAACAUUAAUCUUAGAUUCUUACUAUAUAUAUAUAUAUAUAUUUAACAUCAUUUAAUAAAUAUGGUACAAUAUUCAAUGGUUUAAUGACUUCAAACUUUAAUUUUUAAUAGAUUCGUGCAUCCAAUCCUCCAAGAAGCAAUGUUUUACCUCUAAUAAGUCCCAGUCCCAGUCCCACAUCGGGAGCACAUAGAAUACAUGAAUUCUAUGUGCUCUAAGUGCUCUACAAAUACCUUUCAACAUCCCUUAUAAGCCAACCUUGCCAGCGAAUUGGGCUUGGAGGUAUGGCUCAAAUAUUGGCUCAUAAGAAAUAUGUUUUAUAAGCAUUUCUUAUCAAUGGAUUAGGCCUAAUGGCUUGGACCAAAUAUGGGCUUAUAAUUAGUUUUAGUUUUAAAAGUAUUGGGCGUGGAUUGAGCUUGAUGGAUAAUGAGCCUCUUAAUAGUAAACAAAUAUUUGUAGCAAUUAAGGUCUGGCUGAUUUGGAAAAACCGGAACGGUUUGCUUGGUUUGAACGGUUCAAUAUCGGUUUGACCACGAAGUGGUUCAUUGAGAUGGACCGAACCGGAAAGUCUACCAGUCAACAAUUCGAUUGGUCCAACCGGCUGCUCUGAUCUAAUUUUUAAAACAAUGCUUUUAACUAUGAAUAUAGAAUUCAUACUAUAAUCUUAAGAAAAUCGAUUUGCCAUAAAUAUAUGAUGUGGUUAACUAUGAUUUUUUACUAUGAAUCUAAAUAGUCUUUUUGUCAUGGUCUUGGUGAGUUUGGAGAUAGCAUGAGCCACCUCAGCUAAUAGUUCCUCUGUGGAUGUAGUGCUCGUUGUCAUUACUGGCAUAAUCACCAUGAAAGAAGAAGUAAAAAGAGUUGAAAUGGUUGGAGGAGUCGUCAUUCUUUAACAUUCUAGUUAGUGAUCUAGAGUGUGAGUUAGAAUUAGUAACAAAGUAAGGGGACUUAUUCCUAGAGUCCUUGAGUGUUGAAUGGUGUUUUUCCUUACCAUGAGAACUUUGUCCUUUUGCCCCCAAAAAGGCCAAAGUGAUGAUUGGUUAGUAGCUAUCGUGUGUCCCUAUUGUUUUUAAAAAAUGAGUGUUCUCACUUGCUAACUUUGUUGAUAGUGCAGUAGUUGAUUUUGUUUUACUAUGAGUCAUAGCAUCCAUAGAGGUGUUGUAUGUCAAUUGGGUAAUGACAAUCUUAUCAUCACCCUUGUCAACAUGUGUAGCUUGAGCCUUCUUAAAUGUCAUUGUCUUGGUAGUGAUCACUUUCUUGGUGAAAGAGAUGAGAGGCAAAAAGAUCCCACCGAGCGUGUAAAAAAUUUGUAUGCACAAAUUUCUUAAAAGUCCUACAAUGUAAGCAAAACAUGAGGAAAAUAUGCAAAACAAUUUUACUUUUUUUACUUAAAAUUGAUAAAUAAAUCGUGGGGUACAAUCUUUGUAGUAAUAUUAUUUUUAAAAAUAAUAUAUCCCUCUAAUUUUUUCACCUUGAUCACUAUUUGGAAGACGAAAAAACGUUUUCUUAAUUUCACAGAUCAAUCGAGGGCCAUAAAGGGCUUGUUCCCGAAUGAACUCGUUGAGUGACAAAGAUCGCCUGUAUAGACUAUGACAAUGUUUUCUUUGUUUUCAAAGUCGAUUGAGGGCCUAGAGUGGCUUAUUUCUAAAUAACUUUAUUGAAAGACAAAGAACGUGUGUAGUUCUUCCAUGGUUUAUUAGACUUGUAAGGAGAUUUUGAAAAGCUUUUUCUUCUUUGUGAAGCCUCAUUUCCCAUGUGGAGUUGUUUUGGUAGAACCCUAAGAAGUCUUCUGAUUGAAGAAAGUCAACCCUAUUUAUAGAUGAAAUUAGGGAAUUAAAAUUUUAGAAUUCCCCAAUAUUUAUUUAAUGCUUGAUUUUAGCAACUUAUCUUCUUCCUUAAGGAAAUUUGUCAACAUGAAAAUAUUUAUUUAUUUAUUAUUCUCUUUCCACUUCAAUUGAAAUGUUUGUUUCGCUUAGAAAUUUCUCAACAAGUGAAUAUUUUAUUUUAUUUUAAUUCUCUUUUGAUAACACUUUUGUAAUCUUCCAAAUUUCAUCAUGUGUCACCCUUUUAACACAUGUCAUAUGUCACAUGUGUGUAGACCUAUCACUUGUUGAUCCCAAAUUUUGUUGAAUUGGGGAGCCACACAUCUUUUGAAGACCAAUUUAAGUGAUAAUUUAUUUCACUAAAAAUUUUGAUGUCUACACUUGGUUUUUUCUUUAAUAUAAUUGUUAGGUUUUUAAAUAUAUAUUUUAAAAAAAUAUAUUUUAUCAAUAAGGCUUUACUUCAACUAUUCUUACUGUUUGUAUAAUUAUUAUUUAAAAUAAUUCUUUGAAAAUAAAUAAAAUGCAUUUUUAGAAAAUGCUUUUUUUUUCUUAUGUUAAGUUUAAGAACAAAAAAAAUUGUUUUAUGUUAAAAGGUUAUCAAACAUGCUUGUUUUUCUAGGUUUUUUUUUUCUUUAGAACAUAAAACUAUUUUUAGAAAAAGCUUCAAAACAUACCCAUAGGCUCAAUUUGAGAAUAUUUUAAAAAAUAAUUAUGAGAAACAAGUUUUUGUGAACAACUCUUGAAAACUAUUUUAUACUACUUUUGAAAAUAAAAUUGAGUUAAAAAUAGGAAAAUUAAUAAGACAACUAAAACAAAUCCCUUUUCCUAGAACACUAAAAAGCCAAAUGGAUAUUGCUUAAAAUUUCAAGAUUUCCCAAUAAUGUAAAAGAAAAAAAAAGUUCUAAUAGAACCUGAGUAAGCUAUAAAGAUCGAGAAUAAAAUCAAAAUACACCUAGAUGGAAAAUAGCCAUCUGGGUGGCUGAUUAUGGGCAAAAACAAAGGGAAAAAGAAAAAAAAAAAUUAAAGAAAGAAAUCAAGGAAGAACAGCUUUUUCCAGUGGGCUUGAGAUUCAAUGCGUACACUAGAAGACUUUGCUCUCACUUUCUUUGAGAUCAAAUGACCAAAAAGCAAACAAAUAGGCAAAGCCAAUAAAUAUCAUCAACCAAACACAACAAAGAACACGUUUUCCUACAUUUUCUCUGGAACCAAACAAAGGCAAACAAAACAACUAUCAAUUCAACUCACAAAACAUAAAAAUAAAAAUAAACCAAAACACUAUCAUUAGAGAUGAAAUAAGCUAUAUCUACAAGUAUUUAUCAAAUAUGUGGAAGCCUCAUGAUUAGAAAUCAAGUGCCCUAGAUACUCCACUUUUGGUUAACCAAAGUUAGACUUAGAUUUUUUGAUAAAUAGCUUAUGUUGUUUGAAUCUCUAAGGUGUUGGACAAAUGAUCCAAGGGCUCUUCUCAUCUAUGACUAUAAAUCAAGAUGUCAUUGAAAAAUAAAUUAGUAAAGAUAAGGUCAAAAUACCUCAUCCGAUAGAUUUUGGAAGGUAGCUAGCUUGUUUGUCAAUCUGGAAAGUAUGACAAGGAAUUCAUAAUGGUCUUCAUGAGUGAAAAUGUUUUGUGAAUUCCUUAUGGAUGGACUUGUAUUUGGUGAUAGCUAAAGUGUAAAUCUAACUUAGAAAUUUUUUUGCUCCAUGUAGAUCCAUAGAAAGGUUCAUCAAUCACUAAUGUAGGAAAUUUAUCCUUAAUGGUUUCCUAGUUCAACGGUCUAUAAUCAACGCACAUGCACCAAGUGUUAUCUUUCUUUCUUUUAAAAUAACAAUAUAGGAGAUGAAAAGGGUCUCAUAGUUGGUCGAAUUGUACCAGCUAGCAGUAUCCCACACAAUAUUCUCAAUUUCAUUUUUUAGGCAUAGGGAUAAUGAUGAGUUUGAACAUUUAUAGGUGGGUUUUCGAUUUUAUUGGAAUCGUAUGGUCAUGGGAUCAUUACAGGGGUAAGCCAUGAGGUUCUAUAAAAACAAUUUCAAACUUGGAUAGUAUUUAGGUCAUUUAGAUUUUGGUUUUUAAGGUUAGGCAUUGAUGUAAACUCUAUUUGAAUAUAAAAUAGUUUAGCAAUCAUAACUUACACCAAUUUCACAUUUUUUUUUCCAUUUAGGCAAGCCUAAUAAAUUUGAUUGAUCUACCAAUAGCACCAUGUAGAAUAUGUUGUUGAUGAUUGAAUCAAAAUUCCAUUUUUUGUUCAUGAAAAUCACACAUAAUAAUACCAAAAUUAGUGAGCCAUGGAACCCCUAAAUGCCUUGCCAGAACCAUUAAGAUAUAUAUAAUGAGUGAAAUCAUUAGUGAAAGUGGUGCCUUCAUGCUCAAUCUAAUUAUUGACACAUGUCUUUACUUGAAAUCUUAAAACCAUUUGUAACAACCAUUGAAAAAUAAUCAGUUUGAAGAAUAGGACAAGUUGUUCAUUUGAUGACACUAGGGUCCAAAAAAUUAUGAGUUCUACGAGAGUCAAUCAAGAUAGUAAUAAACAUUUUCUUGAUAAACCCCUUAAUUAAGAUAGUUUGGCAAGAUAACAAAUUUGAAAGUUCAUGAAUAAAGAUUAUCAAUCUUUUAAAUCUUCACUAAUGUCAAAUUGUUGGUACUUAAUUUCAUUCAUCUUUUUUUUUUUUUUUUUUUUUUUUUUUGCUCUCCUUUCAACAAAUAACUAUAAAACUUUUUACAUUGAUGGCUUAACAUGUACUUUUCAUCACAAUAGUAGCAUAACUCCUACACAAUUCUCUUGAUAGGAGGUAGGGAAUCUAGUGUCAUUGACUUGAACAGGUUGAUAGUUAAGGAAGUUGGGUUUCACUACAUUUGAUUGCACACCUUUUGGAGCAUUGAGUCCAUAGUUUCUUUUUGUAGCAAGACCAAACUCACUGCUUGCACAAGAUUUGUUGGUUUGAACAUUGAGACUUUGUUAUAGAUUUCUAGUUGCAAUCUACUAAGUAAAUAGUUAACAAAAAACUCCUUGAUAAGACCUUUUGUUAUACUCAUGAAUGUGUCAAAUUCUAGUUGAUAUUGCUAUACUAUUAGUUGUUAUAGCUUGGUCAGUUACUCAAAGGCAUCGUCAUAGAUGCUAGGUCUAAAAUGUUAUAUAACAUCCUUCCAAAAGAAUUGCUAAGAAACACUGGCAUUAGUUGUCUUAUAACUUUGAAAUCAACCAAGGGUCAUACUUCCCAAGUAAAUAGAGGGCACAUAUACUUUGUCAUCUUCAGCAACUCCAUGAUAGUGGAAAAACCUUUCAUAUAUUAACACCCAACCAUGAGUGCUACUCCCAUUAAAUUUUGGAAAAUUAAUCUUAUCAUACCAAGCUUGGAAGUGCUAUUAUGGUUGGGGUUUGUCCUCUUGUAGUUGUUGUGUGAGUUCUCAAUAUGAUUUGCCUGAUAAGAAACACAAUUACUACUUAUUGGAUCAUACUUUAAACUCAUUGUAGUUAGUCAUUUGUGUAGUUCCUUAAAGUUUGAGUUUGCUACUAGAUAGCUUCAUCAUGGGAAUUUGAAUUUUUUAUGCAUGCAACUAUUUCAAUGCUUUUUGUAUUCAUUUCAUUUCUUGCCCUCUUGUUCCCUCUGAUAUUUAGAAGUAAGCAAGAUCAUCUCGAUUACCAAAUGAUAUGAACUAGGAAGAAGGAGAAAUUAGGAGAACACAUUUUUGAAAGUUAAGAAAAUUACAAUAGUAUGAUGAGACCCAUGACAAUUACAAUAACUAUUAAAUACCAAAUAAAAUAAAAUAAAAUAAAGCAUUAAUGAACCAUAAUCUCAACAUUUUUUUUCUCUAUAAAUGAAUGAUCAUUUCCUAUAAUUAAGAUGGUAAACACUAUAGCUAUUAAUUUUUAUAUCUUCUCUCACAAUUUUCUACUCUUAAUUUCUUCAUUCUAGGAAGGUACAUAACAUUCUUCAUUUUCCUCCUCUUUUUGUCUUUCUCAAUUGAAAUUGAAUCACAAAAAACCAAUUAUCACAAUUCGGGGCCGCACCUAUAUCGAUCGACCAUCUCUUUGUCAUGUUAGUUCAGUUUCUGGGACUGCACCUAUAUCGAUCGAUCAUUAUCAUGUCAGUUUGAGUUGGGGCCGCACCUAUAUCGAUCGGCCAUCUCUUUCAUGUCAGUUUAGUUUCUAGGACCGCACCUAUAUCGAUCGGUCAUUAUCAUGUCAGUUUGAGUCGGGGCCGCACCUAUAUCGAUCGGCCAUCUCCUUGUCAUGACAGUUCAGUUUCUGGGACCGCACCUAUAUCGAUCGGUCAUCAUCUUAUCAGUUUGAGUUUGAGUCGGGACUGCACCUAUAUCGGUCGGUCAUUAUCGUGUCAGUUUGAGUCGGGGCCGCACCUAUAUCGAUCGGCCAUCUCUUUGUCAUGACAGUUCAGUUUUUGGGACCGCACCUAUAUCGAUCGGUCAUUAUCGUGUCAGUUUGAGUCGGGGCCGCACCUAUAUCGAUCGACCAUCUUCUUGUCAUGUCAGUUCAGUUUCUGGGACCGCACCUAUAUCGAUCGGUCAUUAUCGUGUUAGUUUGAGUCGGGGCUGCACCUAUGUCGAUCGGUCAUCUCCUUGUCAUGUCAGUUCAGUGUCUGGGACCACACCUAUAUCGAUCGGUCAUUAUCGUGUCAGUUUGAGUCGGGGCCGCACCUAUAUCGAUCGGCCAUGUUCCUAUCACUUUGUGUGUUUAGUUUGAGUCGGGGCCGCACCUACAUCGAUCGAGCAUCUCCUUGUCAUGUUAGUUCAAUUUCUGGGAUCGUACCUAUAUCGAUCGGUCAUUUUCUGUGUCAGUUUGUGUUUUCGGGACCGCACCUAUAUCGAUUGGUCAUUUUCCAUGUCAGUUUGUGUCUUCGGGGCGGCACCUAUAUCGAUCGGCCAUCUCCUUGUCAUGCUAGUUCAGUUUGAGUCGGGGCCACACCCAUAUCGAUCAAUCAUUUUCCUAUCAGUUUGUGUUUAGUUUGAGUCGAGACCACACCCAUAUAGGUCGGUCAUUCAUUCUUCCUAUCAGGUCAGUUCGACGUCCAGGCCUUUGUUUCAGUAUGACAUUCAGAGUCACAUUUUCUAGAUUUGGCAUUUAGAGCCAUUGUGCAUACUCAUCCAGACAUUUUUUGAGUCACCUUGUUUCCUUUCAUUUUAGGCGUUCAGAGUCGUUCUCCUCACCUGGUUACUUGGUGCUUAUCGCCUAUUCAUCAUUGCUCUUCUAGACUCCCCCUUCCACUGCACAUGACAUAGUUCUUUGAGUCCGUGACGCAUAUUUCGAUCAUGUUGUUGGGGACCCUACACUUGGCAUUCUCGUAUAGUUCACAUAGGGCAGUCUCCUUCGGGCACAUUCUUUCUUGUACUCCAGGUGGUUCAACUGUUACUCAUCUUUGACAUUGGUCUGCGAGUCACUUUUGGAGACGUCUUAGAGGGUGCUUGGAUCCUUAGUGUGGCUUCCGAGACAUUUUGAGACAUCUUUCUCUUUUAGGAUUAGAGCCUUUGUGUUAGUCUGUCAGCCUGAGUGAAUUCGUGUUUUGCUAGUGUCCCUAUGGGGGUCUCCCUGGUUCUUCGGUAGAGUUCACUUCAUUCCACUCACUAUUCAUACUUGCUUUUCACUCUAGUGUUCAUAUUCCUUACACUUGUGAAUUUUACCGAAGAGGGGCAUAUUUGUAGACCCCCACGUGGGGCUUGUUUUGCUGCAACAUUGUUUGGCCAGGUGUCGCGCUCCUAAGCAUCCAUGUGUCAAUCCCUGAUUGGCCAUCAUGGAAUCAGAGUAGUGCUUUUGAAGGCCAAUCUAGGGUUGACACGUGUCAAGGGGAAUCAGAAAACAAUCAUUUUAGCUGUUAUUUGAGGGAGAAAAAGGCAGCUGCAUGAGGGAGGAGAGGUGGUCUGGCCGUUGGAGGAUACCUUUUUUUCUGCCAGCUGCAGGGUGGUGGAGGCUGGUAGUUGCAGGAAGGUGGUCUGGGCUGCCGUUGGAAGAUUUUUUUUUUUAGGGAGCUUGGGCAGCAAGUUUUCCAAGGAGAGUGGGUUUUCUUUCUAGAGGGGGAUUUCUUUUCCUUGAGGAAAACGAGAGAGCUAGAGGGAGGGAGGGGUGCUUUUGGCUGCUGUUUGGCUAGCAGAAAGAUUUGGGGAACAGAGGAGGUUUUUGAGAGCUACCGGAAGAGACAAGAAAGCAGAGAGAAGGGGCUACAGGAGAGAGCUUAAGAGAGAGGAGGAGAGAGCUUUCACAGAAGAGGCAGGAACAGAGAAGAGAGGUUGCAGCUUGCUGAGAAUCAAACGACUUUUGAUCGAGAGGAUUACUCAGGUUUAGCAAUUUUUACACCUUAAGUUCUCCAUUAUUUCAGUUGUUCCAUUUUUCACCUGGAUAUUUGGAUGCGUAUUUUGGCUGUCGAAUAUGAAAAUCGGUUUCUCAGCUUCCAGUUGUUUAGUCUCUGUUUGUUUUUCUUUCAUUUCUCUAUAUGAGUUACAUUGUGAUUAUACUAUUUAUUUGUGUUAAAAUGACUCAAAAACUUCCCACCAGCUCUUAACUCUCAUUGUUUUUCAUGGAGGAAAGACAGAUUUAAUCGUGUUACCUCUUUCAUAUACUCUAUUUUCCUUCACUGUGCCUUCUGUCUCUGAUAUAUUUAGUAUGAGUAUCAUGUUUGGAGUUGGUUGCCUGCAUUGGGAUGCCUUUGGAAGAGCUCAAUAGCAAAACCUCUAAGAUUCAUGUGCCUCAUUGUCUAUUCUGUGAGUAGAAGUUCAUCGAUCCAAGGAAGUGCCUUACCCAUCAUCUUACAGAGGCUCUCCUGGUAUCAUGCUUAGAAGCCUAACUUAGUAUUCGAGAUAAGGACCUGAUGCAGUGGUUGAGGCCUUAAUAAAUGGGUUGAGAUCAUAUUUGGAGGUUGCAGUGAAUUCCAGUUUCAGGGCGCCACCUCCGUUAACUCUAUCGGUUGCUGGUGGUGGACAUGUGGUGAUUCCGCCACGGAAGCCAGAGAAAGAGUUGCCGCUACCACCAAGGAUGUCCAAUUCCGGCCACGUCCCAUGCCUCAACUCCGGAUGACAAGCGGAAUCCUUAUUAUUACAAGGAAUCAACUCCCGGUGAUACCUCUGAAUCCUACAGUAGGGAGUGCCGGAUAGAAUGCCGAAAACCUGGCAACACUCUGUCUCAUAACCUGUGAAGAUUAUGGCCAUCGCAAUUUUCUUCAUGCUGGCGACGACCUCCGACGGGAAUGUAGGAUACUCAUCAUCGCCGGUGGACCCAGAUUCUAGCAGCGGACAUCGAUUGUGUUUUUCUUUGGAGUUGAACGACGGAUGCUUAGGUGGUGUUUGUUUUUUUGGCUUUUUGCUGAAAACCAUUUAGUUUUAGAAUUUAGGUUGUUUGUUUUUUUACUUUUUCAUGACUUAUUAUAAACUUUUUACUAAAUAGAAAAAGCCAAAAUAUGUGGCUUUUUCUAAAUAGAAAAAAUAACACAAUGGUUUUUUUUACUUUUUAAUACUUAAUAGAAAUAAAAUACUAAAAAAACAAACAACCUAGUAUUUAAUACUAUUAAGUAUUAAGGUUCUAUUUAGAAUUAAGUAAAAAAACAAACACCACCUAAGUCUUCAAACUCUUAGAAUCAGAAAUAUGGCUUCUAGAAUCUUCUAGAAGCGUUCAGAGCUCAUCCUCUAGGAACGACAUUGCUCGUUGCAUAACACUCCCGGAACGUCCGUAUAUUGCACCAGCGGAAUCCUUCUCCUCACCGUCGGCUUGCCUGAUUUCAGUCAAGGGUUCCGUUGCUUUCAGAGGCUGUCCUGGUAUGAUACGUGGUUCACGAGAAAUAGAAGAUGCCUUGCUAAAACACUGAGGAGUGAAGCGCAAUGAGGUGACAAAGGAUGGCUUGUUUUCUGUCGGUGAAAUGGAAUGCAUGGGAUGUUGUGUAAAUGCUCCUAUGAUCACAGUGGCAGACUAUUCAAUUGGAUCUGAAGGAUAUAUCUACAACUACUAUGAAAAGCUCACUCCAAAACGUGUGGUGGAGAUUGAAGAGGCUGCUGAUCAUGGGGCUACGGUUUUAAGACAGGCCUUUGUUAAGAAGGUUGUAGCUGUGAAAAACAAGGGAAAGAAAAGGGAAUUGUUGCCACAACCCAUGAGGAAAUUUUCUAUCAUGAUGUUUUCCACUUUUCUGAACUUGCCAAAGACCCAGGGAUUAAAUCUGAUUGCUAUGGAAUCUGCCAAGGAAUUAAAUAGGCCAUUUUAUAGUAAUCUCAUUCGUACCUCCAACUCAACAGGGUACUAUAGAUUUGCAGAGUGGGAUUCGUCAUGCAGAAGAAAAAGAUUAUAAAAUUGUUCAUAGCUGUUUCUUUGAAGCUUUUGAAGUUUUCAAUGCUCUUGAAGAGCCUCGGGCAGUGUUUAGCCUCAAGUACAUGUUGCUGUCCAAGAUUAUGGUGAGCCAAACUGAUGAUGUGGCUGGAAUAAUAUCACCCAAAGCAGGCUUGCAAUAUGUUGAGUCAGAGUUAGAUGUCAUGAAAGUUGUCGCUGAUGCCCAUUCAAAACGCUCUCUGAAUUUUUUUUGAGAUAGCUUUGCGGGGUUACAAGGCACAGCUUGAGGAAGACCCGAUAGUCCACAGGCACCUCUCUUCCCUGUAUGACGCUUUGCAGGAGUAGAAUAUGUGCCAGUUUUCUUGCAGCGUAUGUGACCAGAUGGAGGAGUAAUCAAAUGAUGGCUUAAAGAGAAGGCAAAAGUUUAGGAAUAUUGGCCAGUUGAAGGAUUAUUUAUUCCAUUGGUAUAAAUCGUUCAUGUGCAGUUUAUGUUGGGAAGUAACGACCUUUAAAAUGAAGGGAGUUGCGCGAACAAAGGCAAUUAGCAGCAAGUGCUGCACUAGAUUUGCUGUCACUGAGCUCACUAAUUCCAUUUAAUGAAGAUCAACCAAGCAGUUUCAGUGAAUUCCAUGUUGACUAGAGUAUGAGGGAAAUAUACCGAGAACAUGAACAACCCUGGUUCAGGCUGAAUGUUUCAGAAGUGGUAGCAGAUAAAUUGAGUGAAAGAAAUCCAAAUUCUGAAUGUUUGUGCUGGAAAAUUGUUGUACAUUCCCAGAUGAGCAACUCAAGAGGAGAAAACAUGAGUCAUAGGAGCAAAGUCACCCAUUUUGUAGCAGUGUACGUGCCUCACCACCAUGAAACACGUCAUUCGAUGUCUCCAAUGAAGAAUAAGGUCAGCGCUCCAAGUUUGGGUAUUAUCAAUAUGGAUGUAGACUACAACAGCAAGCUGUUUGUCAAACAAAAUGACUCAGGAGUCCAUUUGCCACCUACUCUAUACCCCCUGCUGCAUAGUUUGAGUGGCCACCUUUGGGCCAUGUGACAUUUUGGGUUUUCUUCUUAUUUGAUUUUGAAAAUGUUUUCUCAAAUCUCAUUUUGUAAAUAUCUUUCCCUAAUUCUGAUUUUUAAAUAAUCCCAAUUUUCUCAUCUUUCAUCCUUAGAAUUUUUAGGAUCACCCAAGAGUCUCACUUUUAAUAAAAUUUGCUACCACUUUCUAUUCAGCAGGCAAUUUUCAAAUAUUUCACGAUCUUUUAAAAUGUUUUAGAAAUAAGCAAGAAUUAAAUUCCAUAAUUCCGAAUAAUGGAAUUUAUGGAAUUAAUUCAUGCAAAAUAAACGGGCUUUGGUGGGGGCCCCACAUAUGUGACUGAUCGAUCGAUUGAUUGAUUGUUUGACUUGAUUUUAAUGCAUGAUUGAUUUUAUUAUAUUCUAUGACAUGCUCGAAAUUAUUCCUUAAUUGUGCGCUAACCUCACUUCUUGAUAGCUCAAUGAGGAUCAUUGUCUAGGUACGCAUCUACAUCCAUUCUGAUCAUCAUUUAUGCAUGUUCUGAUACUCAUAUGUGCAUGAUCGAUUCGAGUAUUCAUUGAUUUACUCCUCAAUUUCCAUGUCAGCUUCAUUUUAUUAGUAGAGACCCGAAUUUAAGGGCUUAGAGGGGUGCUACGGUCCUUACCGUACCUUCCCAAUAAGUAACCUGACCCCCGAACCCGAUCCGGUUUUUCGUAGACCACAUUUUCCAAACAAGGAGUCACACUUAGGGUUUUUCUUUCUUAUUUUUUUUACCCUUUUAAAAAUAAAACAAAAAUAAGUGGCGACUCCAAGUCAUUUUCAAACAAUAAAUAAAAAUCAAUUUUUUAAAUAAAAAUCGAACUCGCCAUCGAGUGGGAAACGCAUGAGCGCGAAAUGCGGGGUCCACAAUACUACUAGACUUGAAUCGUAGAAACCAACAAAAAAAAAAUUGCACAAAUAUUUAACUAAAAUAUAUGGAUGGAGAUUGUAAUAAGUCAUAGAAAUAAUGGGGGGAAAACCUUGCUAUAAAUGUGUAACUAAAAUAAUUGCAAUUUUACAUUCUAGAAAAUUAGGUAAUUCAGUCUCACAUAUAUAAAAUAAUAAUAUAUGUGUGUAUAGAAAUCAAAUUUAGGUUUAACUCAAUUAUGUACCAAUUAUCCAUUUUCAAUAAAAAAAAUAACCCCAAUUUCACAACUAAUGUCAUUCUUACCGAAACCAAUUAUGACGUCUGGUCUCAAUUCAUGGAAAUGUGAUUACUACCAAAAAGUGCUAUUUUGUAGACCUAAUUAUAAUGGUUUUAAGCACCUUUGAGUAGUAAUCAUAUUCAUUUAACCCAAUUAAUUCAUUAAGGUCCUUAGUAAUUGGUUUUAACCAUUUUGUGGCAAGUUUACAUGUUUUUAUCAGCUUAUGAAUCAAUUCAAGCAUGCCAAAUGAUGGAGGAGCUACUUGGACAAGUUAUGACAAAGCUUUUGGAAGCUCAAAUUCAUGAAGAACCAAGCUUUGGAGCUCCAUAGCCCUUUGCCAAAGUCGUUCAAAGUAUGCAAGGAAAGAACAAUGGAGAAGAAAAAAAUCAGAGGACAGCAGCUGCAGUCUUAUUUUGCACUUUUGGAGCACUUUCCGAAGUCCAUUUUUUACAUACUAUAUACCAUUUCAAAGCUCUGGAAGUCAAGAAUCCAACGCUUCAAACCGUGAAUGAUUUGGAGUUGAAAUGAGGAAGAUAUGGCCUUCGGAAGCCAACUGCUCCAGGUUAUGCGAAAAUUUCAUAUAACACAAGGUGUUAUGCGAAAUUCGCAUAACCCAUGCGUGUUGCGAAUUUUCCUCUGCUUUUGCCGACUCCACUUUAGAUAUUUUCCUUUGUAUUUUGUGAUGUAAUUUCCUUUCUUAUCCUUGUAACUAACCAAUCACAAGCUUUUGCUUUUGUAAAGAUUAUAUAAGGGGUGGAAAUCACCUCUUGGAAGAUAUAGAAUAGAUAUUACGUUUAACACUUAGAGAAUAGAUACAGAGCUCUCUCGUUUCUCCUGUUCUUCCCCAUUUCUAUUUUCUUAGUAGCCAAACAGCCUCUGAGGGCUUUUCCUCAGAGGAUGAGUGGCUAAAACUUUUAGUUUCUCAAAGUAUGGAUGUUAUGUGAUGACUUGGAUGCAAUCCCAUGGAAAUUUCUCGCAUCCGGAAGGUAAGGUAGACGUUUUUCAUUAAAGGUUCAUUAAUGCAAAGUUUAGUUUUUAUUUCCUUUGGACAACUUCCAACGGCCAAUACUUGAUAAGCUUUUGGAUUUCUAUCCAUUAGUUAUCUCCUACGAGCUAUUGGAAGGUGAGGUUUUCAAUUCCAAGUUUUGCAUUAAUCCAUUAGAACCAAUUUCAAUGGCCAUUGAAAGGUGAGUUUAUCACCUAGAAUGACUUUGAGUUGCCAAUAUUUGGUAAGCUUUUGGCUUUAGACCAUUAGUUAUCUCUUACGAGCCAUUCAAAGGAAGUCUAAGGUGAAUAACCAUUGAUGAAAUUCACUACCAUCUGUUUUGUCAUUUUAAAGGAUUAAAACUUGAUUUGCUAAAUCCAUACCGGUUCGGGAAGCAAGCAUCACCAUAGUUGCAACCCCAACGCGAGGAGCCUAUCCUGAGAUUUCCAAUUUUCAUAAGAGCCAGAGCAUAGCUAUCCUAUCUUUGAGAAACUUGUUUUUACACCCUUUCAUUUUAGUCUUUAAUGUUAGCUUAGAUUAGUUUAAAUCUUUCUAAAACAUUUACAUCUUCUUUUAAAGCUAACAUCCAUAAGAAAAUCACCUAUUUUCCUAAUUUGAAUAUCACUAGUGUUUGCGAAAACCCUUCCCAGUGAACGAUCCUAGAACCACUAUACUAUAGUAGCUUGGCUACUUUAGUAAUAGUAUUUAAGGUAUAAAUUUUGUUGAUACGCCUUUAAAGUUAAGCUACCAUGAGUCGCAUCAAAAUGCAUAUUACAAAACAUGAUAAGCUUGAAUAUUUUACGAGUAAAAUAUCGUUGAAGGUUACCAAUACUUCCUAUGCGAAGUGGUAUGCUGAGAAUCAAAAGGUCAAAGGAUGGUUGUUGACCUCCAUGUCAUCGAAGAUUAUGAAACACUAUCUUAGAUUGCUUACUACAUGUGACGUUUGGAUUGCUCUUGCUAAAGCAUUCUAUGAUGGGGCAUAUGAAUCACAACUCUUUGUACUGUAUCAAUGAGCAUUCUCCACCAAACAAGUUGGUUGUCCUCUUUCCACCUAUUAUGGUGAUCUAAUAGAAUUUUUUCAAGAGCUAGAUCAUCAUGAUAAAAUUGUCAUGAAUGAUUCCAAUGAUGUUAUUGCUUAUAAAAAAUCAGUUGAGAGACUACGGGUGCAUAUUUUUCUAAAUGGACUAGAUGCAGAAUUUGAACAAAUUCAAGGUGAGAUUCUCAUGAGGGAUCUUGUAUUGGAUCUUGAAGAAACUUAUGCAUAUGUUCAUCGUGAUUUUGUUCACCGAGAUGCACCAAAUGGCGAACCUGAACAUUCAGAGCUAUCUACUAUGGUAGCUCCCCAAGUCAAGUAUCAACAAUUGUAAACAAACCCGAAGCCAGAUCGAACAUCUAGUCCACUGAAUCAUGAUCAUAAUAAGUUGUUUAGAUAAUAAAAUUGUAGCUAUGAAAUAGGAGAUACACAACCAAAACGUAUGUGUACUCACUGUGGUGAAACCGAACACACUAAGUCAUAGUGCUAUGAAUUGAUUGGAUAUCCAGAAUGGUGGGAUUUUAUUAAGGCACCUCACAAACGAAAUUCAAAGACAAACCAUUAUGCUUCUGUUAUGCUGGUCAAGCCUAGUCAUGCUUCCACCGGUAAUCUUGAGAAAGCCUCCUCUUUCACUACUACUUCUAAGAAUGUGGGUAAGACUCUUCAUACCUCUACUCCUGUUAGUCAUAGUGAAUGGAUAAUUGAUUCAGGUGCCACAAAUCAUAAGACCUUUAACAAUAAUCAUAUCCAGUCCAUAAAAUCCUCAGACCAACAUAUAGUGUCCACAAUCGAUGGUACCCUCUUUCUCGUGUUAAGAGAAGGUUCAAUUUCUCUUAUAAAAAAUUUGAAUUUAGAUUUUGUUUUGGUUGUCCCUUUCCUUAAUCAUAACUUCUUGUUUGUUGCUCAAAUAAUCCUUUCUUUAAAUUGUGUUGUAAUUUUUUGGCCUAACCUUUGUGUCUUUAAGGACAGUUAAACUCAAAAGACAAUUGGUUAUGGUACUAGGAGAGGGAAGCUCUACUAUCUAAAUCUAAUGUCGACAAGCUCAAAUUAGUUGGAUCAAGUUUUUUCAGCUAAUACACUUGAUAAACUUCAGAGUUCAGAAAUCUGGUUAUGGCAUAAGCAUUUAGGCCAUGCAUCUUUUGGAUAUUUAUAAAAAUUAUUUCCACAAUUUUUUUCAUAAUUGACUGUUUCAGGUUUUAAGUGUGACAUUUUUGAAUUGAUUAAAAGUCAUCAUGUUCCAUUUCCCAUUAGUAUGAAUAAAAGUCAUGUACCUUUUAUGGUUAUUUACUCUACUGUAUGGGAGCCUGCAAAUACUUCUUCUUUGAGUAAAACACGUUGGUUUGUUUCAUUUGUUAAUAAUGAUCACACUCGCAUGACUUGGAUUUUCAUGAUGAAAUCAAAGAGUGAAGUAAGUUCCCUGUUUUAGCAAUUUCACAAAAUGAUAGCAACUCAAUAUCAAUCUAAUAUUUAGGUUAUUUGUACUGAUAAUGGAGGUGAUUUUAUCAAUCAAGACUUGAAACAGUACCUGAAUUUACAUGGAAUUGUUUGUUAGACUACUUACCCUUACACCCGUCAACAAAAUGGAGUAGUUGAAUGAAAAAAUCAUCACCUGCUUGAGGUUGUUCGUGCUUUCUUGUUUGGAGCUCACAUGCCCACCAAUUAUUGGGGUGAAGUCAUCACCGCUGCAGCCUGCCUCAUCAACCCUAUACCUUCUAGUUUCCUACUAUUUUAUACUCCCUUUGAUGUCCUUCAUCGUACUAUAAAUGCUCUUAUCAUAUCAAAUCUGUCCCUUAAAGUUUUUGGAUGUGUAAUCUUUGUGCAUUUUCACAAAGGCUUGAGAAUUAGAACCUCGAGCGCUUUGAUGUGUAUUUGUUGGCUAUGCCUUGCAUAAAAAAGGCUAUUGGUGUUAUCACCCCGAAAUCUUUAUGUUACCCUUGAUGUGGUCUUUCAUGAAAAUGAUAUGUAUUAUUUCGAGUCUUCACUUCAGGGGGAGAAUAGAGAUGAAGUGCAGACUUUACAUCAUCAUUUGGACAACUUGGAUUUUAUAAGAGGUGAUAACUUGGAAACUAGUGGUGAAUGUCCAAGUGAUGAUAACACCAUGGAUAACAAGAAGGAGUGUCCAAGUGAGAGUAGUGAUAGUCCAUAAUUUUUUGAAAAUGAGAAUCAGGGUCAGAAGGAAGUUCAGAAUCAAAGGGAAGUGUCAUCAAUCUCACAUGAUGUACUAGCUAACCAAUUGUCUUCUCCAUUCAAUUCCAUGCCUGAGUCUUAUGAAAAUUUUGAAUCUAAACCUCACCUAAAAGUGUUACCCAAUCGAGUCACAAGAGGAAAACCCAAAGUUAGCUAUGAACCUCUCCUCAACUCUAAAUCUGAAUAUCCCAUAAAUAACUAUGUAUCAUACCAUAGAUUGUCAAAGGAAAGUAUGCCAUUUGUGAAUCAAUUAUUUGUUGUAUCUAUUCCUAACAAUGUGCAAGAAUCCUUGAAAUAUCCCAAAUGGAGGGAGACAAUGAAUGAAGAAAUGAAAGCCCUUAAAAAAAACUCAACGUGGGAAGUUGUUGACUUGCUUGAAGAUAGGUGGGUCUUCACCAUUAAAUACAAAGUCGAUGGAACUAUUGAACAAUGUAAAGCAAGACUUGUCGCCAAGGGAUAUACUUAAACAUAUGGAAUUGAUUAUAUGGAGACAUUCAUACCAAUGGCUAAAAUUAAUUGUGUUUGUAUUCUAUUAUCUCUGGCGGUGAAUCUUGACUGGCCUUUACACUAGUUUGAUGUAAAGAAUGCAUUUCUGCAUGGAAAUCUCCAAGAAGAAGUGUAUAUGGAGUUACCCCCUAGUUAUAAUCGAAAAACUAAAGGUAAUAAACAGGUCUGUAAGUUGAGAAAAUCCUUAUAUGGUUUGAAACAGUCUCCUAUAGUGUGGUUUGGAAGGUUCACAAGUUUUAUGAAGUCUAUUGGUUACAAGCAAAGUAACUCAGAUCAUACUCUAUUCUUAAAGCAUAAUAAAAAAACAAAUAACAACUCUUAUUAUGUAUGUUGAUGAUAUGAUAGUGACUGGAAAUGAUCCUAAAGAAAGGAAUACACUACAGGAGCAUCUUGUCCGUGAGUUUGAGAUGAAAGACUUCAGUGAAUUGAAGUAUUUCCUCCGAAUUGAAGUGUCAAGAUCUAAGAAAUGUAUUUUUCUAUCACAAAGAAAAUAUGCCUUAGACUUACUGAAUGAAACUGGUAUGACAACAUGUAGUCCAACAAACACUCCUAUGGAAGAAAAUCUGAAACUAUGUGUGCAUUCAAAUCAAGUUCCUACUAAUAAGGAACACUAUCAGAUACUGGUUGGAAGAUUAAUGUAUUUUGCACAUACUCAACCUGAUUUAGCUUAUGCGUUGAGUGUGGUUAGUCAAUUCAUGCACUCCCCAAGCAAAGAACAUAUGAAUGCUAUCAUCUAUAUCUUACGCUAAAUGAAGUCAUCUCUAAGAAAAGAUUUUUUGUUCACAAAAGGAGACAAUUUGGACAUUAAUGGAUGUACAGAUGUUGAUUGGGCUAGGUCAAUUCAAGAUAGAUGUCCUACAUCUAGUUAUUUUACAUUUUUAGGAGGAAAUUUGGUUACUUGGAAAAGUAAAAAACAAGAGGUAGUUGCUAGAUCCAAAGCUAAAUCCGAAUACAGAGGAAUGGCUAAGGCAAUAUGUGAAUUGUUGUGGAUCAAAAAUCUAAUGCAAGAUUUACAUAUUGAGCAAGUCAACCCUAUAAAGUUAUAAUGUGAUAAUAAGGAAACGUGUGAUAUCGCCCAUAAUCUUGUCCAAUAUGAUUAAACCAAACAUGUUAAGGUUGAUAGGCAUUUUAUCAAGGAGAAAUUGGAAGCAAAAUUGAUUGAAGUUCCUCAUGUUUGAUCUCAAGACUAGCUUGCUGAUGUGCUGAACAAGGCAAUGUCAAACCAAGCAUUUAAUGGUUGUCUCGAAAAACUAGGCAUGAGUGACAUCUAUGCACCAACUUGAGGAGGAGUGUUGACAAUUAGGAGUAAUUAUCUCCAAGUUGAUUCUCCAACAUUCAAGCCUCUAAUUUUCCUCUACUACUAGUUGUAUGGAUAAACUAGAAUUACUAGAAUUCCUGUAAAUAAGUGAUUGUAUCACGACAACUAUAGUUUCCUUAUUGUUAGUUAAUCAGUCCUAAACUAUAGGAUCUAAAGCUUUGUACAGUGGCUAUUUAUGCCCAGCCACUAAUAGAGAAAACUAUCGUAGUCUUCUCCUCACAAACUCUGUAUCUUUUACAUUUUUUUGUAUUAAUUGGUUCAUUCUUUGAGUUUUAAAUUAUUUUUAGAAAUUAUUAAAGUCAUUAAUGAAUCCAAAAUAUUAAGUCUUAUUGAUUUGAAAUUUAUUUGUCUAAUAAAAUUUUUUAUAAAAAUAUGAGAUAUAUAUAAAAGAAGCUAACCUAGACAUUUAAAAUAAUUUUUGUCUAUGACUUACUAAUAUUAUUGAAUUUCAUGACUUUUUAGUAUUAAUUAAAUGAUUUUUAAGUUUCAAAUUAUUUUUGAAAAUUAGUAAAUUUUAUGUAUCAAGUACAAUUUCAUUUGAAAUUUAUUUGUUUAAUGAAAAAAUUUAAAGACAUUAAAAGAAAUUAAGAAAAGUACUUGUAAUUUAAAGAAAUGUCAUAUUUUAAUAUUUUCGAUAUUAGUAUUAGAUUGUGGAGAGAGAAAAGGAAUGAUAUCAUGUUCAAUAUUUUAUUUUAUUUUUUGAGUUUUUUUUUUAAAUUUAUGUUUUAACUUCCUUUUGUUUUUUAAAACUUGUGAAAACAACUUAUACUUAUUUUCUAAAAAAUGUUCUCUAUUUUAAUUUGUUUUUAAAAACUAUUUUUAAGGAACAACAACCAAACAGUAAUAAGAAUUUUUAAAAAUAGUUUUCGGUUUAAAAACAGAAAACUAUUUUUAAAUCAUACAACUAAAUAGGCUCAAACUUGUUAAAAACGUGUAACUAAAAUAAUUAUAGAUUUUGCAUAAUAAAAUUAAUUAUUUUUAAUUUAAAUCAACAUUUGUUAUCAUGCAUUUCUAUAAUUGUCAAACUUAUGAAUCUAAUUUUCUCUAUAAUUAAUUUGAUCUCUAUAGUAAAUACAUGGAAGUGAGCUCCUAUAAGUCUUAGAAAAUGCAAAAACCAACCAUAAAUAUGUAACCAAGAUAAUUUCAAUUUGAUAUGAUUUAAAAAAUAGUCAUUUAAGUUUGAAUUAGGGCAUCUUAUUAUGUUCAUGAUUAUCAAAUUAAUGCAUGUCAAAGAAGUGCCCUUUUUUGGGAAAUAUUUUAGCUCAUUAGUUGUCACAGGGUAUGAGGUCCAAUUCCAUAAAAGGUGACCUUGGGAAUGUGCUCAACAAUCUUAUAAUUUUUGCCUAUGUGGGGUCGCAUACUAAGUUUUAAUUCUUCCUAUAAAUCAACAAAUCUAAGAGUUGUGAGAUUACUAAGGUGGUGAAUGCUAGGGGGCAACUCCUCCAAUUGUGGGCAAGUCCCAAUCAUAAGAUCCUCUAAUAGGAGCAAUAUUCCAUCUAUUUUCACCCUCUUCAAUCCCAUCCAAUAAUUGAGAUUGAGCCUCUUAAGUUUUUGAAACCAUUGCAACAAAGCAUAGUUGCUCAUCGAUAGAGGUUUGGGAUAGGGAAGGCUUCUACAAGCUAGGUAAGGCUUCAAGGACUUGCAUUGGAUUACUCGUUAAUUUUGAACCAAGUAAGGCUACUUCGACUAAAUUUUGAAGUUUAGAAAUCUAGUUAAACAACUCCUUUAAACACCCAUGCAAGUAGAGAGUUGAAAGAAACGAAGGUGGAUGAGACAUGUAUUGUAAAUCCAUAAUCUCAUAUUCACUCAAUGAACAAAUAGACAAAUAUUUAAGAUGCUUCAUGUUUGUAAUGGAGGCACAUAAUGAUUGCCCAUUUUCUUUGGAAAUUUUUGUAAUACAAGCUUUCUUAAUUUUUGUAAUACAUAAUCCUAUGAGUUAUGUCCACAGAAAUCAGCUUUUGCAGGUCUUCCAAAACCCCAAUACCCUCCUUUACAUGCACUCCUCUAAUAUAAUCCCAACUCAAAUCAACAUAUUGCACAACUUUUGAAGUUAAUUGAUCUCAAUAAGAAGGUCUUCCACACGGGAAUAUUUUAGAUAUGAAGUCUAUAGGUUUUGUAGUUUACCUAUGGACCUUCAAAGCAUCCUCACUCUUAUCUUUCUCAGGCUUAAAUACCUCAAAUGCAACAGAUUUCCCAAAUCUUCAGGAACACUAUCCAAGAUAGCACAACUAAGAUCCAAUACUUUUAGAAGCCUAAAUUUUGAAGCCAAUGACCCUAGAAAAAAUUUCUGAGAGUUGUAAAGAAAAAUGGAGCAGAGAGGACCCUUAGCAAGCCUAUAGGUUCUAAGAUCAAACUUAUCUUAAUUUUAAUCCAUCCUCAUCCUAAAGAUGAGUUAAGCUAAUGAAUCAAAGGAUAUGAAUUUCGUUUUAACUACUAAACUAUAUGUGUUAAUAGUGCAAGUGACUAAUCCAAAGAUGGAAAGUGGUAGAAUCACCUAAAGUGGUCUCACUUCCAUAAUCUAAGUGCUAAAUGAAAAAUGUAUAUUAAUCUUGCCUUAGAAACUUUUCAAGUAUAAUGCAAAAAAAUUUAUUAAAGAGGGUCUCUACUUAGUAAUAAGAUCAUGAUCGACUUAAAGUAUGUUUGAUUCUUAUGAUACUAGGAUAUCUUGCAUGGAAUAAAUUUAGUAAUUCAAGAGCACUAUAUCCUUACUAAACUUACCAAUUUAGUAAUGCACUUCAAUUUUAUUAUUACAUGAAAUUUAUCUCACAAUCCUAUCAUUGUCAUUCUCACAUCAAAUCAAUUAAGUGUACCUAAUUAUGUGGACUAGAAAAUAAAUUUGGAUAUAGCACUCACAUUAAAGGAGUUAAAGUGGGAGACAUAGAAAUCUACUCCUUUUCCUUGCAAGAGGAUAGAGAAGCUCAUCAAAGGAGGCAUAAGGGCAAUGAAAAGGAUAAGUAUAUCAUACUUGAGUCUUAGGAUAAUGUGUUGCAAUAGCAGCACGUCUUAUGCCACCACUAAUGAUAUUCUUUUUAACUUAUAAGAGAUGUUUGGUGAUAAGGGUAGGCUACCUAAACAAACUACCCUUAGGACUAUUAUGAACACCAAGAUGACAAAAGGAACUCUCAUUAGAAAUCAUAUGGUUUGUAUGAUCAAACUCUUUAACGAGAUGGAGAUCCUUGGAGCCAAAAUUGAUGGUGAGAACAUUAUUUUAGAGACUUAUCAUAUUCCUUCAAGUAGUUUAAGCUCAACUAUGGUAUGAAUAAGAUAUUGUUAAACUUGGUAGAGUUGAUGAAGGAACUCCAAAUGGUUGAGGGGAUUCUCAAAUAUUAGAGAAAGGUCUUCGCAUAGUAGUUAAACGUUCUUUAAGUUCUUCUAACAAGAGAUAGAAGAACAAUAAAGAGAACUAGGAAAGUCCAAGGCUAGGAAUGAAAAGAGUUAGGAAAGGGUAAGUGUUUCCUUUGUGGCAAGAAGGAUCACUUAGAAAAGAGUGCCCUAAAUACCUAAAGAAAAAGGAAGGUACAAAUCAUUUUCUUGUUGUUGAAUUUUGUUUAGUGGUAGUGGAUUUCACCAACUCAAGGUGGAUAGAUUCCAAGGUCGGUGAUCAUGUUUAUAAUUCUUUACAAGGUUUUUUAGUGUUGUAAGAUCAAUAUAUUUUUGUUAUACCUAUACAUUGGCUUCUAUAUAAAUGUAUAAUAUUGGUGCAUUAGCAUUUUAUACUUCGUGAAUUACAAGUAUAAAUAAUUUUUAUAAUAAACCCAUUGGGGAGCAAUGAUGUUGUUCUUAAGCUUGAGAUGAGUCACCUAAAUGAUAUUUGUGGUCAACUUACCCUUAUUGGAUAUUAAUUGGUUUUUAGACGAGAUAGUCAAUGCUUAAUCCAAUAAUUAGUAUACAAGCCAAAGAUCAUGAGUUGAGUCACAAGCACAUCAUGUUGGUGGAGGGGUUGUUUGGGAUUAUUGGGAUGCAAUGAUGCCUCAAAUGAUGGUAGUCCAUUGCCAUUACAAGCUUAGUCUACCUCAUUGAACACCAAUUGAUUUGAUUUAUAAUAGAUGACACCUUAUGAAGUAGAAAAAAAAUGUCUUUUAGGAUCGAUUUAUACUAACAAUAAAAAUAUGAAUAAUAAUGUUAACAAUAAUCAUUACAAUUGCAUAAUAUUAAUAAAAACUAUAUUAUUUCUACUAAUAAUAUGAAUAAUAUAACACUAAUAUUCUAACAAUAAUAUUAACAAUGUGUUAUUAUUAAUAAUAACUAUAAUAUAAUAAUAAUACAAUUAGUCUUAUUGCAGUAUAUAAAACAUUAAAGGCAAAAAAGAAAAAUAAAUAAAUAAAAGAAUGGUUUUAAUAAUAAAGCUUACAAGUCUUAAGAAUUAAACAAAAACAAAAUUGUGGUUUAUAGGAGAUGACAUCAUAAUAAUAAAAAUAAAAAUAAAACAAUAUCAAUAUUAAUAAUAUGAAUAAUAAUGUUAGUAAUAAUCAUAAUAAUAUUAUUUUUAUUAAUAAUAUGAAUAAUAUAAUACUAAUAUCAUAAAUAUACUAUUUUAACAUUAUUAAUAUUUAAUAAUAAUAAUAUAAUUAGUCUUAAUAUAAUAUAUAAAACAUAAAAGACAAAAAAAAAAAACAAAAAUUAGAAAAGUAGAAUUAUAUGAGAAUAGGAGGAAAAGACAAGCAAAGAUAUUUAUAUUUGGAAUUGUGGGAUAGUCAAAUUUUAAAAAUAUUAGUUAUGGGAUUUUAAGAAAUUAAAAUUAUAGAUUUGGUGACCAUGCAAAAGACUUAUCAUUGCCUACAGGCCAUCAAUUUGGAAUAAUUCUCCAUCCUAAUAUAUAUAUAUAUAUUAUAAUUAGUUCUUAAAUGAUUCACAUAAAUUCUUAAUGAUGCACAUAAAGCAUUGGUUGAGCAUUACCUAUGCCAUGUCAUCAACAAUGUUAUUCUAAAACAUUCACAUCUCCCAGAAGGAGAAACAGAGAAAUUGUUCAGACCAACAACCAUGACAAGGAGAUAAUUAAGUUCAAACAAAAACUCAGUAAAAAUAAACAAACACCACCACCAUCAAUCUCAGCCAUUAAUCCAUUGGAGAUUCCAGCAAUUGGAUCUUCUAGUGUUGUAUGCCAAUUCCUGCAGAUUAUCAAAUUCUAAUUAUAAAAAUACAGAUAGUGUGAAUGAAAACGAUAAAAAAGCAACAAACUAGAGAAAAGACUCACCAAGUUUUAUUGGCACUGAGGCUUGAGACUUGAAUUCCCAUAUCUAUUGCAUAUCACAAUCAAACAAACUUCACUUAGAAGAGGAAUAGUAAUUAUAUACGCCUUCUAUUCAAUCUUUUCAACCUAUUUUGAGUGAUUUAUGUUAGUUGUUGAAUUUUUUAAAAUUUUAUAUGCUUUGCAUUUACUAAUACCUAAAUUGCAGUUUUUCAAUUAAACAAAUGUGAGCUGUGGGUUUUACAAAACAUAAAUCAAUGGAUACUACUAGACUUCAAUAGUAGAAACCAACAAAAAAAUAAUAAAAACAAAAAACAAAAAACAAAAACAAAAACAAAACAAAAAAGAAUUGCACAAUUAGGUAGUUAACUAAAAUAUAUGGAUGGAGAUUGUAAUAAGUCAUAGAAAUAAUGGGGGAAAAACCUUGCUAUAAAUGUGUAACUAAAAUAAUUGCAAUUUUACAUUCUAGAAAAUUAGGUAAUUCAGUCUCACAUAUAUAAAAUAAUAAUAUAUAUGUUUUGGAUGAUUUCUGCUCCCUUUUUUUUCUAUUUCCACCGAAGUUUGCCCUUUCCUUGAUCUAAAAUGAACUGAACUUAUUAGGAGUGAUUGCCCUAGAAAUACAUGUCAAAGACUCACCUUUGCUUGGAAAGAUUUCAUUAGCUAGCUCUCGAAGAAAUGGAUGUAUGGAAUGUGCUUAACAAUCUCAAAAUUUCUGCCUUGGUCGCGUAUCAUACCAAGUCUCAAUUCUUCCUGCAAAUCAAAAAAUGUAAGAGUUGUGAGCUUACUGAGGUGGCGGAUGCCAGAGGGCAGCUCCUCCAGUUGUGGGCAACGCCCAAUCAUAAGCUCCUCCAGAAGGGGCAAUGUUCCAUCUUCUAUUUUCACCCUCUUCAGUCCAAUCAAGUCAUAGAUACGGAGCCUCUUAAGUUUCUGAAUCCCCGUUGCCCCAAAACACAAUUGCUCAACGACAGAGGUUUGGAAUAGGGAAAGCGCCUGCAGGCUAGGCAGGGCUUGAAAGACUUGCAUUGGAUCGUUCGCUAAGUUAGAACGAGUUAAGAUUACUCUUACUAAACUUGGAAGUUUAGAAAUCCAGUCAGGUAACCUCUCCAAACGCCCCAUUAAGUAGACAGUUGAAAGAAACGGAGGUGGAUUUGACAUAUACUGUAUAUCCAGAAUCUCAUCUUCACUCAGCGAACAAACAGACAAAUAUUUAAGGUGGACCAUGUUUGAAAUGGAGGCACACAAACGCUGCCCAUUUCCUCUAGAAAGUUUUGUAAUACCCAGCUUCCUCAACUGCCUCAGCUUUCCCAACUCUGUUAUUAUCUGCACCCCAUGAGUUACGUCCACAGCAGUCAGCUUCUGCAAGUCUUCCAAACCCCCAAUACCCUCCUUUACAUGCACUCCUCUAACAGAAUCCCAUCUCAAAUCAGCCUUAUAAGCAUAAUCAAAGCAUAGAAUAUUGCACAGCUUUUGAAGCCUAUUGAUCUCAACAGGAAGAUCUUCUACAAGGGAAUAUUUCAGAUCCAAAGUCUGUAGGUUUUGUAGUUUGCCUAUGGACCUUGGAAGCAUCCUCACUCUUGUCUUCCUCAGGCUUAAGUAUCUCAAAUGCAACAGAUUUCCCAAAUCUUCAGGAAUUCUCUCCAAAGGAGCACCACCAAGAUCCAAUACUUUCAGAAACUUAAAUUUUGAAGCCAAUGUGCCCAGAGAAAACAUCUCAGAGUUGUAAAGAAAAAUGGAGCGGAUGUGAGACUUUUUACUGGGAAUGUCUAGCACAUUAUUUGAGCUAUUCUGAACUGAUAGGCGCCUAAAUCUUCCAUCAAAACACGAGGCUUCUCCAGCCAUUACAGAAAAAAAACUCAACUCCUCAGCCUUUUUGAGAAUAAUCUCACGCAUCAAGUCAUGAAUGUGGCAUCUUUUAAUAUUUCCAUCGAUAUAUACGUCUGACACUUGAACUAAGCUCCUGCGUAUGAGCUCAGUCAAGAAUCCUUCUGCAGUCUCUUCUAGCGUCACACCUCUCUUCGUCUUUACAAAACCCUCAGCAAUCCACAGCCGAGUAAGGAUCCCACAUUUAAUUGUGUAGUCCUCUGGAAAGAUUGCCAAAUACAAGAAACAUGACUUGAGGUGGUAAGGCAGAUCAUAAUAACUGAGAGAGAGAAUGGUAUUGAUACUUUCAAGAUGGGAAUUACUUUCCAACUCAGACCCAAGGCUGUCACUGAAUUUUUUCCAUAAGGACACAAUCUUCUCUUUUCUUGACAAAAGACCACCAAUUGCUACAAUUGCUAGUGGCAGUCCUCCACAUCUUUUGACAAUAUCAUCAGACAAUUUCUUUAAUUCUGGGGGACAUCUACCCUGAAAUGCCUUCUUGCAAAAGAGUUCCCGGGAACUAUCAGGUGAAAGAUGUGGCAGCCUGUGGAUGUAAUCAUCCUUACAACAAGUGGCUACGUCAUCUUUACGGGUAGUGAUUAUUAUCCUGCUGCCUUUUUUAUUUUCUGGUAACGCAGGUGUAAUACUUUCCCAAAAUCCUGCUUUCCAUACAUCGUCAAAAACAACCACAUACCUCUUAUCUUGUAAAUAUUCCCUGACUUGGGUAAUCAGCGACUCGUUGUCCAUUCUGUUGAUAUCCUCAGGAACUUUUUCCUUCCUUGCUUCAUAGAAUUUCUCCAUCAUACGGCGCAGCAGCUCCUUCAUCUGGAAAGACUGAGACACAGUGAUCCAAGCAUGGCAAUCAAAGUGUUUCACCACUCUCAUAUUUGCAUAAACCUUCUUGGCAAGAGUGGUUUUGCCAAGUCCACCCAUUCCGACAACCGAAAUCACAGUUCGUUUUAGAGUUCCCUUCACCAGCCUGCUUAUCAGUUCAUUUUUCUGAGAUCCGAUGCCAACAAUUUCAGAGUCGUCGAUGAAAAGAGAAGUCACUGGAGGAUCAGGCUGUGGAGCACUUCCUUUGCUGCUGGUUGAACCUGAUUCAAAUGGUUUAUUAAAGCCAUUACUUGAACUUAUUUCUCUGAGCUUAUGAACCUUUUUCUGGAUAUCAUGGAUCUUGGAGGCUAUCUCAUGGCGUCGUAUUAAUUUUUUUAUCAAGCGAGCAACUUUGUAAAGGAAACCAAUGAAACCAUGCCGUCGAUUUGGAUUUCCCAAGUGAAGCAAGUAUUCAUCGAUGACAUCUUCUAUGGAAUAAGCAGUCUCCCUUAAGUCUUGAAUCCAAGUUUUAAGGCCUUGGCUGACAUCUGCUUUCUCCGCCUUUGCAUCUGCAUCCAUUAGGAAAGCUUGAAUAUAUAGUAGCUCUGUUUUAAUGUCUUCAACUUGUGUGUGGACGCCUCCCAAUAGUCUGGCUUCUUGAUCUAGUAAUGGGAGCAACUUGUCGAUGACGAGGUUGACGGCAAUCUCCGCCAUUUCUCCUUCUUUUCCCCCUUUGAGAAGGCCAGUGAACAACAAAUGCGUUAGCUCAUUUCAGAUCUAAUCUUCCAUCUAUCCAAACUUUGUGGCCGUAGAACCAAUGAACCCAACACCACUACUGCCAAAAAUUACAGUGUCUUUUUCUAAUACCGGAAAUUCGGGUACACUAAAUUUUUGUCAAAGUAAUCACAAAAUUUAGUCAAAAAGACAGGUGUUGAAAACUAACAGGACAUUAGAAAAGUUGAAAUUAGGCUGAAGUGUAACAUUUGAAUUCUUGCAUGUCAGCUUUUGAGAGAAUUGAAAUAAAAUUUUUAUAAUUUAAACUUCCACGCAAAUAAACUUGGAAGUUAAUCUGAAUAAAGUUUUGACCAUUUACAUUAGAAAUGUCAGCUUUUAGCAUUAGUGAGCUGCGUUCACAAGUCUAUGUACGAAUGACAACAAUAUUGACCAUGAAAAUAAAGGGUGGGCCAUGGAGGCUUUGGAUCAAAGCUGAAAUGUUUCAACUUGAACCCAAUAAUAUCUAAAACUUGAUCUGUCGGUCUUCAGAACUUUGGACCUCAAAAGCCAAUAAUUCAACCACCUUUUAAUAUCCGACAUAUUCUCUGUCCAUUUUCUAAAUUUGGACACAAAAAGCAGGUAGAGAAUUGGGAUCACACAAUAAUUCCUUCCCAUCAAAGCUGACAUUUAAUCCUUCAUUUUCUAAUCUUUCACCAAAUAGAAUAUUGCAAUUUGUAUCACAAUUAAAAAAUAUAUAUAUUAUUAGAUGAUGAUUCUUAUGUCAAAUUAGUUGUCAAAUCAUAGUUGAGUUAUUACAUUAAUACAAUAAAAUAAAUAUAUAAUUUAUAUAUUAUUAAAAUUUAAAAUAUAAAUAGUUAAAAACUUAAAAUAUUUUAUCUUUUUAUCUUUUUAUCUUUAAUAUUAACUUAUUAAUUCAAGAUAAGAAUAAAAUAUUGUAAUCUUUAUAAUUUUAUUAAAUAGAAAAAUUAUAAUAUUUAAUUGUUAAAAGACAAAUCAUCUAUCAAAGAGAGAAAUAAAAUUUUAUUAUCUAGCUUCAUAUUUUAUUAUUAUGUUAUCUUAAUACGAUUUUGUUACAAUUGAAUGUGAAUAAAUAGUUAGUUACCUUUAUCCUAAACGGUCCAUAUAUGUAUGCUAUCAUUAUAAAAGAAAAGUCUACUUACUGAUAUGCUUACCAUCCUUUUUAGAGCAGGCCUUUGAGCUCACUGUCCCUACCUCUCAAAUCUUUAUUUAAAAAGUAGUUCAAGGAAAGCAUAGUUUAGUUGAUGUUGGUUUGUUUUAUUUUAUUUAAUUUUAAAUAUAAUUUAAUUUAAUUUAAGAUUAAAUAAUAUUUAAUAAUAUUAAGUACUAAAUUGUUUUUUAACUCACUGUCUCAUACUAAUUUUAUACACUUUUCUGUCUCUCUCUAACUCUUACAACUUGAGCUCAUGUCCUAUUUAUUUAGUAAAAUAUUAAAUAGAUUUUACAAAAAAGUUAUGAAAGAGUUAAAGGAUUUUGCCCAAGUAAUUAAAAAAUGAAAACAAAUCUCACCAAAAACUUUUAUAGAAUUUUAAUAAUAUUUUUACAACAAAAAGUCUUAAAUAUUAUUAAUUUCCAUAGUGUGAAUUAUUAGACAAGAUUAAAUUUGUAAAACAUUAAAUAACAUGAAACAUAAUAUAAUUGUAUAGUGCUUGUACAUUAGUCAUUGUAUGGCUAAAUGUAAAUACGUUUUAAAAAUCUCAAAAUUAAAUAAAAAUAAAAAUUUAAACAAAAAACCCAUCCAUUAAUAAAACAUCAACAAUAUAGUAAUAAAUAAAUAAAUAAUCAAUUUUCUAGAAACUUUUUAGGAAAUUUAUUUAAGAUUUUUAAAAAAUAAUCUUAUAAAAUCUGAAAUAUAUAUAUAUAUAUAUAUUUGUAAAAUGUAUUUAAUAUCACAGGGGCAAACUUAUCAAAUGUUAAUUGAUAUAUAAAUGAACUUAUGUAAAAUUUUAUAGCCAUCAUUAGGUUUUGGUGGCACUAGACACAAGGACUAUGCUUCCAUACUACCUUCACUCAUUCCAAAAUCAACCUUGUGAUGAUUUUAAGAAGACUACUAAUAUGUAAGUUUUUCCCUCAAUACUAAAGCAUGAGGCUUAGUUGGUAACAAAUAUGAUUUUCUUCAUGUAGGGCCCUCAGAAUUCAUCCAGGAAAAACAUAAAUCAUCAAAGAGGGAGACUACUCAGGUUGUAGUAGGGGUGUUUAACUCAUAUAAAUUAAGUAAUGCAAUUUUUAGUACCAUUUCUUAAUUUUUAAUUAAGUACAAAAUGCCCUACAACUCAUAUUCACUUACAAAAGGAGACCCAAACAUACUUAACUUCCACCUUUCAACAUGUCUUUGUAUGUUAUAUAAUUAGUAAUGAAAUCUCACUACUUGUAGUACUAAUUUACCAUUUUUUAUAUUGAGUGUUCUAUGUUUAUUGAAUAAUAUAUUUUAUGCCAAAUAUUUAACUUGUUUUGUGAAAGUCUUUCUUUAUCUUUACCAACUAUGUGAUAAAAAGAAAUGAAGUCAUUCAAUAAUUAAUAUGUAAUAAAUGUAGUGAAGCAUAUAGAAUGAAACCAUGUAUUAUAUUGAUUUGUAUCCACCAAAUGAGAACAAAAAUGUGAAUGCAAAAGGCGAAUCUAAGUCUAGAAUGUGCAGCAUAGUUUUAGUCUUGCAAUUUGUGAUAUACAAUAAAUAAUGUGAGACACAUAGAAAGAAAUAAUUAAUAUCUUUGACUUAUUGGUAUCUACUAAAUGAUAAUGAGAAUGCAAAUCUUAGUCAAUAACGCAAAUUAUGGCUUUACAUUAAAUUUAAUUUUUGGCUAAUUUAAUUUGGGACGAAGUUGAAUCAUGUAUUUAUCUUUAAUUUUAUCAUAAAACUAAAUAAUCGAUAUUACAAUGUUAUGACAAUUAUGUUUCAGAGUAAAAUGAAAUAAACUGAAAAAAAGAGUCGGUGUAUUAUUUAUAGAUCAUUGGAAAUUGAUGAGUGUUUAAUGACAUGUAAUUGUGUCAUAGUGGAUUAAAACACCAAUUUAAAAAUAGUUUUAAGGGUUUGAGGAAAUCAAUAUCAUUUAGUUUGAUGCAAUCCCAUUCAUGUUCUCAACCCUUUAAAAUGUAGGAUCAGAGACUCUUUUAAUUGGAAUUAUCCUCAUUUAUGAAAUAGGAUUCUUUUCAUUGGAAUUAACCUCAUUUACAAAAUACGAUUAGUUUUCCAAAUAAGAUUCUACCUUUAUUGUGUUUUUAAUUUUUAAUUUUUGUGCAUUUAUUGUUGUCAAGUAAAAUAAUAAUUAUUUUUAGACGAAGACUUGAUAAACCUAACUUCUACCAUCAAUAUGUCUUUAUAUAAAUAAAAUCUAACCACUUAAAUUUGACUCUACCAUGUUCUCCACUAAAUGCUUUACCAUUCAUGCAUUAACAUUAUUUUUAUUUUUAUUUCAAAUACAUACUUAUUAUGUCAAAGACUUUUCUAAUCUUAUUCAAUUAAGCAUGUGAUACAAAAAGAAAAGACCUUUUGCAAUUGAAUAAAUGUUGUGAUAAAUAUAUAGAGGAAGAAAUACUAUCUUAUAUUAUUGGCAUCCACAAAAUUAGAAUAAAAAUCUCAAUCUAAGUCUACAAUGCGAAAGAUGGUUUUUUAUUUAAAUUUAGUUUCUAGUUCAUUCAAUCUUGAAUAAACAAGAACAUGCGCUUUAUCUUCAUAUUUGUCAAAAAAAUCUAGAUAAAAAAAAAUCUAGAUAAUCAAUAUUAUCAUAUUAUGAAUAUUAUGCUGAAAAGAGAAAUUAAAAACAAUGGAGAGCAAAAAGAUAUAGAAGUCCAUGUAUGAAUUAUAGAUUAUCGACAAAGUUUAAUGAUGGGUGAUUGUGUCGUAGUUGAUUGACAAACAAAUUUAAAAAUGUUUUAUGACUAGUCAAAUUUGUUUUCAACAAUUUAAAAUGACGGUAAUUGGCAAAUUAGAUUGGAAUAUUUUUUUUUCUUAAAUGGAUCCAAUAAAAUUUAAAAUUUUGAAAAAUCAAUUUGAUUUGACUUUGUCUAAAUCAAUUUAUUUUUCCUGGCCCCACUAAAAAAUUGUAAGAAAGACCCUUCCUAUGUAAUAUAACCUUAUUUAUGAUCCUAGAUUAUUAUUUUAUUUGAGGUUUUAUGUCUACUUAUUUUUUUAUUGAGUAUUAGUAAAUGUCAUAUAACAUAAUAAUUAUUCAUAGAAGGUGGCCUAACAAACCCAACUUUUACAAUCAACAUAUCUUUGUAGAUUAUAUAAUUAUUAAUGAAAUCUUAUAGUGGUAGUGGAUUGAAACACCAAUUAAAUAAUUAUAUAUAUAUAUAUAUAUGUAACCGAUUUUGAUCAAUUUUAAAAUGUUGAGAUGUCAUCAUAUAUUAGACUAAAAUAUUUAAUGAUCUAAUAAAAUUUAAAAAAUUUUAAAAAUCAAUUUCAUUUUGUUUUAUCCACUCCCUUUCAUGUUUCCAAUCCUUUGAAACUUAAGAUUAGAGGCUCAUCUCAUAGAAAUUAACCUCAUUUAUUACAUAGAAUUAGUUUUCCACAUGAGAUUUCACAUCUUUUUUUAUUUUAUUUUUUUUAUUGAUGUUAAGUAACAUAAUAAUUAUUUAUAAAGGGAGACCUAACAAACCUAACUUUUACCAUUGACAUGUCUUUACAUGUAAUUUAAUAAUGAAUGAAAUGUGAUCACUUAAAGUUCACUCUACCAUUUUCUCUGCUAAAUGCUUUACCUUAAUGCAUUCAAGUUACUUGUAUUUUUAUUUUAUAUAUAUGACCAAUUAUGUGAAAGUCUUUCCUAACCUUAUUCAAUUAAGCAUGUGAUAUAGAAAGAAAUGAGGUCUUCUAAUUUAAUAAAUGAUGUUAUAGAUAUUGUUAGGACAUUGAGUCUUGUUUGUUUGAUGACAAUUUUUUUCCAGUUAAUGUUUGACCAUAAAAGUCUUCUUAGAUAAUAACUUGCUCUCCAUUGAAGAUCAAAGGUUGUUGUUUGUCCAACCAUGAAGUCAUAGGUACAUCUAAAGAAGUUUGGCUUAUGUCAUGUUAGGCUCCUAUGAGGUAUAAAGAGAAUUGAUUUUGUUUUUGAACUUAAAAUGAUUUAAAAUUAAUGUUUUCUAGAAGACAAGACCACUUAAGUGACCUGAAGUGCUUAAGCACUAAGGACCGCUCAAGUGCUCCCUAUCACUCAAGUGCUCGAGGCACUCAAGCGGUGGGUUAGUUGGCUCGAGUGGUCAUCCUAUUUCUAUUGAGAAUUUUUCAUGCAAAUUCAAUUGAGAAAUCUUCCAAAACCAAAACUCUUCGACUUAGUUGCCUAGAUAUACCUCAUUAUAACCCUUUAAGGGUAAGAGAUUAGACCUUUUUAGAGAGUUUCUUUGAGGGAAAAACCUAAUGAGCCACACCAUUCCCGAUCUCUCAUUUGAAGGAUUCAAGUGUUGAAUCUAAGGUUGAAGACCUACAUCCUUUAGCAAGGCUAAGGUGUAUUCACUGGAGCAAUCAAAGGUUAUUAUGUUGUGGACGUGGAUCAAGUUGUAGGUACUGGAGAGAAAGUCUUUAGGGUAAAAUGACUAAGUAAAUCUAUGUAACUCGAUCUUAUAUAGUGGAUUUAGAUUAAUAGUUUUAAACCUCAUGGUUUUUUUUUCUUCAAAGUUAGUGUGAGGGUUUUCCAUGUAGAAAUCUCUUGUGUCUUAUUGCUUAUUAUUUGAUAUCUUGUUUGAAUUUAUUACAAUAAGAAUAAUUGUUAUACCUUGAUAACUUGCGGGAUAAAAAUUGGGUAUAACAUAUAAAUCUUUAUUUAAAUUUUUUAAUACACCUAUUCACUCUCCCCCUCCCCUUCUCUAGGUGUUACCCCACUGGACUUAGAGGUUUUUUCAAUUAGUAUCAUAGCAGAAUAAAAAUUAAUUUUUUUUCUUAUCCUAUUGAUUAAAAAUCAAUUUUUUAUUGAUCCUAUUAGAUAAAAAUCAUUUUUUUUAUAUUAUUCAUAUAGGAUAAAAAUAGAAUUUUAUUGAUCAUAUAAGUCCGACAUGGAACAUUAAAAAAUAAGAGCACCUUUGAAUAGUUCACCUUACUUCGAUGGGAGUAAUUAUCCCCAUUGGAAAGCUUGGAUGCAAUUCUUUCUUAAAAUGUAAGGUGAAUAGGUAUGAAAUUCAUUGGAAUAUGGAUGAGGACCCCCAUUGAUUCUUGAUGUCCAUGGGAGAUCAACUAGAGAACUUAAACCUAAACAAGAUUGGGACAAAGCUGAUAAUGAAGUGAAUGAAGCCAAUACUAGGGCUUUAUUUAAUAUCUUUAAUGGUGCUUGUCCAGAUGAGUUUCACAGGAUUGCAAAUUGUAUGCAUGCUAAGGAAGCAUGAUAUAUUCUUCAAGUCACUCAUGAAGGUAUGUCUACAAUUAAAAUUUCUAAAUUGCAAAUGCUUACUACUAAGUUUGAGAAUAUUAGGAUGCAUGAAAAUCAAAACUUUUCUUUCUUUUAUUUUGAACUAAGUGACAUAGUUAACUCUUCUGUUAACUUAGAACCUAUUCUAGAUUCAAAGAUAGUAAGAAAAAUAUUGAGAUCUCUACCAGAGAGACUUAGACCUAAGGUUACUACCAUAGAGGAUAGCAAUGAUAUUGAUUCCAUGAGAGUUGAUGAACUUGUUAGCUCUAUAUAGACAUUUGAGAUGACCCUACCUAGUUCUCAAAUGCCUAAAGAUUAUGCUUUUAAGGCUUAUGAGAAUGAGAAAAAAUAUAUUGAAAUGCCAUAUAAUAUAACUAGGGAUGAAUUGGGUCAUAUGGCUAAAAGAAUUAAAAAGGUUGUGAAAUUUAAUAAAAGGUUUUACAAAAAUCAAGAAUCUAGAAUAGGAAAAAGACCUAAUGAACAAUCAUCCAAAGAAAAUGAUAAAGGUUCUUCCAAUGCUAAGAAAGUUGAAUGCUUUAAUUGUGGAGGUCUAAGACACUUCACUAUUGAAUACCCUAACCCUAAAGAUAUCAAAAAGUCUAUGCAAGCUACAUGGAGUGACAUAGAAUCUAAAGAAAGUAAUUCCACAACUUUUGAAAAUGCAAGGUACAAUCCCAAUGACUUUUUAGAUUUUAUUGCAUCUAUGAAAACUGUGCAUGAUAGUGAUUGUGAUGAUGAUAGUGAUAAUGAAUUCAUUGAUGAACAAAAAGCUGCUUUCUUGAAUAAUCUUUUUGUUGAGCAUGAAAAACUAAUUAAAAAUUAUUUGAAUCUUAUAAAAUCAAGAUAGACAUGGUUAAUUUAGAGAGGACUAAUCUACUUGAAAAGAUUAGAUUUUUUGAGUUUGAACAUCAUUCUCUUCUUGAGAAAAAUAAUGUUUUAACUCAACAUAUAAAAAAACUAAUAAGCCUUCUUCAUCUAUGAAUGAGAUCUUUCACCUUGGAACUAAAGUGCUUAAUAAAAAAAAUACUUGAUAAAUGCAAAACCCAUGGUGAAAAAAAAGAGGCUUGGGGUACAUUAAUAAAGAUGAAGUUCCCUCUAGUGGAGAAACUGUGUUUGUCAAAGGUAAAGAUGAAACCCCUAACAAAGUAGAUUCUCAUAAAAAUCCAUCACUAUGCAUUCAUUGCAAGAAAACAAGACACGAUUAGUUUAAAUGCUACACCAAGUUCCUAGAGAGGUUUGAAUCUCAAAUGAGUAGGCUAAUGAAUGACUUUAAUUCCCUUAAAAAUAACAUCUUGAAUAAUGGGAAAAGAAAUAAAACUAAUUAAAAGCCUAGAAGUCAACAAAGCUCCUCUAAGUCACCACCUAGGAUUGAACAAGUUUAGAUGAGAAAAGACAGGGCUAAAUGUCAAGUAGUCUCCACAACACUUCAAACUAGAUAUUCUAAUUAGUACUUUGAUAGUGGUUGCUCUAAACACAUGAUAGGAGACAAGUCCUUUUUCAUUUCUCUUAAGGAUUAUAAUGGUUGGAUAGUUAGUUUUGGAGAUAGGAUCUUAGCUCAUGUAAAAAGAAAGAGAAGUAUAUCUAUCACUGAUUGUCCUAAAUUAGAUGGAGUUUUUUAUGUAGAUGGACUCAAGGCAAAUCUAUGACAAAGAUCGUAAGGUGAAUUUUUUCCAAGACUUAUACGAGAUAGUUAACAAAGAAGGAAAAAUCAUUAUCAUAGGACAUAGAAUAGUUGAUAAUUGUUGUGCAAUAAAUCCUAUAUUUAAAACACCUUCUGUGUGUAGUAGGGAAAAGCUAGAUCUUACCUAACUCUGGCAUAGAAGGCUAGGUCACAUAAAUAUAGAGACCUUGUGCACUUAGUAAAUAGUGAAAGAGUUUGAGGUAUCCCUAAACUAAUUGGUGAACCUAAACCCAUUUGUGGUGAGUCCCUGAAAGGUAAACAAACUAAAAAUUCACAUAAAAAGGUUAAGGAAAUUAGGAUCACUAGACCUUUAGACUUUCUACAUAUGGACCUUAUGGGUCUCAUGUGAAUUGAAAGUAGAGGUGGCAAGAGAUAUUUGUUAUGAAUGAUUUUUUGAGAUACUCCUUUGUGAGUUUUGUUAGAGAGAAGUUUGAAACCAUAGAACACUUGAAGUCACUAUUCAACAUAAUACAAGUGGAAAUAAGUCAUUCGAUUGUAAGGAUUAUGACUGACAGAGGGAAAGAGUUUGACAAUGUUGAUGUGGACCUUUUUUGCAAGUCAAAAGGUAUUAAACAUGAAUUUUUAUCCCUUAGAACUCCUUAAUAGAAUGUAGUAGCUGAAACAAAAAAAAAAAAAAAAAAAAAAUAGAUGUUACAAGAAAUGGCUAAGGUGAUGAUUCAUAUGCAUAAUAUCCCUAUGUAAUUUUGGGCAAAAGCUAUUCAUAUAACAUGCUUCAUUGCCAAUAGGAUUUUUCUUAUACCCAAAACAAAAAAGACAUUUUAUGAAUUAUGGACUAAGAGAAAACCUAACCUUAAGUAUUUUAGGACUUUCGAUAAUGAAUUCUAUAUACUCAGGAAUGGGGAGAACCUAAGGAAGUUUGAUGCAAAAUCUAAUCAAGGUAUUUUUCUAGGCUAUUAUACUUCUAGUAAAGCCUAUAUGAUGUAUAAUCAAAAUUCACAGAUUAUUCAAGAAUCCUCUAAUGUGGUUAUAUAUGACAAUGAGUAUGAUCAGGAAAUAAUUGAGAGUCAAAUUUUAAUUUAGAAAUCAAUUGGGGAUAAUCCUAAAUAUGUGGAGAUCACAAAAGAUAACCUUGAAGAUAUCCUUGAAAGAAACAUUAAUCCUAAUAAGGAUGAAUCUAUUCUUCAAGAAGACACAUCUGAAGAAAUGAGAAGUAUGUUGGGAACCCUAGAUUACUUUGUUUCUAUGCCCUAGAUCUUGUAGGGUGCAUGCAUCUAUCCUUAGGGAUUUUUAGAUCUAGCGUAGUGGAAAAUAAUGGCUUCAAAACUAAUUUAUAAUAAAGAUAUAGAGAUUUGAAAUUCAUAUUUGUGAUCUAGAUGUUCCCAAAUCAAAAUCCAUCCAAUGAAGAACAUGCUUGGAAAAUCUAGAGGUCUCAUACAUCUAAGAUUUUUGUCCGAAAUUAAUAGUGAGUAUGAUUUCUAUGAAUUUGAAUUUAAAUAUUUCAUUAUUUAUGAUUGAGAUAAUUAAAAUUUAUGCUCAACUUUAAUUUCAAUUAUUUCUUGGAUAAUGUGAGGUUUUAUCUAUUUAAAAACCAAAAUAACAUGAAAGAUAUAUUUGGAACUUUCUUUUUCUCUUUUCCUUUUUGCAUUCUUUUUAGAAACUAAAAAGAAGUAUAUUUUUAUAGUUAUUUAGGUCCAUAAUAUAAAAAGCACAAUAAUUAAACUUAGAAUUCAUUCUUAAAAAUAUUUAAUUGUAGUUAGAUAUCUAAUUUCUCAAUUUGAGUUUUCUUUUUGUUAACAUGGUUUGUUUUUUCUAUCAUAGGUUUGAGAUAGAGGUAUUGGCAAAUUUGGGGUCUUUUUAGAGGGCAGUGCUUGAAGAUUAAUGCUAGAGAUAUGAUAUCUACAAAUUGCAUAUAUGUUUGAUGUAUUAUUGUAAUUGAAAGUACCUUAUAAUUUGAAAAUGGCUAUUUUGAUACUUGUUACUUACUUUUCUAUUAAUGUUGUGUCUAUCCUAAUAGGUAUCCAAGAAAUAUAGCAAAAAAAAGAAUAAGAUGAUGUAGAAUUAAAGACCCUCUUACGAAGAUAGUAUUGUACUUUUUAAUUUAAGUUUGUAAAUUAUCUUAAUUGAAUGUUUGUAAUUAAUUUUUUUUUUUUUGUAUAUAGAAACUAGAGAGUAGCUAGAAAACUAUUUAUUCCAUUGUGUUUUUAAUAUUCAAAUGUAUAUAUAAUAAUUUUUUCCCUUGAGUAAUAGUUUAUUUGUAUGGUUUUAGGACUUACUUAUUAUUAUAAUAAUUAAAUAGUACUAAAUAUGGUAAUAGGUUCAUUUUCCAUUAAAAACUAAAAAUUAUAAUAAAAUAAUAUUAAAUUUUUCAUAGGCAACCUUGACAAAUGGCUAAUGCCCAACAUUGACAUCUGCAAUAGCUACAAACCUUGACAUAUUAUACUUAUCCUUAACAUUUGUUGCAACAAACUUGACAGAAAAGCAAGUUAACAUUAACAUAAGAUAAAAGAAUCUUGACAUAUGUUGAAUCCAACCGUGGCAAAAGUGAAAGAAACGUUGACAUAUGUCAUACUAACAAAGAUUCCAUCAUUAGUAGAAAUAGAAACAAUCUUAAUAUAUGUAAAUGUCAAGGUAGAUUUAAACUUUUCUUGACAGCAUAGAUGACAUAUAUGAAUAGUAACAUACCUUGAUAGAUAUACCCUAUCUUGAUGGUGAAAAACUGUCAAUGAAAGCCUUUUUUCUUGUAAUGUUACCAAGCUGCUUCAUUGUGUUGUCUCUCAACCUUAAGACAAUAUUGAGUUUAUGCUAAAUUUAGCAAUGACUUUGAGUUACGGGUGAGACUGUAAGCUGAUCAUAUAUUCCCUAUGGAUUAGGUCAUUGUUGAUGGAAGCGGUAGCAAUAGGUAUUCUCAAUAGAUGUACCAUGAUAUCUCUUGGGAUUGAGACAACGUGUUCCCUUGGGUGAUCCUAAAGAGGUGUGUUCAUGGAAACCAUGGCCAUAGUAGUUCAUUAAGUGGAACUUGACACAAGCUCUUUGAGAGCUAAGAUAUGUCAAUUGACUUCACAAUAGGAGGAUCUAUAAGUCAAGGUUGGUAGAGGUAGUCUUGAAAGGCUAAUAGUUUUCACCUUGUUAGACUACGGACACCAAUUCAUGGAGAGACUGAACACAAUGGAUAGCAGGUCGUAGACCCGAGCACUUGGUGUCUCAUUGUUAUUUAUAUAGGAUAUUGGAGUUCAGUUGAUUCUUAGUAGUGGGAUGUUGAAUCAACUUUAAAAAUGGAUUUUGAGAGAGCCAAUAUUCCUAUGGGUCCCAAUGGUCCCUGCUCUAAGCUUAUAUACCUUGUUGGCACGAAUUAUGAGGGUCAGAUUAGCUCUAGGUUCACUUUUGUGCAUAAGGGUGUUUUGGUAAUUAUGUAAGGUUGCACAAGGGUAAAUGAACAAGGUCUCUGAAUAGGGCUAAUUGAUUAAUUAGUAGCCUUAUUGGGUUAAUUAAUCAAUUAAGACCAAUUUUGGGCUAGAUUAAGUGACCCAAGCCCAUGUGGGCUCAAGUCACUUAAGCCCACUUAGGAACCCUAUAAAUAACCUCUAGGGAUUAAGGUUUUCAUAGCUUUUGUCUCCCACAAUCCAAAGAGAUGAGAUUCAUGGCCUUCACCCUAUUUUCCUCCUCACCGAAAAUGUGCCAAGAUCAAGGUUCGAGUUAUCAGGUCAAAAAUAGCGGGUUUACGAAACUUCUACCAUUUUGUUCUUCAUCUUCACCAUAUGGAUUUGAUUCGGGAGCAACCGAAUCUACGGUAUGGUUUUCAUUAGCACUUUAUGAAUCCUUUUAAAAUAUAAAAAUUGUAUUUUUCCAUUGUGCAUAAGAUUUAGAAAAAUCCUAGGAUAGUUAUGCACAUUCCUAACUUGAUCCAAACUUGGGAAACAGAAAGAUCCUGGUUUUUCCCUUCAACUGGUAUCAGAACCAUAGGUUAGUAAUCGUGUUAGAACCAUUCUAGGGUGUGCUAACUUGUUUUUACAGGGUUUUAAUUUAUCUCAUGGCCCUAGGGAUAAUUAAUGUGUGUUCUUUAUUAUGAUCUUGUUGUAGUAUGAUGGUUAUAAUUGUGAUUGCUUUUAAUUGGGGAUGUAAUAAUUACUUGGAUUGGUUUUUACCUUUCCUAAAUGGGUUGUAAGCCUCAUAAGAGGCAUAGAAUUUUUGUUUUUUUUUUUUGUAAAAAUCCCUAUUUUAUCUUAAAAUGAUAUGUAAACUUUAAAUAUUUGGAGUAUAGGAUUUUGUUGUAAAAAUCCAUAUAUAUAUAUAUAUAUAUAUAUAUAUAUAUAUCAUUCUUUGUAACCUAUGGAGAGUAUGGAAGCAAUCUGAAGCAUCACAAAGUAUUUGUGCAUAUUUCCUUGUUGGAAAAGAGAAAAGAAGGCUUCUUGAAGUUUCUUUCAUGAGUUCUUAUGGUGAUUUAAGGGAAAAGAAAGAAUUUUGGAAGUUCUUGAUUUGAGAUCCUUGGCAGCACAAUUUCAUCAUUUUUAACUUAAAACUAAGAUGAAUUCCUAUGAGUUUCUUAGAGCAAGUCGCCUAUGAUUUUGAAGGUUAAGAAAUACAAGGCUUCAAACAGAUCACAAUUCAGAGUUGAAACUAGAGAGUUAUAUCCGAUUGAAUCAAGGUUGCGCAAAGAGCAUGGUAGCAUAGUGACGCUAAUUUCAACUCAAAAUUGGGGCUACCUCCUAUGAGCUUUUUGGAGAAAACCACAUAUGGUUUUGAAGCUUAGGAAGUUAGGAAUCCAGUGCUUCAAAUGAAUUUCAAUUUGGAGUUGAAACAAGGGAUAUAUGGUUGAUUGAAGCAAGGCUCUGCAAAGGGUAUGCAAUUAUGGGAUUGAGUUCAGGCCAAAUUGUGUUUGGUUGUUUGGGCUUAAUUUUUGGGCUUCUUUUUAGGCUAUUUUUGUGGCAUUUUGGGCCCGUUGGGUUUUUCUUUUUUUUCACCAACCCCAUUUUUUAUUGCAGGGCUUUUUUGGUAAUUUGGAUUUUAUCUAAGUUUUAGUUAUCAAAUUUGCAAUAGGAUCCCUAAGGCCAUGAGAAUUAUUUAUUUAAUUUUCUUUUAUGUCUUUUAUGUUUUUUUAUUUUAGGCAUAGAAUAUAUUUUGGUAUUCUUAAGUUAAUAAAUUUUCAUUUUUUUUUUCCUUAUUUAAGAUAAUUUAUUAAAUUGGAAUGUGCUAGGAAUAAGGAAAUUUUUUAUUUUAGGUAAAGAUAAUCUUGAAAGAAAUAAGGAACUUACUUCCUUUCCAAAAUUAAACUUUUAGAGAUUUGUUUUUAAAUAAAUAUUUUUAGAUUUUAGAUCUCUAAGAAUCUUUUUAUUUUAAGGAAGAAGUUUUAUGUUUCCAAGCCUUUAUGAAAUAAUUUUUUUCCUAUUUAGAACAAGAUUCUAAUUUAAAGAAAUAAAUUAUUUUUGGAAAAAUAUAUGAUAGAUAAUUCAUCAUUAAGAUAGUUUACCAGUAUAUUGUUUCAAAUAAAUUAAAUUAAAAUGGUAAUUUUGAAUUUUCUUAAAAGAAUAAAUUUUCAUGAGUUUUAUUUCCAUUAUUAUUUAUUUAAGGAAUUGGUUGUUGUCAUUUGGAAUUUCAAAUUCCUUUUGGGACUUUCCUUUAUUUGAGUUAAGUGGUUCUCCAUUCUCUCUCCCCCUUCAAAGAGAAGGAGAAUGACACCUAAAUUGGUCCUCUAGGCUCUUCCCUCUUAAGAGAAUGAGGAAAUCGUUUAGUUUGAAAAGAAAAAUUCAAGGACAAGGAAUAUGAAAGAUAUCCCUAUUUGGCACAAGGGUCCCAAUUCAAGUAAUAAAUAAAAGUUUUGGAAAUUCUUAUGAUAGAUAAUUUAUAUUAAGAUAGUUAUCAAAAUUAUCUUAAAGUCUCACUUCCAAAAUAUUAAGUGGGAGUGGGCCAUAGGCAAGCCCAUAGCCUCCAAUAUCGAGUCCAACUUGAUUUUGGGUCCAUCACCAUCUUAAAGAUGGGGUGGGCCAAGGAAUCAAGGGAUAUGAACUAUCCUUUAUGGAUAAGACUAUAUAUGUUUGUAGUGGGAGUGGCCAAUCCUAAAGAUGGAACUCUUCACUUGGUAACAUUGAUGUCAAGGAUCUUAGUUACACACUUAACUUAGACAUGAAGUGGUAGAAUCACCUAAAGUGGUCCCACUUGCAUGGGCUAAAGACUAAACAUAAAGGUACGUUGAUCAAUGCCUUAGGAUAACCUUAGGAGGUUUAAGGCAAGUUAAUUAAUUAGAGAGGGUCUCUACCUAGUAAUGAGAGUCAUGGCUUGCCUGAAGUAGGCUUGAUUCUUAUGAUACUAGGACACCUUGCAUGGAUAUAUGUAGCUUGAGAGCACUAUAUUUUUACUAAAUUAAUUACCAACUUGCCUUGAAUUCUUAAUUUUUUUUUUAUUAACGCUUGGAAUUAUUAUAUUUGUUACAGAUAUCAUGUCUUUAACCUGUCACUUAUUAUCUUUAGUUUAAAUUGGACUUAAUUAUGUACUGAAAAUUAUCUGGAUAUAGUAUUAAUUGCAUAGAAGCUGAUUUUGGUAAAGUUUGUUAUUUCCUUUAAACAAUCCUAUCAUAAAGUAAGAUAAGCAUAUCAAAGGUAGCAUAAUAUGGAUCAAAAGACUAAGUCUCUCAAACUUAGAUCUUUAGAUAAUGUGUUGCAAAAGUAACACAUGUCUAUUGUCAUAGUCUGUGAUAUUCUCUUUAAAGUUGCAAGGGUUAUUUGGUGAUAAAGGCAAGUCAACUAGACAAGUUGCACUUAAGAUUAUUAUAAACACUAGGAUUCAAGUUAUCUUAAGAAGAUUCUCAAAGAGUAAAAGUGUGUACAUAUGGAAGUCAAGGUUCUUCAGGUUUUUCUAACAAAAAAAAGAACAACACCACCAAAUAAGGGAAGUUUAAGAAAAUGAAUGAAAGAACAAACUCAUGGACAAUGAUUCCUUUGUGACCUUUUAGGACACAAGAAAAGGAAUGCUCAAGAGUUUCAAAUGAUAGGCAAGUACACAUCAUAUUCUCAUUGUUAAAUAAAUAGUGGUGGAUUUCACCAAUUGUGGUGGAUAGAUUCUAGGCCCACUAUCUAUAGUUCUUUACAGGGUUUUCAACAAGUGAGAAGGCCAUAUGAUGGGAUAGUACUUACCUUAGCUUCAAUUGCAAAAUUAGUUAUGCAAGUUAGAGGGAGGUAUUACCUUUUUUUUUGUGAGACUCCAUUAUCACUUUGCCAAGUAAUGAGAAUAGUCAAAUCUCACUAAAAGAAAGAAUCUAGCACUAAUCAAACAUUUGGCUUCUAGUGUCUAAGUUAUAUUAAUCUAAAUAGGAUUCAAAGACAAAUUAAGUUUGGACUUUCUUAAUCCAUAAGAUCUUUCAGUCUAUGAAUCUUAUAUAAAUGGUAAAAUGACCAAGAGACCCCUUUAUUUUUAAAGGGCAUUGAACCAAGGAAUGUUUGGAGUUAGUGCAUACUCACAUGUAUGAAUCUUUUCGUGUUUAUAUAUGGAAAGUAUGGGUAUUUGAUCAUUUUAAUGAUACAUACUCUAGGUUUGGAUAUGUAAAUAGGAAAUCUGAUGCCUUUGAUAAAUUCAUGGAAUUUAAGGUGGAAUCAAAUAACUUAUUGGGUAAACAUAUCAAGACACUUCGAUUAGAUCAAGGUAAUGUGUCUAGUAGGUUCGAUCCUUUCUAUAUGGAGUAUGAGAUGAUAUUAUAGUUGUGUGCACUAAAGACUCCAUUGCAAAAUAGAGUAAUGGAAAGAAGAUAUUGAACUUUGAAAGACAUUGUGAGAUCGAUGAUUGGUUUCUCAUUAUUUCCCAUAUUCUUUGGGAAUAUAUCUUAAAGGAUGUAUAAUACCUCUUUUUCUAAAGAGGUGUAUCACUUUAUAAGACAUCCAAGAGGAUUUAGGGAUUAUUACUUUAUAGUUAGGAUUAUCAGAAGGUGUUUAUUGUUACAAAUACUAGAUUUAUGAUGAAGACUAUAUGAUAUGUAAUAAGGCAAACAAUGAUAUAAAUUGAAGAAUACUAAAAGAUAGUCCCACUAUACACAAGAUACUAUGGAUCUAGUACCAAGCAUUCCAAUUUCUAAUACACUGAUGUCUUAUCGUAGUAGGAGUGUUGUUAAACAACCAAACCAAUUCAUGUAUUUGUUAAAGUCUUUCAAGGCCAUUCUAAAGGAACAUGAGAUCAAUCACAUAGAUUACAAUAAAGAAAUGAGAAAUGUGGAUGCACAUCUUUAGCAAAAAUCUAUGGAGGCAGAGUUAGAAUCCUUGUGAUUAUAAUGUAGUCUAGGUUCCCAUAGAAGCACCUAAAGGGAUAAAACCCAUAGGUGUGAGUUGGUUUACAAGAGAAACAAAGGAGCAGAUGGAAAAAGUUGAGAUUUAUGUGGCUAGGUUGUAGCUAAAGGUUAUAGUUUGAAACAUUAUUUCAAACAUAGGAAAUCUUUUCACUAGUAGCCAUAUUCAGAUCCAUUAGACUACUAAUACCUAUUGCGGUGUAUCUUAUUUAUGAGAUAUUACAAUAGGAUGUCAAGAUAGUGUUCUUAAAUGAUUAUCUUGAUAUUAAUAGCAUAUGAUGUAACUAGAUAUUUUCAUAGCAAAGGGCUACAAGAAGGUGUAGGAAAGCAUGGUGGUCUUUAUGAUCUUGUAUGUUGAUGACAUUCUACUCAUUGGUAAUGAUGUAAGGCUAUUGUCAUUAAUUAAAAUCGGGUUGUCUACUCAGUUCCAAUUGUAGGAUCUGGGGUAAGCGUAGUAUAUUCUUGGGAUUAAGGUCUUUAGGGACCACAAGAAUAAUAAACUAGUGAUAUCUCAAGCUACCUACAUAGAUAAGCUUUUGGUUAAGUAUGUGAUGCAGGAUUCCAAGAAAGGUUUAUUACCUUUUAGGCAUGGAAUCCCACUUUCUUAGGAUCAGUGUCCUAAAACACUUGAAGAGAAAGAGCACAUGCAAUCAAUACCAUAUGCCUCUACAGUGGGUAGUCUUAUGUAUGCGAUAUUAUGUACCAUAUAUUUUCUUUGAAGUGGGUAUGGUGAGUAGAUAUCAGUCUAAUCUAGGUCUAAAACAUUGAACAACUAUCAAGCAUAUACUAAAGUAUCUUAGAAGAAUGAGGGAUUAUGUGCUUGUGCUCCAAAGUGUUGAGAUAGUUUAGAGGGUGACAGAUGGUUGACAAGAUACCUUCUAUGGAGAACCUAGUGGAUCUCUUCACCAAGACAUUGACAGGGAGAGUAUUUUUUUGUCAUAGGGAUAACAUAGGUUUCAAAUGAGUAUAUGGCAUGCUUUAUAGGAAUGAUGCUUUAGUGGGAGAUUGUUAGGAUAGAGCCCUUAAAAGAAUGACAUGAUGUAAUAAAUUUGCAAUUCAUUAUUUAUUUAAUGAUGUUCCAAUUUCACUUUUAUCUAUCCUUAUUCCAUGUAUUAUACUUUAUGAGCAUUCUUGCCUGCAUUUUUUGCAUUGUAUGUGACUUAGGUGCAUUAGGAGUUGUACAAAAGAUCUAAGUCAUGGGUUCCUUGAAAAUAGAUGACUUGUUCACAACCGGUUCAUGGGUCUAGGCAACCCAUUAGAGGUUGUAGUGCAUCAUCUCCUAAUUGGAAGGAUGACUAGUAUUAGCUAUCGGGAUGGGUUUCCCAUGGUGAGUGCACUAGUGUGUGUAUGGUUUCACAUUGGGCAGGACCUACAGUGAGUCAUGACUUAAGGCUAUCAAGUAGUCAUGACCUCACCAAGCUGCUUCAUUGUGUUGUGUCUCAACAUUGAGAUAAUAUCAAGUUUGUGCUAAAAUUAGCAAUGACUUUGAUCUAUGGGUGAGAUUAUAAGAUGAUCGUAUAUUCCCUAUGGAUUGGGUCAUUAUUGAUGAAAGCUAGUAGCAAUAGGUAUUCUCAAUAGAGGCACCAUGAUAUCUCUUGGGAUUUAGACAAUGUGUUCCCUUGAGUGAUCCUAAAGAGGUGUGUUCAUGGAAACCAUGCCCAUAGUAGUUCCUUAAGUGAAACUUGACAUAAGCUCUUUGAAAGCUAAGAUAUGUCGAUUGAAUACAUAAGAAGAGGAUUUGUAAAUUAAGGAUGGUAAAGGUAGUCUUGAAAGGCUAAUAGAUUUCACCUUGUUAGACUACAGACACCAGUUCAUAGGGAGACUAAACACAAUGGAUAGCAGGUCACAGACCCGAUCACUUGGUGUUUCGUUGUUAUUUACAUAGGAUAUUAGAGUUCAGUUGAUUCUCUGUAGUGGGAUGUUGAAUCAACUUUAAAAAUGGAUUCUGAGGGAGCUAGUAUUCCUAUAGGUCCCAAUGGUCCCCGCUCUAAGCUCAUAUACCUUGUUGGCAUGGAUUAUGAGGGUCGGAUUGGCUUUAGGUUCACUUUUGUGCAUAAGGGUAUUUUGGUAAUUAUGUAAGGUUGCAUAGGGGUAAGUGAACAAUGUGUCUGGAUUAGGCUAAUUGAUUAAUUAGUAGCCCUAUUAGAUUAAUUAAUCAAUUAAGAUCCGUUUUGGUCUAGAUUAAGUGACCUAAGCCCAUGUGGGCUCAAGUCACUUAAGCCCACUUAAGAACCCUAUAAUUACCCCUUAGGAGUUAAGGUUUCCAUAGCUUUUGUCUUCCUCCAUCCAGAGAGAUUGAGAGCCAUAGCCUUCACCCUCUUUUCCUCCUCACCGAAAGUGUGCCAAUAUCAAGGUUCGAGUCAUUGGGUGGAAGAUUGUGGGUUUAUGAAACUUCUACGAUUUUGUUCUUCAUCUUCACCAUGUGGAUUUGAUUCAGGAACAACCAGAUCUGAGGUAUGAUUUUCGUUAGCAGUUUUUAAAUCCUUUUAAAAUAUAAAAAUGUAAUUUUUUUAAUUGUGCAUAGAAUUUAGAAAAGGCCUAGGAUAGUUAUGCCUGUUCCUAACCUAAUCCGAGCUUGGGAAAAGUAGAGAUCUUGGUUUCUCCCUUCAGAGCGGUAGAUGAAUCCAACUAACCUAUUUUUGAGAUUAAUUUUCAGCCCUUGGAUUAAGGGUUUCAUUUUCAUUUAAAAUGAACUUUCUCCCAUUUUUGGAGAAGAGAGAUUACAAUAGCCAUUCUGGUGCUCCUUAUUCCCACUUCUCUUUGAGGUUGCUUGCUCCAAGAAAAUCCCAUCCAAGUUUUCCAAUAUAUGUAUAUUUUUUUUAUGGAUUUUCUGAAAAUGAACAUGGUUGAUUUCUGAAACAUUCAUAUCUCAUUCUCUUGGUUUUGUGUAAAAACCUAUUUUCUUCUUGUGUGAAUUAAAGAAAAGACUAAAGUCGAGCUUGGUACGAAUUCCAAGUGUGCUUCGAAAGAAAAAGGUGAGAAACUGAAAGUGAAGGUACUAGUCAAGCGGUACGGGAAGUAUUGGUUAGCUUGAGGUAUAACCUUGUUUUCAAUUUUAUUUUUCAGAGUGGAUGUUUUAGAUCGGUAGUAAGCUCAUGGUUUUUGAUCUCUUAAAAGGUUUUCCAUGUUAAAAUCUAGUGUCUAUUGUCUCUUUCUCUCACUCAACUCUUUGAUUUAUUUUCAGUUUUUGAUAUAUUGGAUACUUGGGCAUAUAUGUUGAAUGAAAGACAUAUGAACUAAAAUAAGUGUGACUAUCCAUGAAAUAUAUUCAAUUAUUUUUCUAUUCAUUUUGGUUAAUGAUGUGGGAUCCUAUUGAUAGGAAUAUGAUAUUACUAACAGAGUAGGGCAGGAACAUAAAGACAUGGAAGCAUAGGGGAUAGGGAAGCAGUGCAAACCUUUCCAUUCUAGGUAUGAACAACAGUAAUUCAAAGUUUGAAAGUUGUUGUGAAACUACUCGUCUAAAUGUCAUGGCAAGAAUGUCUUUAGAUGUAGCCCUUGACAAAAUAUCUUCAGUGAGAGAUCUUCUCAACCUAUUGGCUUUCUCUUUUACUUUUCUGGCAGGUAAAAACUUUUUAAACAAAAGACUCUUCAAGUUUACUUAUUGUAUUGCAUAGUUAUUGGUUUCUAAUGAAACUCUGAGCACAUGACCAAAACGAAAAUUAAUCAUCACACCACUUUAUAUGUAAACCAAAAGUCAAGGAAAUGCCCAUGAGGUUCUAUCACUCAUUCAAUUACUGGCAAAUUUAGACGAACCACAAAUGCUAAAAGAUGGUUGAAAAAACAAUGAGGAUAUGCAUUCAUGUAAUGUACGUGUGCCAAGCAACUCCAAACAGAAAACAAAGAUGAAUGCGGGAUUAUCAAUUACUCUAACAAACCACACAGGUUGUGUUUAUGUAUCAUUUCUCUUCACAAAUCUAUUGCACAAGUACAAUUUUUGUCACAUCUUAUCUAAAAUCUAAAAUACCCAAGAAAGGACCAAAUCUCAAACUCGACCAAUGUAGCAAUAAUAAGCACAUUUGUUUCCUCACUAAUUAUAUGCUGCAUCCCAAGACAUCGUUUAAUUAAAAUGCCACCAAUAUACAAUGACAUGCAGGUUUAAAUAAAAUUCUAGCAAACUUACCCUGUAUGAUGCAGUUUUUGUUGAAGCUACAUCUCCUUCCGUCCAAAUGCAUUUACAUAAACAUAGCCAAGCAUCCAUAAGAGAUGGAUUCCACUUUUGGAACAUGAAUUAAGGUGUGUUUGGGAGUGAUUUUAGAAAAUGUUUAUAGUAUUUCUAAUACUUGAAUAAUAAAAAAUUUUAAGUAUUAAAAAUAUUAAAAACGCUUCCUAAAAUCACAAUCAAACAGGCUCUUAAUCAAUUUCAAAACAUGAUUCAUAUCCUUAACUUAUGUGGAAGAGUUGAUAAUAAUUUGUUUGGAGUAAUGAGGUUAACAGUGAUUCAAAGUUCGAAAGUUGUGAAACUACUUGUCUAAAUGUCAUGGCAAGAAUGUCUUUAGACGUAGCCCUUGACAAAAUAUCAUCAAUGAGAGAUCUUCUCAACCUAUUGGCUUUCUCUUUAACUUUUCUGGCAGGUAAAAUUUUUUAAACAAUAAAUUUUAGUACUGUUGGAUAGUUAUCUAACAAAAGACUCUUGAAGUUCACUUAUUAUAUUGCAUAGUUAUUGGUUUCUAAUGAAACUCUGAGCACAUGACCUGACCAAAAACUAUUGUAAAAUAAAAAUUAAUCAUCACACCACUUUAUAUAUAUGUAAACCAAAAGUCAAGGAAAUGCCCAAAUCUACCAAUAACCAUAAGGUUCUAUCACUCAUUCAAUUAUUGGCAAAUUUAGAAGAACCAUAAAUGCUAAAAGAUGGUUGAAAAAACCAAUGAUUUUAAAAACCGAAUCGGAUUAGCCGGUUCAAUCGGUCGAACCAUCGACCGGACCCUAGUCCAGUUCGGUUCAACUUCUGAGCCAAAAAAGGCUUCGAACCGGACGAACCAGUGGUUGAACCGCCAAACCAAAUGGAACCGAAACGGUUCGGUUCAAUUGAGAAUUUGGGUUUUUAGGCUACCAAUGGGUCACACCCAUUCACAACCCAACAACAUAGUCACUUUUAUGCUCUUGCUUUUCCGAUGUGGGACAGGAAAAGUCCAAUAGAAAAACAGCCAACAUUUUUAUAUAUGCACAGUUUACGCCCUUGGAGCUUGGAGCUUGGACCAAAGGUUCAAGGUAAGCAUUGUUGCACCAACCUGCUCCUAAUUGGUUUGUGCCAAGGAUUAUAAAAAUAAACAAAAGUAUCUCAAAUAUCUACUAUUUUUUUAAACUCUUCCAUUUUCCAUAUGUAAUAUUAUAUAUGUUUUAUUUAAUAAAUUUUAAAAUAAUAAUAUAUUUAUAUAAAAGAUGAAAAAAUAAAUAUUAUUGAUUUUUAAUUUUAUCUAUAUUUAUAUUUUUUAAUUUUAAUAAAAUAUAAAUUAUAUAUUUAUGAUGUCACCGGUUCAACCGCGGUUCAACCACCAGUCCCACCACUAAACCGUGAACCGGUAACUUUUUCAGUUCGUUGAUCGAUUCAAUUCUGAAAACAUAGGAAAAAACAAUGAGGAUAUGCAUUCAUGUGAUUUACGUGUGCCAAGCAACUCCAAACAAAAAACAAAGAUGAAUGCGGGAUUAUCAAUUACUCCAACAAGUGUUUAUGUAUCAUUUCUCUUCACAAAUCUGUUGCACAAGUACAAUUUUUGUCAUGUCUUGUCUAAAAUCUAAAAUACCCAAGAAAGGACCAAAUCUCAAACUCGACCAAUGUAGCAAUAAUAAGCACAUUUGUUUCCUCACCACUUAUAUGUUGCAUCCCAAGACAUCGUUUAAUUAAAAUGCCAUGCACCAAUAUACAAUGACAUGCAGGUUUAAAUAAAAUUCUAGCAAACUUACCCUGUAUGAUGCAGUUUUUGUUGAAGCUACAUCUCCUUCCGUCCAAAUGCAUUUACAUAAACAUAGCCAAGCAUCCACAAGAGAUGGAUUCCACUUCACUUGAAGCUACAUCUUCUGCUUCUUGAACAUUCAACUCUUGAUUUUUUUUUUUUCAAUCUUGUACUCAUGCUACCAUCAACAGUUACCAAUGCUAAUAAAUAAAAUUAACUAACCAAUUACCAUUAAAGCUGUAACUCUCAUUCCACUCUUGCAAAUGAUAUUAUAGAAAUUUAAAAUUAAUCUAUCACGUAAUUGAGUGGUUAUACUUAACAAAAAGGAAAAAAAAAAAAAAAAAAAAAGAUAUCAACAAAGACUCUGAGCCAUGAAUGGGGGAGAACUUGCACUUGCAUUUGCAUAUUAGAUAUCAACAAAGAUUGAAAUGUUGUGAAAUAUUGGAGAUAUUUCACCCAUUUUUUUGUAUCGACAAGUCUCAUCACAAUACAUGGCAUAGUUUGAUCUAAUGGACCAAAGUUUGAUCUGCCCCACCAACCUAUACAUGAUGAUUUUUCAGUUUUGUACAAUGGACCAAGAGUGGAUCAAGCCCAACCAUAUCAUAUUUGUCAAUUGACCAAAGUUUUUUUUUUUAUUAUUAUUAUUAUUAUUUUUUAACUUUUCAUUGAUAAAUUGGUGAAAUAACAAUUUUAAACCAAUUUUUCAAUUUUGUCAGUGAAAUUUCAGUGAUAUGUAAGCCCAAUUUUUUUAGUUUUGUCUAAUGGGCCAAAGUUUGAUCAGCCCAACCAACCUGUAUGUGAUGAUUUUUCCGUUUUGUACAAUGACCCAAGAGUGGAUCAAGCCCAACCAUAUCAUAUUUGUUACUUUUUAAAUUUUGUUUGGAUCAAGCUCAACCAGCCCAUUUAUGGUAGCUAUGAUUGUACAAGGCACCAUCUUAAAUGGAGAUUAUAGUGCUUUGUUUUCUUUUAAGUUUUCAAUGUGGCAUUGUGUUUUUAUUUACACAUAAAAAAAUAAAAAAUAAAAAUAAAAAUAAAAAAGUAUGCCAAACUUGGAUAUGUAAUUAAUAGAUAUAGCUUAUGCCAUUGAACAAAACUUUAUUUUGUGUUAAAUAUGAACUUUAGAAUUAUAUAUAUAAUAUCUUUUAUAAAUUAAUUAAAAUAAAAUGAUUAUAAAUAAAUUAAUUUUAAUUAUAUUAUUAUCUAUUUUGUAUAUUAAUUAAAUAUAAGACAAAUAUAAAUUCAUAAAUAAAAUUAUCAAUAUUUUUAAAUAAAAAUAUUUUAUAUCAAAAUAUUCACCGAUAUAACUCAAUAUAUCCAUAAAAUUAGGUUAUUGGUAUAUUCACAAAAACUUAUAUUUUCAUAAUUGGAUAUCAAGACUCAACCUUAGCCAAUUCCAUGAUUAAGAUGAAGUAGAAGUAGUGGUCACAACUAUCGGUCCAUCCUCUAAUGAUUGGCCUUGUCGUCUUUCAACAAAUAGAAUUCACAACAGUUAUAGUCGAAAGCCAUGGCAUCUUUGGUUUUCAAGGAUGGGUUGGUUGAAAUAUCAAAGCUUAGGGUUUCUGAGUUGCUCAACAUUUAUGAUUUGAUACUCAAUUAUCAAGUCACUUCCCAAUCUUGGGAGGAGUCCAUGUGUCUUCUCCAAAAUAACAUUUUAAAAUAUUUUAUUUAAAUUCAAUUUUAAUUUUCAAAUUAAAAAUUUUCAAUAAAGCGAUAAAUUUGAUCAUGAAAAUUAAAAUUUUUUCAAUAAAGUGGUAAAUUAGAUGAUUUAAAAUUACUUACAAAUAAAUUUUUAUUAAGAGAAAAUUUGUAAUAUUAUUUCACUUAAUAUAUUAUUUAUAGCGCUAUUUGUGUUAGGAAUUUUAUUGAAUUUCUUUAAAUGCAUUAUAAGUUUUCACGCAUGUCUAUUAUAUUUUAUAGGCUAAAUAUAUAUUUUUAUAAUAAAAUAAAAAACCCAUUUCAAAUAUACUAAAACUGAUUGAUUUUCGAUAAAUAAAAGCUAAAUGGAACAUUUAUCCAUAAACAAAAAUUUGUGCCAAAAAUUUACAAUAAAAUUCACCAUAAAUAAAUAUUAUGAUUAAAUAUGACUUUUAACCAAUGUUUUCAGAACUGGAUUGAUAAUUGAACUGGAAAAAUUACUGGUUCACGGUUCACUGGUCGAACUGUAGUCGAACCAAUGAUGCAAUAAAUAUAUAAUUUAUAUAUUAUAUAAAAUUAAAAAUAAUUAUAAAAAAUUAAAAAUAUAUAAAAUUACAAAUUUUAAUAAUUUUUUAUUUGUAUUUUAUUGUUUUAAAAUUAUUAUAUUAAUUAAUUUAUAUUAUUUUUUAUAAUUAUUAUUAUUAUAUUAUUAUAAAAAUAAACAGGAAUUUAAAUAUUUACAUUUUUUUUAAAGAUUUUAUGUGAUAAAAAUUUGAAAUAAAAACAUUAAUCUUAGAUUCUUAUUAUAUAUAUAUAUAUUUAAUAUCAUUUAAUAAAUAUGGUGCAAUAUUCAAUGGUUUAAUGACUUCAAACUUUAAUUUUUAAUAGAUUCGUGCAUCCAGUCCUCCAAAAAGCAAUGUUUUACCUCUAAUAAGUCCCAGUCCGAGUCCCACAUCGGGAGCACAUAGAAUACAUGAAUUCUAUGUGCUCUAAGUGCUCUACAAAUACCUUGCAACAUCCCUUAUAAGCCAACCUUGCCAACGAAUUGAGCUUGGAGGUAUGGCUCAAAUAUUGGCUCAUAAGAAAUAUGUUUUAUAAGCAUUUCUUGUCAAUGGAUUGGGCCUGGUGGCUUGGACCAAAUAUGGGCUUAUAAUUAGUUUUAGUUUUAACAGUAUUGGGCGUGGAUUGAGCUUGAUGGAUAAUGGGCCUCUUAAUAGUAAACAAAUAUUUGUAGCAAUUAAGGUCUGGCUGGUUUGGAAAAAACUGGACGGUUUGCUUGGUUUGAACGGUUCAAUAUCGGUUUGACCACGAAGCGGUUCAUUGAGAUGGACCGAACUGGAAAGUCUACCAGUCAACAAUUCGAUUGGUCCGACCGGCCGCUCUGAUCUGGUUUUUAAAACAAUGCUUUUAACUAUGAAUAUAGAAUUCAUACUAUAAUAUUAAGAAAAUCGAUUUGCCAUAAAUAUAUGAUGUGGUUAACUAUGAUUUUUUACUAUGAAUCUAAAUAGUCUUUUUGUCAUGGUCUUGGUGAGUUUGGAGAUAGCAUGAGCCACCUCAACUAAUAGUUCCUCUACGGAUGUAGUGCUCGUUGUCAUUACUGGCAUAAUCACCAUGAAGGAAGAAGUAAAAAGAGUUGAAAUGGUUGGAGGAGUCGUUCUUCUUUAACAUUCUAGUUGGUGAUCUAGAGUGUGAGUUAGAAUUAGUAACAAAGUAAGGGGACUUAUUCCUAGAGUCCUUGAGUGUUGAAUGGUGUUUUUCCUUACCAUGAGAACUUUGUCCUUUUGCCCCCAAAAAGGCCAAAGUGAUGAUUGGUUAGUAACUAUCGUGUGUCCCUAUUGUUUUUAGAAAAGGAGUGUUCUCACUUGCUAACUUUGUUGAUAGUGCAGUAGUUGAUUUUGCUUUACUAUGAAUCAUAGCAUCCAUAGAGGUGUUGUAUGUCAAUUGCGUAAUGACAAUCUUAUCAUCACCCUUGUCGACAUGUGUAGCUUGAGCCUUCUUAAAUGUCAUUGUCUUGGUAGUGAUCACUUUCUUGGUGAAAGAGAUGAGAGGCAAAAAGGUCCCACCGAGCGUGUAAAAAAAUUGUAUGCACAAAUUUCUUAAAAGUCCUACACUGUAAGCAAAACAUGAGGAAAAUAUGCAAAACAAUUUUACUUUUUUUACUUAAAAUUGAUAAAUAAAUCGUGGGGUACAAUCUUUGUGGUAAUAUUCUUUUUAAAAAUAAUAUAUCCCUCUGAUUCUUUCACCUUGAUCACAAUUUGAAAGACGAAAAAACGUUUUCUUAAUUUCACAGAUCAAUCGAGGGCCAUAAAGGGCUUGUUCCCGAAUGAACUCGUUGAGUGACAAAGAUCGCCUGUAUAGACUAUGACAAUGUUUUCUUUGUUUUCAAAGUCGAUUGAGGGCCUAGAGUGGCUUAUUUCUAAAUAACUUUAUUGAAAGACAAAGAACGUGUGUAGUUCUUCCCUGGUUUAUUAGACUUGUAAGGAGAUUUUGAAAAGCUUUUUCUUCUUUGUGAAGCCUCAUUUCCCAUGUGGAGUUGUUUUGGUAGAACCCUAAGAAGUCUUCUCAUUGAAGAAAGUCAACCCUAUUUAUAGAUGAAAUUAGGGAAUUAAAAUUUUAGAAUUCCCCAAGAUUUAUUUAAUGCUUGAUUUUAGCAAUUUAUCUUCUUCCUUAAGGAAAUUUGCCAACAUGAAAAUAUUUAUUUAUUUUUUAUUCUCUUUCCACUUCAAUUGAAAUGUUUGUUUCGCUUAGAAAUUUCUCAACAAGAGAAUAUUUUAUUUUAUUUUAAUUCUCUUUUGACAACAAUUUUGUAAUCUUCCAAAUUUCGUCAUGUGUCACCUUUUUAAUACAUGUCACAUGUCACACGUGUGUAGACCUAUCACUUGUUGAUUCCAAAUUUUGUUGAAUUGGGGAGCCACAUAUCUUUUGAAGACCAAUUUAAGUGAUAAUUUAUUUCACUAAAAAUUUUGAUGUCUACACUUGGUUUUUUCUUUAAUAUAAUUGUUAGGUUUUUAAAUAUAUUUUAAAAUAUAUAUAUAUAUUAUCAAUAAGGCUUUACUUCAACUAUUCUUCCUAUUUGUAUAAUUAUUAUUUAAAAUAAUUCUUUGAAAAUAAAUAAAAUGCAUUUUUAGAAAAUGCUUUUUUUUCUUAUGUUAAGUUUAAGAACAAAAAAAUAUUGUUUUAUGUUAAAAGGUUAUCAAACAUGCUUGUUUUUCUAGGUUUUUUUUUUCCUUAAGAACAUAAAACUAUUUUUAGAAAAAGCUUCAAAACAUACCCAUAGGCUCAAUUUGAGAAUAUUUUAAAAAAUAAUUAUGAGAAAAAAGUUUUUGUGAACAACUCUUGAAAACUAUUUUGUACUACUUUUGAAAAUAAAAUUGUGUUAAAAAUAGGAAAAUUAAUAAGACAACUAAAACAAAUCCCUUUUCCUAGAACACUAAAAAGUCAAAUGGAUAUUGCUUAAAUUUCAAGAUUUCCCAAUAAUGUAAAAGAAAAAAAAAAAGUUCUAAUAGAACCUAAGUAAGCUAUAAAGAUCGAGAAUAAAAUCAAAGUACACCUAGAUGGAAAAUAGCCAUUUGGGUGGCUGAUUAUGGGCAAAAACAAAGGGAAAAAGAAAAAAAAAAUUAAAGAAAGAAAUCAAGGAAGAAUAGCAUUGGGCUUGAGAUUCAAUGCGUACACUAGAAGACUUUGCUCUCACUUUCUUUGAGAUCAAAUGACCAAAACGCAAACAAAUAGGCAAAGCCAAUAAAUAUCAUCAACCAAACACAACAAAGAACACGUUUUCCUACAUUUUCUCUAGAACCAAACAAAGUCAAACAAAACAACUAUCAGUUCAACUCACAAAACAUAAAAAUAAAAAUAAACCAAAACACUAUCAUUAGAGAUGAAAUAAGCUAUAUCUACAAGUAUUUAUCAAAUAUGUGGAAGCCUCAUGAUUAGAAAUCAAGUGCCCUAGAUACUCCACUUUUGGUUAACCAAAGUUAGACUUAGAUUUUUUGACAAAUAGCUUAUGUUGUUUUAAUAUCUAAGGUGUUGGACAAAUGAUCCAAGUGCUCUUCUCAUCUAUGACUAUAAAUCAAGAUGUCAUUGAAAAAUAAAUUAGUAAAGAUAAGGUCAAAAUACCUCAUCCGAUAGAUUUUGGAAGGUAGCUAGCUUGUUUGUCAAUCUGGAAAGUAUGACAAGGAAUUCAUAAUGGUCUUCAUGAGUGAAAAUUUUUUGUGCAUUCCUUAUGGAUGGACUUGUAUUUGGUGAUAGCUAGAGUGUAAAUCUAACUUAGAAAUUUUUUUGCUCCAUGUAGAUCCAUAGAGAAGUUCAUCAAUCACCAAUGUAGGAAAUUUAUCCUUAAUGGUUUCCUAGUUCAACGCUCUAUAAUCAACACACAUGCACCAAGUGUUAUCUUUCUUUCUUUUCAAAUAACAAUAUAGGAGAUGAAAAGGGUCUCAUAGUUGGUCGAAUUGUACCAGCUAGCAGCAUCCCACACAAUAUUCUCAAUUUCAUUUUUAGGCAUAGGGAUAAUGAUGAGUUUGAACAUUUAUAGGUGGGUUUCCGAUUUUAUUGGAAUCGUAUGGUCAUGGGAUCAUUGCAGGGGUAAGCCAUGAGGUUCUAUAAAAAUAAUUUCAAACUUGGAUAGUAUUUAGGAGAUUUAGAUUAUGGUUUUUAAGGUUAGGAAUUGAUGUAAACUCUAUUUGAAUAUAAAAUAGUUUCGCAAUCACAACUUACCCUAAUUUCUCGAUUUUUUUUUUCCAUUUAGGCAAGUUUAAUAAAUUUGAUUGAUCUACCAAUAGCACCAUGUAGAAUAUGUUGUUGAUGAUUGAAUCAAAAUUCCAAUUUUUGUUCAUGAAAAUCACACACAAUAAUACCAAGAGUAGUGAGUCGUGGAACCCCUAAAUGCCUUGCCACAACCAUUAAGAGAUGCAUAAUGAGUGAAAUCAUUAGUAAAAGUGGCGCCUUCAUGCUCAAUCUAAUUGUUGACACAUGUCUUUACUUGAAAUCCUAGAACCAUUUGUAACAACCAUUGAAAAAUAAUCAGUUUGAAGAAUAGGACAAGUUGUUCAUUUGAUGACAUUAGGGUCCAAAAAAUUAUGAGUUCUACGAGAGUCAAUCAAGAUAGUAAUAAGCAUUUUCUUGAUAAACCCUUUAAUUAAGAUAGUUAGGCAAGAUAACAAAUUUGAAAGUGCAUGAAUAAAGAUUAUCAAUCUUUUAAAUCUUCACUAAUGUCAAAUUGUUGGUACUUAAUUUCAUUCAUCUUCUCUUAUUCUUUUUGCUCUCCUUUCAACAAAUAACUAUAAAACUUUUUACAUUGAUGGCUUAACAUGUACUUUUCAUCACAAUAGUAGCGUAACUCCUACAAGAUUCUCUUGAUAGGAGGUAGGGAAUCUAGUGUCAUUGACUUGAACAGGUUGACAGUUAAGGAAGUUGGGUUUCACUACAUUUGAUUACACACCUUUUGGAGCAUUGAGUCCAUAGUUUCUUUUUGUAGCAAGGCCAAACUCACUUAUUGCACAAGAUUUGUUGGUUUGAACAUUGAGACUUUGUUAUAGAUUUCUAGUUGAAAUCUAUUAAGUAAAUAGUUAACAAAAAACUCCUUGAUAAGACCUUUUGUUAUACUCAUGAAUGUCUCAAAUUCUAGUUGAUAUUGCUACACUAUUAGUUUGUUAUAGCUUGGUCAGUUACUCGAAGACAUCCUCAUAGAUGCUAGGUCUAAAAUGUUAUAUAACAUUCUUCCAAAAAAAUUGCUAAGAAACAUUGGCAUUAGUUAUCUUAUAACUUUGAAAUCAACCAAGGGUCAUACUUCCAAGUAAAUAGAGAGCACAUAUACUUUGUCAUCUUCUGCAACUCCAUGAUAGUGGAAAAACCUUUCAUAUAUUAAUACCCAACCAUGAGGGCUACUCCCAUUAAAUUUUGGAAAAUUAAUCUUAUCAUACCAAGCUUGGAAGUGCUAUUAUGGUUGGGGUUUGUCCUCUUGUAGUUGUUGUGCGAGUUCUCAAUAUGAUUUGCCUGAUAAGAAACACAAUUACUACUUAUUUGAUCAUACUUUAAAUUCAUUGUAGUUAGUCAUUUGUGUAGUUCCUUAAAGUUUGAGUUUGCUACUAGAUAGCUUCAUCAUGGGAAUUUGAAUUUUUUAUGCAUGCAACUAUUUGAAUGCUUUUUGUAUUCAUUUCAUUUCUUGCCCUCUAGUUUCCUCUACUAUUUAGAAGUAAGCAAGAUCAUCUCGAUUACCAAAUGAUAUGAACUAAGAAGAAAGAGAAAUUAGAACACAUUUUUGAAAGUUGAGAAAAUUACAAUAGUCUGAUGAGACCCAUUACACUUACAAUAACUAUUAAAUACCAAAUAAAAUAAAGCAUUAAUGAACCAUAAUCUCAACAUUUUUUUUCUCUCUACAAAUGAAUGAUCAUUUCCUAUAAUUAAGAUGUUCAAACUAUAGCUAUUAAUUCUUAUAUCUUCUCUCACAAUUUUCUACUCUUAAUUUCUUCAUUCUAGGAAGGUACAUAACAUUCUUCAUUUUCCUCCUCUUCUUGUCUUUCUCAAUUGAAAUUGAAUCACAAAAUACCAAUGAUCGCAAAUGGGUUUCAACAAGAUGAUGACUUUAUUCAAACUCUCCAAAUGAGUUUGAAUGAUUUAUAAUUUCUAAAAAUCUUAUAUUUUUUUUUCAAAUUUUCUAAAUCGUAGGAAAGCCAUAUGGUUCUACAAUUUUAGGAUUUUAUUGAAUUUGAAAGGUAGUUUCAUAAGAAAAAAAAAAAAAAGAAGUUUUGGGAGAAGAAAGAAAUGAAUAAGAUUAAUGAGUUUUGGGGGAAAAUGAAGGAGAAAAAAAGAAGAAGAUUAAUUUAAAAUGAUGAGGUGUGAAAUACAAUAUUGUAUUUAAAUGUUUGUGAUGACUUUGAUUUGUAGUUCUUUUUAUAUGCAUUAAACAUUCUUUUUUCCAAAAUCAUGGUUUUUGAGAAAAAGGUUUUCUAAGAGAAGUAAAGUGAAAGAAAGGAGGGAAGAAGAAGAAAGAAGAAAAUAAGAAGAGUGAGGAGAGAAAAAUCCCUUAUUUUUUCUACUUUACAAGAUUAGAGUUUAUUAAAAUUUUGAUUUUUAGAUGUGAAGAAAAAAAAAAGGGACAAGAAGAAAGAAGAAAAAAAAUCAAAAUGAUGUUGUUUAUGUAUAAGGGCAAUAUUGAGUGAGAAUAUAUUUACAAAAGCUAUUAAGUUAAAAGUACUGCUGUAUUUAUUAUAGAGUCUAAAAAUAAUUUUUGUCAUUUUGCUGGAAAGUUUUAAAAUGGGAUAAAAUAUCAUGCCUAAUAGAAAACAAUAGUUGUGUGAACACGAUUUGCAGAAAGUUUUGAAAAUGGACAAAUAAAUUAUAAGGCAUUCAACGUAGUUGAAUUAUUGUGUAAAAGUUGAAAUUUUUUGGCUUGGAUCCAAAGAAUUUCAUGUCCCACCCUCGCACUUUCUUGGAUUUUGUAAUCUUUGACUUUAGACUAUGGGGAACUCGGCUCAUGUUCCUAGGGGAGACCUUCAACAAUCCAAUAAAUGACAUUGUAGACCUCAUUGGUUUCACAUUUCCUGUAAACUUUCCCUUCUGGGUUUGAAGUUUUCACAGCGAAAGCGAGAAAGAAGGGAGAAAUGGCAGAGAUUGCCGUCACCACAGUCAUCGACAAGUUGGUGUCUUUGGUAGAUGAAGAAGCCAGAUUGUUGGGAGGUGUCCACACUCAAGUUGAAGACAUCAAAACUGAGCUGCUGUAUAUUCAAGCUUUCCUUAAGGAUGCAGAUGCAAAGGCCGAUAAGGGAGACAUCAGCCAUGGCCUUAAAACUUGGAUCCAAGACUUGAGGAAGACUGCAUACUCCAUGGAAGAUCUCAUUGAUGAAUACUUGCUUCACUUUGCAAAUCCAAAUCACCGGCAUCGAUUCUUUGGUUUCCUCUGCAAAGUUGCUCGCUCCAUACAAAAACUGAAACCACGCCAUGAGAUCGCCUCCAAGAUCCGGGAUAUCAAGAAAAAGGUUGGUAAACUGAAGGAAACAAGUUCGAGUUACGUCUUCAUUAGUUCUAUUGAGCCAAGAUCAAGCAGCAGUUCUGCAAGUGCUCCAUGGCAUGACCAGCGGGUGACUUCUCUUUUCAUGGACGAAACUGAAAUUGUUGGUAUUGAACCUCUGAGAAAUGAACUGAUAAGCCGGCUGGUAGAGGGAAAUCCCAAACGAACUGUAAUUUCCGUGGUCGGCAUGGGUGGACUUGGCAAGACGACUUUCGCCAAAAAAGUUUACGACAACCAGAGAGUGGUGGGACACUUCGAUUGCAAUGCUUGGGUCACUGUGUCUCAAUCAUUCAAGAUGGAGGAGCUACUACGGAACAUGACAAAGAAAUUCUAUCAGGGAAGAAAGGAAGCAGUUCCUGAGGGCAUCGAUACAAUAGACGAGAUGUCACUGAUUGCCUUAAUCAGGCAGUAUUUACAAGAUAAAAGGUAUGUUGUUGUUUUUGAUGAUGUAUGGAAACUAGAUUUCUGGGGAUUUAUUAAAUAUGUUUUACCAGAAAAUGGGAAGGGCAGUAGGAUAAUAAUCACUACACGUAAUGAUGAGGUAGCCUCUUCUUGCAAAGAGUCGUCAUUUGAUUACAUCCACAAGCUGCAACCCCUGUCCCCAAAGAGUUCCUGGGAGCUCUUUUGCAAGAAGACAUUCCAGGGUGGAUGUCCUCCAGAAUUGGAGAAACUGUCUCUUGAUAUUGUCAAAAGAUGUGGAGGAUUGCCACUAGCGAUUGUGGCAAUAGGUGGUCUUUUGUCAAGAAAACAGAAUGAGUCCGAGUGGAAAAAUUUUAGUGACAACCUUGGGUCCGAGUUAGAAAGCAAUUCCCGUCUUCAACCUAUAAAUACAAUCCUCUCCCUCAGUUAUCAUGAUCUACCUUACUACCUUAAGUCCUGUUUCUUAUACUUGGCCAUUUUUCCAGAGGACUACACAAUUAAAUGUACCAAACUGACUCGGCUGUGGAUAGCUGAGGGGUUUGUAAAAGCUAAGAAGGGUGUGACAAUGGAAGAGCUUGCAGAGGAAUUCUUGACUGAGCUGAUCAAUAGGAGCUUAGUUCAAGUGUCAGACGUAGAUUUGGAAGGAAAAAUUAGAAGCUGCCAUAUCCAUGACUUGAUGCGUGAGAUGAUUCUCAAAAUGGCUGAGGAAAUGAGUUUUUGUCGUGUUUUGGCUGGAGAAGGCUCAAGUUUUGACGGAAAAUCUCGUCGAAUAUCAGUCCAUAACAGCACAAAUAAUAUUCUAGACACCAUUGAUAAAAACUCUCAUGUUCGCUCCAUUUUUCUCUUCAAUUCUGAGAUGAUUUUCACUAGUACAUUGGCUUCAAAAUGUAAGCUUGUGAAGGUAUUGGAUUUUAAAGAUGCCCCUCUUGAGAGUGUUCCUGAAGAUUUGGGAAAUCUAUUUCAUCUGAAGUUCUUAAGCCUGAGAAAGACCAAAGUCAAGAUGCUUCCAAAGUCUAUAGGUAAGCUACAAAACCUACAGACUUUGGAUCUGAAACAUUCCCUCGUAGAGGAGCUUCCUGUUGAGAUCAAUAGGCUCCAAAAGCUGCGCCACAUUCUAGCCUACAACUAUAACUUUGAUGUUGAAUUCAGCUCGGUUUCUGUUAAAGGAGUGCAUGUAAAGGAAGGGAUUGGGUGCUUGGAAGACUUGCAGAAGCUGUGUUUUGUGGAGGGCAAUCAAGGGACAGAUGUAAUUAAAGAGCUUGGAAAGCUAAGGCAAUUGAGAAAGCUGGGGAUUACAAAACUUACUAGAGAAAAUGGGCAGCCUUUAUGUGCCUCCAUUAUGAAAAUGAACCACCUUAAAUCUUUGUCAAUCUCUUCAUCAACCGAAGAUGAGAUUCUUGAUUUGCAGCACGUAUCGGAUCCUCCACCAUGCCUUUCACGUCUUGAGUUGUAUGGACGUUUAGACAAGCUACCUGACUGGAUUUCUAAACUUAAAAGUCUAGUGAAGUUAGGUUUAUGGAAGUCAAGACUAAGCCACGAUCCAAUGGGAGUCCUUGGAGCCCAGCUGCCUAAUCUGCUGGAGCUCGAGCUCCUCCAAACGCAUGCGGUCGAGCAAUUGUGUUUUGAAGCAAUAGGAUUUCAGAAACUUAAGGUCCUCCGUAUCUGUGAUUUGAUAGAGCUCAAGAAAGUGAAAAUAGAGAAUGGGGCAUUGCCUCAGGUUGAAGAGCUUGAAAUUGGGCCUAGUCCACAGCUGGAAGAGGUGCCCCAUGGCAUCUACUACCUCAGAAAACUUAAAACUCUUGCAUUUCGUGAUAUGCAGGAAGAAUUUGAACUAAGUAUGAUACCCUACAGAGGAAGAAAUUAUGAUAUAGUUGAGCAUAUCCCAAAUGUCUUCUUCUAUCAGAGGCUUUCAGGACAACAUUACGCGGUUCAGAGUCUACGACAACUAGCUGAAACCAUCCCCAGAGUCUAUUGCUAGCAGUUGAAUUUUUUCAAGCCAAAGGUGAGUACACUUUAUAUGUAUCAACUAAUUAAUUUUAGAUCAAGGCCAAACCAAAAUCUGGCAAGCUUGACUGAAAAAGAAAAUCCUUGCUUCCUUGUAUUUCAUAUUGAUCACCAUGUCAUUACUGUCCCUUUUUCUCAGUGAAGUUUGUUAACUUAAGCUAUUUUGUAUACUAAUUAUUAAAUUCCGAUGGGUUCCAGGUGAUGGAGAAUAUAUAUGCAUGCAGUGUUUAUUGAUAUCAACUGGGAUUGUUAGUUGGUGUUGUUGUUUGUUUAUUUGUCCUCCCAGUCUAUAGCUUAUAUUUUAGACAAUUUCUUCUCCAUCUCUCAUUCCCUCGGCGUAUGGUCUGAACAUCCCUUGAGAAUGAGAAGUUCAAAGGCGUCUGCAUGUUGGAAUCAGCUAAGAUUUUGGAGAAAAUCAUAGUUCAUUUAAAUUGUGAUUCACAAUAAUAUGCUUAUGCAGGGGGAGGUACCUGAUAAGCUCCACACCAAUACUAAUAGUAUUACCCUGAUUAAUGUUUUGCAUUUGCAAGCAGUUACUGGUCUUUAUAUCCUUAAUUAACCAAGGGUCAUUUAGUAGUGAUUCUUAAAGCCAAAGGGGUUGAAAGUGUCUCUUAAUGGUACUUGAAAAGUGCUUUAAGAGACUAGUUUGAAAAUAACUUUUAAAAAUGGGUAAAGCAAUUGAAGUGAAUUCUAAGCAAUCACUUGAUAAGUGAAUAAAGUAAAUUACGUGAUUAUUCCACAAAUCACUUUUUCGUUUUAUAAUACACUGUUAGAAAUACUAUUAAAACACUUUUUGGGUAAUAGAAAUUUCAAUGAUGCUUAUGAUGACAUGCUUAAAUUAAUAUAUGUCAAAAUUUCAUAAUAUCAAACAGAAAAACUUAUUUAAAUCCAAACUAAUUAUUCAAAAAAUUAGGUAUACAUGCACAUAUAAUUGAUAUUGAUUUUGAAAGUUCAAAUAUUUUCAAACCCAAAUGUCUUUCAAAUGAUAACAACCCACCCAAGCCCAAGUAGAAGCGUCCACCAUACCUUAAUAGCUAUCCAUCCAGCCCAACAAGCAUUCAAAGCCCAGUAAGUUACCCUAGCUCCUUCAAAUGACAACCCAUCCAAACAGUAAAAGAAACACAUACCACGUAGCUCUGACUUUCUCCAGAACAGAGAUGGAACUACCGGCAGGAGGCUCCCCUAUGCUUGUAUCCCACCUUAUUUUAUUGCCCAAUAGCAUGCACCAUCCAAAUCAUGGCGACAAAUCCGAAAAACGAGUCGAUUUCUCGAGUCACCUCAAUCUUUCUUACUACGAAAAAACUGCCCAAAAUGGUUCAACUCUCCAUAUUCUGUGUAGAUUACUACGAUUACAAGUGCGCUUCGCUUUUGUGAUUAAUUUUUAACCUAUUCCCCCAAUUAUUUGGUUUUCCAAAAUCAUGAUGCAAUGGUUAUGAUCUGCCUUCAUUACUGCACAUCAUACAUAUAGUUCUUCUAGCUAGCUUUUCACAUUCUGUUUACAAACUAUUUACUGGGUACAAAACCCGAAUUUGGAUUUCUAUUCAUUGGUUGACAUGGAGUUGAAAUUUUAAAGCUCUCUCUAUAUUUGUUUGAUUCAUGUGUCAAUUCGUUUGUAGAUUAGUAUGAAAUGUAGUUGAAAUUAUGUGCAAUUAUCAAGAAAAAAUGAUACCCAUUUUAGACUAUUCGAAUUGCACAAUGGGUUGUUUUUAGUUUUGAUCUUUUUUUUUUUUAAAUUUAUGUUUGUAUUCUAAGGUUAUGCAUGACUCUGUUAUUCAAGGUUUCACUAUUUGGUUGGUUGGGAUUUGUUUGAUUUAUGUGGAUAAUUGUCUCAUCUACACAGUUGUGAAUAAAAACUAACUUCCUUUUAGACAAUUUAUUAAUUAUUAAUUUUGAUUUAUACACAACGAAUUUGAUGUCAUUGUGGUUGUUGAUGGAGCUUAUGUUAGUUGUAGUUACGGUGUUGGGUUAUGUAUUGGUUGCUGCAAUAAUACACGUGUUGGUGAUGGUGGUAUCAUUGGUGAUGGGGCGUCCAAAGAUAUGAUAUUUGGGCGUCAUUUUAGUGGAGUAGUGGCAGUAAAGUGGUGGGAUCUAGAGAUUUUCUUUUUUCAAAGAAAAAUGCUAAUUUCGUUUCUUUCAAAUCAAGGAAUAUAAUCGACAAUGAAAACAAGACAACAAUAAGAAUAUGAUCUUCACUACAGCUUCUAUGCUAUAUGAGCCAACAAAGAUAAGACUUAGGUGGUGAAUGUUUUUUUACUUAAUUCUAAAUAGAACCUUAAUGCUUAAUAAUAUUAAAUAUUAAGUUGUUUGUUUUUGUAAUAUUUUAUUUCUAUUAACUAUUAAAAAAUUUUAAAAAAAAACAAUAUGUUAUUUUUUCUAUUUAGAAAAAACUAUAUAUUUUGAUUUUUCUAUUUAGUAAAAAGUUUAUAAUAAGUCAUGAAAAAGUAAAAAAACAAAUAACCUAAAUUCUAAAAAUAAAUCGUUUUAAGCAAAAAAUAAAAAAAAACAAACACCACCUUAGUUUUUCAAUUUUCUUUUAAACAUAAAUAGAAGCAGCUUGACUGUGGUGGUGGCUACAGGAAGUUGCUCAAUGGUGAGGUUUUGAUCAAAAGAAAUUUGGCGGUGAUACCCCCAUAUAUGUAAGUGUUAUUUUUCCUUACUGUUUGUUUGGACUCCCUUUGUCUUUGACUCCAAACUUCUUAUUCUUUUCAAAGUUGCUGAUUUGGUAUAAAACAUGAUUGCAACAUCAUGUUUGGACCAGAUAUCUGUGGCUAUAGCACCAAAAAGGUCCAUGCCAUUCUUCACACGAUGAAACAGAUGACUUAAUUAAAAAGGAUGUCCCUUAUGAGACUGAGCAACUAUCUCAUGUUUACACUAUCAUCCUCAAGUCAGACGCCACCGACAACAUCCUUUUUGACAACAUGGAGAAACAAUCCAGUUGUUUGUACUUUAAUUGAGGUAUUCUCCCUCCAAAGAAGAUCAAGGAUGCUUAGGCUAAGAAAGUAAUUUCUUUUUACUUAAUUAAUUUUGGAUGGACAAUAAUACAAUUUUACAAUGAUGCCAACCUGAAGAUUGGGAUGGGAAGGAGUAAAGUUAAGAAGCCAGAGGUGACAAUUCCUCAUUCUAGAGCCUUCUGGUUGCAUUAUGCCAAAUUGGUAGUUGAUAUCUAAAAAUAUUUUGUACAAUUAACUAACUAACGUAUAUUUACAGGGAUAUCAUACGAUGAUAUCUUCUAUGGAAUAAGCAGACUCCCUUAAGUCUUGAAUCCAAGUUUUAAGACCUUGGCUGGCAUCUGCUUUCUCUGCCUUUGCAUCUGCAUCUUUGUUUUAAUGUCUCCAGCUUGUGUGUGGACGCCUCCCAAUAGUCUGGCUUCUUCAUCUAGUAAUGGGAGCAACUUCUUGAUGACAAUGUUGACGGCAGUCUCUGCCAUUUCUCCUUCUUAUCCCCCUUUGAGAAGGUCAGUGAACAACUAUUGCGUUAGCUUUCAGAUCUAAUCUUCCAUCUACUCUCCUAAAAUUUCCAAACAUUGUGGCCCUCAAACUAUUGAACCCAACACCACUAGUACCAACAAUUUCCAAACAUUUGGGUAGCAUCAUCUUACGCUACUAAUUUGUUUUUUAUUUGCUAAUGAUUUCUCUUUAUUAUGACUUUGUAUUACAAUCCAAUUACAUAUAGUUUUUCUUGUGCAAGUAAAUUGAUAAAGUUAAAAUAAAUUUACAAGGAAAGUAUGUAAGUAAAAAAAUAUGUUUGAACAAGUAAUCUAAUUUAUAUUUUUUUUAAUAUUUAUCUAUUUCUCAUAAAAUAAAUAAAAUUUAGUACAUAUCAUCACUGAGGACUAAGUUGACAUUUAUUUUGCUUAACUUAGAAAUUUUGAUUUUAAAAAGAAUUUUACUAUCUAAAAUUUUGGUAUGGAAAAAUGUAACUUUAUUUAUAUUCCCUCCCAAUCAUUUUUUUUCUAUUUGUAUUUCAACCCAAUUAUUUUUUUUUCUAUUUUAUUUUAUGUCUAAAUCAAUUAUUUGACUUUGAAUCUUUUUUAAGUUUCUUACAUAGAUUUUAAGAAAAUAAAUUCACAUAUUCAAUUUUUUAUUAGCUUUUUUUCAUAUUACCUCACAUGAAAAUGAAAGAGAUGAGAAUGAAUUUGAUUAAUAGUGGUGGUUUAGAUCAUGCUUACUUUGAUCUUGAUUUCGUAAAUUUCUAGUGAAAAUUUGACCUUCUAGCAAAUGAUGAAAAUAUUCUUAUUGAUUGAAAUCGUAGCUUAGUGGUAACCUGGCGCCCUUCUUUAUAGAGUAGGCUGAAGUUGGAGUCCCCUCUCCCUACCUCUCAAAUCUCCAUUUAAAAAAUGGUUCAAUUACUAUUUGGCAUAAGCAUCAUAAUAAUAAUAAACAAAUAAAUAAAUUCCAAAAAUUAAUAAGAAUUAGAAAGAGAUAAAAAUAAAUUUCAUUAAUAGUGAUGAAUUACAUCUGACUUACUUUGAUAUUGAUUUUUUUUUUUAAGGCCUCAAUGAAAAAUUGAUCUUCUAGCAAUUGAUAAAAAUAUUCUUUGAAAAAAUGCUUCUAAUUAGGUAUAAGAAGUGAACUUGAAUUAGUAACUUAUUACAAAUAAACAGACAGCACACAACCCAUAAUCCAAGCCUUUAACCCAGUGCAGAUUCCAACAAUUGGAUUUUCAAGUCUUAUAUAAUAUACAUCAAUUCCUAUGGAUAAAAAUAUAAUAAUUAAAAUACAUCUAGAGUGAAUUAAAGAGGAAAAAAGACUUACUGGGUUUUAUUGCCACUGAGGGGAACUUGAGACUCCAAUUCCCAUACCUAUUGCAUAUCACAAUCAAACUUCGGUUAGAAGAGGAAUAAGGUUUAACAUAACUCAAUGCAACUCAACCUGAUAGCCUUCUAUUAAAUAUUUUUAAAAACAAGUUUCGCAUUCACUUAUACCCAAAUUGCAUGCUCUUUCGAUUAAACAAACUUGAAAUGUAUAUAUUUACAAAAAAUAAAUCAUUGACACAAAAUAGAAUUAAAUUGUGACAUAUUAAUAAAAUUUAGUUAGUUAUUUCAAUUAAUUAAAAUAAUUUGGGCUUAUACAAGGCUCACCUUUGUGUGGGAAUUAAGAUUUGUAGUCAGAUAGCUCUCGUAGGCUUUGAGUUCCAUUCCCAUAAAAAAAGACGUUUGGAAUGUGCUCAACUAUCUUAUAAUUUCUGCCCCGGGAGGGUAUCAUACUUAGUUUCAGUUCUUCCUGCAAAUUAUAAAAUUCAAGAGUUGUAAGUCUGGUAAGGUGGCGGAUACCCGGGGGGAGCUCCUCCAGUUGUGGGCAGGGCCCAACUAGAAGCGUCUCGAGUAGGGGCAGUGCUCCGUUCUCUAUUUUCACCCUCUUCACUCCCACCAAGUAAAGGACAACUAAGCGCUUAAGUUUCUGAAACCCGGUGGCCUCAAAACACAAUUCCUCAACAGCAGAGGCACGCAUUAGUUGAAGCAUCUGCAGGUUAGGCAGGGCUUGAAGGACUUUCACUGGAUCAUUCAUCAAGUUAGAACCAUACAAGAUUACAAUAGAUAAAUUUUGAAGUUCAGAAAUCCAGUCAGGUAACUUCUCCAAAGGCCCGAUCAAUUUGAGACGUGUAAGACAGGAGGGUGGAUACGAUACAUGCUGUAAAUCCAGAAUCUCCUCUUCACUCAAUGACGAAAUCGACAAAGAUUCAAGGCGAUUCAUGUUUGUAAUGGAAGCAAAUAAAUGCUUCCCAUUUUCUCUAGUAAGUUUUGUAAUACUCAGCUUCCUCAACUGCCUCAGCUUUCCCAGCUCUUUAAUUACCCCCACCCCAUGGUUUGCCUCCACACAGGACAGCUUCUGCAACUCUUCCAAACACCCAAUACCCUCCUUUACUUGCACUCCUUUAACAGAAAACAUGCCCAAAUCACCAUCGAAAUCAUAAUUCUGGGCUAGAAUAUUGCGCAGCUUUUUAAGCCUAUUGAUCUCAACAGGAAGAUCCUCCACAAGGGAAUAUUUCAGAUCCAAAGUCUGUAGGUUUUGUAGUUUACCUAUGGACCUUGGAAGCAUCCUGACUUUUGUAUUCCUCAGACUUAAGUACCUCAAAUGCAAUAGAUUUCCCAAAUUUUCAGGAAAACUAUCCAAACCAGAAUCAUUAAGAUCCAAUACUUUCAGAAGAUUAAAUCUUGAAGCCAAUUUCUCCAGAAAAAACAUCUGAGAGUUGUAAAGAAAAAUGGAGCGGAUGUGCGACUUUUUACCAAUAAUGUUUACAACAUUAUAUGAGCUAUUAUGAACUGAUAGAUGCCUAAAUCCUCCAUCAAAACUUGAGGCUUCUCCAGUCAUCAAACAACAAAAACUCAACUCUGCGGCCUUUUUGAGAAUAAUCUCACGUAUCAAGUCAUGAAUGUGACAACUUUCAAUUUUUCCAUCAGCAUAUACGUCAGACACUUGAACUAAGUUUCUGUGUAUGAGCUCAGUCAAGAAUUCUUCUGCAACAUCUUCUAGCAUUACAUCUUUCUUGGCUUUCACAAAACCCUCAGCAAUCCACAGCCGAGUAAGUGGUCCACAUCUAAUUGUGUAGUCCUCCGGGAAAAUGGCCAAGUACAAGAAACAGGACUUGAGGUAGUAAGGCAGAUCAUGGUAGCUGAGAGAGAGAAUUGUAUUGAUACUUUCAAG
Molecule: long non-coding RNA, 98919 nt
Filed under: Vitis vinifera (wine grape)
Lineage: Eukaryota; Viridiplantae; Streptophyta; Magnoliopsida; Vitales; Vitaceae
Description: long non-coding RNA (VVIN_LNC002167)
Source: RNAcentral